UUUUUUUUUUUUUUUUUUAAGUUUGAGGGUAUUUAUGAAAAGUUUCAAUAGUUUAGGGGUAUUUUUUAAACAAAAUUUUAGACGGUAAAAAUAUUUUUUAAAGUUUAAGGGCAUUUUUAAAAAAUUUAAAAAUUUAUGAGUAUUUUUUGCACAAACUAGAAUGUUCACGAGCAAUUUUUGUAAUUUAAUCUUAAACCAAUGUCUAACAAAAGACAAAAUCAAUAGGUACAUUCUAUUUUCGAUUUUGGGUGGCCCAAUUAAGUUGUUUUCUUUCCCUUUUCUCCCUUUUUUCCCCUUCUUUUAAUCCACAAGUACUUAGGAUAGAAUUUGAAAGCGAAAACUAAUAAGGGAAUUGAUUAAUGAGGUUGAUGAAACAUCUAGUGGUUACUAUUACGUGGUUCGACCUUAUGCAAACUCAUUGCAUAGGAUACCUUCACUCGCAUGUCACCUAUAUGAAUGUGUUGGAUCAUUGCGUUUGAAUCAAAUAUAAAAUGUGUUGUAUCUAUAGUGUGCUACCAGGAUAAGGUACCCACCCUUAUCCCUAUGCUAUAGACUCUUUAAACUGAUCUCAAACAUUGAUCACUGUAUGUCUCUACAUAUUGUUCAAGACUCAUCAAACAACUUAGGAUGUUAGUUUAUUGAAUUUAGGUUAUUAAGACAAAACUAAUAAUAUACACUACAAGAAAAUAUGUAUUUCUUGAUGCACAACACGAAUGUUGAGAGAAAAAGCUUCUUCUGACUCUGUAGAUGUUUCAUCGGAAAAGAUUUACAAUCCCGAUGCAACAUAAGACGACAUCAAUAUAAAGUAAUUAAUUAAUAAAAAAAAAAUCAAACUUUUCUCGACGCUGUUAUGCAUGGUGUUGGGAAAAGUUUGAUUUUUUUUUUUAAAGAAUAAACUUCUCUCGUUGCCAUUAUAUAUGACGUCGGGAAAAGUUUGAUUUUUUUUUUUUAAUUUGAAACUUCUCCCGACGUCGUUAUGCAUGGCGUCAGAAGUUCCCCUUUAAAAAUUUGAAGACCGUAAAAAAUCUCUCAGUCUUCUUACUUUUCUUCUCCUUUUUCCUCGAAUGUCUCUUUCCCUUAAGAUUUACUGCCACUUGUUGUCCACCGUCCUUUACUUGUUGUUGUCGUCGACGCUUGUGAGCCGUCGUCUGCCCCUCAUUGGUAAGUGUUUUUUUUUCUUUUUUUUUUUUUUUUUUGAGUUUGAAAAAUAAUAUUAAAUAGGUAUGUUUUUUUUUAUUGUCAAGACCUUCCUUUUGUGUGUUUUUCUCCUUGUUGUCACCAUCCGCCGUUGCCCUUCCACCAUUGCUGUCAACCGCCCCUUGCCAGUAAGUUUUUGUUCUUACUUUUUUUUUUUUGUUUGAGGUUGAGAAAAAAAUAUUAAAUAUGUGUGUUACUUUUCUAGGUUUCUUCUAAUUUUGCUAAUUUCCCAUUCGUUUUCUUCUAAUUUUCUAUUCAUUUUUCUUUCGUUUUCCAUUCCAGGUUUCUCUAGUUUGCAAUAUAUUCUUUUUUAAAUAGAGAAUUUUUCAAUGCACAAAAUGUAGCAUCGGGAGAUCCUCUCUCGACAUAUUUUUCUCAACUUUGAUCUUGAUGCGAAUUUAUGCGUCGAAAAAUCCUUGCUGAAUGCUUUUUCAUAUAUCUCCCGAUGUUUUUGUGUGUCGAGAGAUCUCCAUUUUCUUGUAGUGAUAAUUAAUAACAUUUAUUAUAAUAAUAACACUUUAUUAUUAACGGUCAAUGAAUUAUAUUUAUAAUCUACGAGUUUUAGGACAUAAAUCCCAAUAUUAAUAUUUGGUACAUAUAUCGUUUAGAUUUGACCGUUAAUUGGUACACGAUUGUUUAUAUUUGAUAGUUUAGAUUCGGAGCCAAAUCUAAACCAUUUUUUUCAAUAUGCUUUCAUAUACAGAUCGUUUAGAUUUGGAUAUUGAUACACGAUUGUUUAGAUUUGGUACAUUAUCGUUUUUAUUUGGUACUACUUUCAUUUAGAUUUAACUAUCCAAAUAAAAACGAUUUUUAAAGAUUAUUUGGUACAGGAUCGUUUAGAUUUUUCUAUUUUUGGUACAAAAAUCUAAACGAUGUAACAAUAUCCCAAUGAUUUUUUUUAGCAUCUUUUAUAUUUGAUACACGAUCUUGAACAACCAAUUAACAAUUUGAAAAGAAAGUAAAAGAAAAAUUAAUAUUUAUAUUUGGUAUGCGUCCUUGAACCAAUUAUCAAUUUUGAAAAGAAGAAUAAGAAAAUUAUAGAAGAGGAGGAAAAUACGAUAGACUCAAUUCCAAAGAAGUUUUAGGUUAAGCGAUCUUAUCCACAACUAAAAUGAAAAGCAUAUAUUCCAAAGUGACAAUUUGAACAUAACUUUUCUUUUUCCUUUUUGAUUAAAUAAUGAAAGUGGAUACAUAACAUCUUUUUCCAUAUUAAUUAAUUUAUAGCUAAUAAUAAUUUAUUAAUUUGGAUCACUCAUGGAAUUUCCAAGCAGAGAAGAAAUCAUAUAAAUAUAAACAAAUUAAACAAAAAGUGGUGAUUAAUUUUAUCAUAUUUUCAAAUCUUACUUUUUUGAUAACUUCUCUAAUUUUUAUCUUAAAAGGAAAAUAAAAUAAGAAAUUAAAUCUACUAAUUUAUUUAAACAAAAAGUAGACAUAAAACAAAGUUAAUAUAUAGUAGAGAUCAAACUUAAUAAAUUAUUAUGCACCACAAAAUGAACUAUAUGUUUCAUUUGACCCAACUUUUGUUUCAAUAUUAUCGUUAUUCGUUAAAAUACGUGUAGUUAAUAUUUUUUAACACUUAUUUUCAAUCCAAACUUAAUAAGACAAACAACUAUAAUCGAUGAAAGUUGAUGAGAAAAAUUAAUUUAUUCUCUCAUACAUACCAAAGUGUUAGAAUUUCCUAGUCUUUUGAAGAUAAUCAAGUAUAUUCAAAAUAAUUGUUUGAAAAGUUAUAAAUGUUAUAGAAGCAAUAUUCUUUUACCAUGCAAUAUUGUCACUUUCAAGUACACAUAAAUAGAAUACAACUUAUCUCUUGUUGGUAUUUAAUUUGCAUGCAUAACUUUUUGAUCAAUUCAUCAAAAUCUCAAAUAUUUGAAGUAGUACAUAUUCUUCAAUAAUUAGAUUAAUUUUGGAUAACUACAUGCAUGAUAAAACUAUUAUUCUACUUGAUAAGAGCAUGAAAUCAAAUGAAUAGAAAGAUAUGCAAUUUCUUUAGAUAUUGUCAGUUUCUUUGUCACUAGAUUUUCCAUUUCUAUUGGUCAUAUGAGUUCUUGGUUGGUUUAGCCAAUUUUGUUAAAUGUUUAAAAGUCACAUUGAAACUCCUCAACCCUCCAAGAAAGCACUAAAUCCAAGAAGGAUAUGAUUGAUAUGACGUAAUUUGAUACAAAUUCCAUGUAUGUAGGAUUCUCUCUCUCCAAUAAGAAUAUCAAGCCUCUCUUUUUCUUAGUCCUUAUAUCAAUUCCAGUAUCUUUGUGGGGUAUAUGAAAGAAGCUGCAUAUUUUCCCAUUCAAAUUGUAAAGUACUAGUCCUAAAUCUUUUUAAGGUUUUCUUACUAGUAGAAGAUUAAGAAGGCUUGGCCAGUAAUUAGAAAGAAAAGAAAAGAAGGGUCUCAAUAAAUGACUAAAUAGAUCAUGGAUGGCUGCUACUUAAAGAUUAAAAUUCUAUAAGUUUUCUAGGAUUGGAUGGAUUGUAUGAUUAGUUUAGUUGAACUGUAAACAAACUGUGACCCAAUCACUCACCAAUAUUUAUAUACAUAUACAUAUAUAUGUAAAAUCAAUAGAAUAUUUAGGAGAAAAGAAAGUUUGGUUGAAUAAAUCCACUCAUUUUUCAUGCCUAUGAAACUCUAAAUAUUUAAUUGAAGUUCAGAUAAAGAGUGGAAUCUCUCUUAAAGGAGCAAAUUAUGUGGCUGAAAGUGAUGUAUAAAGUGUAAUAUAUAUAUAUAGAUAGAUAAUACACAAAUUGGUUGAAAGUGAUGUCUAUUAAAGUGAUGAGUGUAAACUCUAAUGCUUUUCUGAAGGAAAAAAACUUCUGUUACUCAGCUUUGACUUGAAAAAAAAAGAAAAAACUACUUUCGGUUCAUUCUCUCCAACUUCAUGAAAGUGGGGAAAGAGAUAACUGAAAACUUUUCUUCAAUUUGCUAAUCAUUGUUUGAUGGAAACUUACAUUUUUUUUUGUUACUCAAGUCUGGAUUUGACAGCGUUUUAGUUUUGAGGUAAAGCUGUGUUUGAAUUCAUUUUCUGAAAAUUAAGCUUAUCCAUGUCAAAUUGUUAUUCACUUCCAACUAGUGUUUGCAAACAAAACCAUAUAUCUAGAAAAAAUAGUUUCUAACCAGGGAAGUUAUUAUAAAUGUUAAAAUUCCAUCAAAUAUUUAGCAAAAUUUUAGAUUCUAUCAACCAUAAACAUAUCAUAACCACUUAUACAAGUCUAUUCGUGUUUAUUAUUGAUAUAAUCUAAAAAUUUUGUUAUAAUUUAUAAAUAUUUUGAUUUAUUUUAUUAUCUUUAAAAUUGUAUCUUUCGAAGUGUUUAGGGUUAGGACCUGCACACACAAGAGAGUACCUGAGCCCAAUAAAUCCACUUUGCCUCAUUGAUAAUGAGAAAAUCGUUAAAAUAGCAAAUUCUGAUAUAGAAAACUGAAAAAUAACAAAAAUAAGAAAUAAUAAGAUUUUUUGCAAAUUAAUUGUGUCUACUUUUUCUUUUUCUUUUUUUCAUUAUUUCGAGAAACCUUUAAUGAGUUUCAAAUUUGCCCUCAUCAUCAUUUAAUGGUUGAUUUUUCCACAUGAUUUGAUUUAAAUUUGAAAUUUAUGUAAAUCUUUUCAAGUAUUUCUUUGGCGGAUUUCAUAUUUUUUAUUCCCUAUUUUCCAUCUCUCCCUUAUUUAUUUAUAUACAAAUGAUUUACAUAUUUGAUUUUCUAAAUCUUUAAAACAUUCAUCUAAUUAUUCAAUACUCUUUUGGGUGAUAUUUUUUAUUUUCACCUCUCAACAAAGGAACAAGACGAAGAAUCUCUAUGUGUUACCAUAUUUGGUAAACAUCACCUAAUAUCAAAAUCCCAAUAUCCCUCGUAAGGAAAAGAAAAGAAAUGUCAAGGAAAACCAGAGAUUGUGAGAUCUUGUGAGUAGCAAAACCGAACUUGCACUGAAGGGCAUUGAGAAGGAUAAUGGAGUAUGAUGGAAGCAAAGAAUUGUAAAUUUCUACUCAGAUUCUGUCGCAAAAGUUAUGAAGUUGCUGGCCGUCGAAUGUCUUCUUCUUCACGGUCGAAAGCUCUCAAAUUGCUCAAUAUCCACGUUGUCUUCUGUGAGUAUAAUGGAGGUAAGAUAGAACGGUUUUUGUAUAGGGAAAGUAAUUUCCACUCCUUUCCAAAACCAUAAAUCCCACGAUUUAUUCCAUUUAUUUAUUUUUUUAUAUAAAUUAUCAAUUCAAUAAUAUAAAAUGGGCAAAGAUGUAAUUUGGGCUUUAAAUUUGUGUAAGAUAGUGGCUCAUUAGUAAUUUUGAGAAAAUUAUUAACAAUUUAGGUAUGUAAUAUCAUAUAGCAAAUUUGGCUAUAUGAGUUAAAAAUCAUUUCUUAAAUAUAGAUAGGGUACAUACACAAACUACAAAUAUAAAUAUACUUUUUAAAACAAUAAAAAGUAAAAAUAUAAAGAAAUGUUGCAAUUCAACAAAUAUGAAAACCACGUAUUCCAAAAAUUCAAAAAAUGGCUAGUGUAUUUACGAAAUCUAAAAAUAUAACAAUGUUUCAAUUUUGCCCUAUUUAAUGGAUUGUAUUAAUUAUAGACAAGGAUGAUCAUGUAGAAAAUAAACAUAUAAAUAUACAUUUUAAAAUAAUAAAAAAUAAAAAAUAUUAAUCAACUUAUUCUACGUAUCAUAUCAAAAAUAUUAAUGAACGUAUUAAUGCCUCUCGGUUAACUUGUCGUGCAUAUUGGAGAAUUCGGAUGAAUUGGUUCUUUGGAUUGAAUUUUUCCCCCACAUGUUUUAAGUUUCUCUAAUCACUCAUAACUUUCAAAUUACAUAAAAAAAAGAAUUGUCUUUGUACCUAAAUGUGAGAUUCAUUCGGUAUGCUUAGAUUCAAACUCCUCUGAAAAUCAAUACACGAUUUUCAACAGAACCAUCAUUUCACCUUAGUAUGAUCUUUGUGCCACACACAAAGAGGAUACGAAACACACCUCAAGUGUAGGAGCUUGCAAAUGCCUAGUUCAUUUUCUUAUGACAAAUUAUUUUAUUGGUCCUAAAAACGGCAAUAUUACAAAUAUAUAUAAGAAAAAAAGUUUACAAGACAGAAAUCGUCAUAUUGACCCAAAAAGGAAGUUGUUACUUGAAAUCAACCCCAAAUCUCGAUAACUUAAGUUUUAUUUGCAUAAUAAAAUUUGUAACAAAUCAUAUUAAAAUAACAAAACCUUUCCCAAGAAACAUAGCAACAAGUAUGAAUUGAAAUAAUAUAUUUUUGGUACUAAUUUGACAUCCAUUUGAAAAGUGAAGAAGGUGAAAAGCAUGCAUUGUUUUCUUCAUUUUAUAAUAUCUGUAUUGAACCAUGUAUGCCUCUAAUAUGAAUAUCUUUAUGGAAUUGUUGGUGUGUUGUUUUUAUUAGAAUAGGAUAAACCCUUCGAAACAAAUUCAAGUCGGCAAACCAAUUCCAAAACCAUCUCUCAUCUCUCGUCUCUCACCUCUCCUGCCCUUAUACUUUAUUCCUUUUUCAUGUGUUAAUUCCACGUGAAUUCAGUCCUUAUCUUUUCACCCAAAGAUACAAAUAAUUUAAAUAAUUUAGGUGUGAAACCACUUCAAGAAUAUUGGUCGGUUAUACCCUGUUGAGGCCAAUUUCCAAAAUUUUGAGUUCCAAUACUUCAAAUAUAAACCUUCCAAUUCCAAAUCCCUUUCCACUAUUUUAAUGGCGGCUACAAGCACGUUUCAAAAAAUUAUAUAAAUUUAUAAAUACCCUUUCAUUCUUCUAACUCAGAUCUUCAUCUUUUCCAUUUCAUGUGCUAUAUUUUGAAGGUGGCGAACCAGGGUGGCGGAGAUGGAGACGGCGACCGAGAUGAGCUCGAGGGGAUGUUCUCCUCGUCUGCCGGGGAAUUAAUGGCUAUGGUUUCGGCUUUGACUCAUGUCAUUUCUGGCGGCUCUGCUGCUCCGGCGACGGUGCGGACGGCAGUGGGAGCGCCUGCGACGGGUUGUAGAAAAAGAGAGAGGGAAGAAGGAGGAGAAAGUGGAAUGAUUGUGGACUCCACAGCAAUGCAGAGUUUUUCCAUGCCCUCCCCUGCAAUUUGUUAGUUCUUAAUUCUUUCUUAAAUUUUCUUUUUCUUUUUUUCUAAUCUUUUUGUCUUCUUGGAAUUUAUUUUAUUUUUGUUCUUUACAUUUGUUUUAAAAUUUUCAUUUUCAUCCAUUAAGCUUCUUUAUUUUAAAUGCUUUUACACGUCUAAAACAGAUGACUUUAUAGAUUAAUUUUAUAAAAGCUACGGAUGAUUUUAGAAAAUAAACUAAAAGGAAUAUAGCAGAUGAUUUUAUAAUAUUUAUUUUUUAAAGCUCAAAGUUAAAAUGGGUAACAUUUAUAUAAAUUAGAUAAAAUAGAAAUUAUACAGUCCAAUAAAUUUGAGUUCAACUUUCAACUUUAAUCUUAUCUCUAAACUAAAUUAUAAACAUGACCUUAAAUCAAAAGGUCAAAAUACAUAUGAUUAAUCAAAGAUUAGGGGUUGCUAUCAACCUUCCUAAAAGGAAUUAAAACAUUUAAAAUGAAAAUGACCACUUUCAAAUUUGAUCAUAUAUUAUUUUUAUCAACCAAAUUUGACUAUCUUUUUUCUUGUCAACCAAAGGUGAAUUUUGUAAUUCUUGUGUGCAGUUCUAAGAGAAGAAGGAGGUUCAAGUUCAAGUAACACCAUCUCCGUCGUGACGGCGGCAACAACGGCACCUACAAUGGCGGCAGCAUUUUCCGGCGAGGAUAGAAUAAGAAGAAGAUACAGAGGAGUAAGACAGAGGCCAUGGGGAAAGUGGGCUGCCGAAAUUCGUGACCCCCAGAAAGCUGCUCGAGUUUGGCUUGGCACUUUCGAUACUGCAGAGGCCGCCGCUCGAGCCUACGACGGCGCCGCCUUGCGCUUCCGAGGGAGUAAAGCCAAGCUCAACUUCCCUGAAUUUGUCUCUGUUUUUCCACCGUCGUCUUUGCCGUCAGCCACCCAUUUGGCGUCGUCUCCUGUGGUGGUACCACCGCAAGAUGCCAUCGGAAACUAUCUACAGUAUUCUCGUUUGCUUCCGAACUCUCGCGAAACCUCUAGCCAGCCGGUGCCGGCGUUUGAGAGAGUGCUCUGUAAUUCGCCAUUAGUGAAUCCAUCCUCUUUGGUUUCAUCUUCCGGCGUUUCGAAUUUUCCUUUUCCAUCGUCUGAGCAACAAGUUAGACACUACCUGCCACCGGAAAACCAGAGCCAAGGCAACGGAGGUUCUUCGAUGCCGUUUCCGACGGGAUUCAGCUAUCGUCCUCCGGCAAACGGGUGAUGGUUAAUGAUUGGACCGUUGAAAUCUAGUAGUGCCUACUGCCAUUAAGAUUUGACAGUUCUUUAGUAUUUUUUAAAAAUAUAUAUAUAAUUGUCAAAUGCUAUAAUUCUUUAAAAUUUUUAGGCUAAGAUACACUUUUACUUAAGCAUUUAAUAAUAUACUUGGAAAUUUGUAAUACAUAUUUUUAGGUUUAAAUGGUUUUUUUGUAAUAAAAAAUAUGAACGAAAACGUUAUCAAACGAAUCUGUUUAAGAACAAUAAUAGAAUUUUAAUCUUAUUUUUAAACUAUAAAAUUUAUAAUAAUUUAAUUUUUUUAAUAAUUUAAUCACUAUCAUUGAAAAAUCUUAAAAAUUGAAUGUUAUUUUUCAUAAGUUGGCAUGGUUCUUGAUGUAUAUGAAAAGGUUGGAUUUUGGAUUAAUUUAUUGAUUUUAUAUGGGUAAGAAACUUUGUUGUUGUUCUUAUUAUCCUUAUAUAAGAAUUUCGUAUAAGAAAUUUGCUUAGGAUAAAACUUAGAAUCUAAUAAACAAGGUUUCUUGAUUAUAGUAUGAGUAUUUUAACUUUAUGAAAAGACAUAAACGUGAAUCAAGUUCAAGUAAUAGUCUAAAUAGUUUAUAAUAUAGGAAUAAAGUUGGGCGCGCCUUAUUCUGGUCGGGACACCAUGGAUGCAACCCACCUUGUAGUUAUUACAAGUAGAGUGAUCCCAAGCGAUGCUCAUGUAGAAACAUGCAAGUAGGAGCAUCUUAUGCAUUGAGAUUGUAUAAGAUCAGACCAUAAAAUAGUCACUUUUAUAUUAUAACACCUUUAACUUAUUAAAAUUGACUAUAUUUCGAUUAUUAAUGAUCUAGGAUAAUUCGACCUUAAUCUUGAGCUAACUAUGAACUUCUGUUCACACGAAAUUAUUCUUAGAUCUACAUAGGUGAUUGACAGUUCAUCAACACUAAUCAAAUAAACCUUCUAUUUCAGUGGUAAGAUUGGGUGGAUGGCUAGGGAAGUAGAGUACAAGAUAAAAUUCACUUUUGCACGCUUUUAGGGUUGGUAAAUAGAUUGUUCCUAUAAGUGCUGACUUCAAGUUUUGAACGAAGGGGUUCACUCUCUCAUUGACCCGAGAGAGAUUUGAUUUAUAUGUUGGACCUUAAAGCAAUUGUUCAUUAGAGGAUCAACUGAGGGUUAGGGAACACGAUAUAAUCUUAUGGGUAAAACGGUAAAUUGACUUAGUCAAAUUUACAAACAACCUAUAAAGAGUUGACUUACCUAAUUAUGGAUAUAUCAGGUGGACAAAAAUGCUACGGGAAGGAGAGUACAACUAUGAGUUAUAGUGGACAAUACUCCUCAUUAAUUAACGAAUGUUGAUUAACUCAGUUAAAAGAGUUUAGCUAGUUAAUUAACCUUGGAUCGUUGGAGCUCAUGAUUUAUAGAUCCAUUAGGUCGCUCUAUUAGCUUGUUAUGGAUUUAAACUUAAAACAGAGUGAUUAGGAAUAAAAAAUGUUCGAAUUAGUUGAGAAAAUGAAUCGUUAAUAAUAUUUAAUAAUAAUUAACAAUUACAGGUUGAGAGAGAAACAAUAUACUUAAAUAUCAUUAAUUUGAUUAGGGAUUUAAACAAUUGGAUUGAUUGGGAUACAUGGUGAAAUUAAUAAUAUAUUAUUAAAAUUAAUUUAAAAUUUUAAUUAAUGAAAUAUUAUUAUUUAAUUAGUUAAAAUAAUUAAAAAAUUAAUUAAUUAGGUUGAUUAAUAUAAUUAUAUAAUUAAAUAAUAACUUUGGAAAAUUAAACCAACUUUCAAAAUUCAUUUUUAAAAGUUAAAAUGUUUGACUCACCAAAGUGGUUUUUUUUUCAAUUUUUAGUACAUUAUGAGUAGGAGUGAGUAUGAUAAAGAAAAAAUCCGAGCUGACCGACCAGAUCAAAGUUGGUCAAUCAAAUAAUGAGAGAGGUUGGUUUUAGAAAGUUUCAAAUCGAGAACUUUCAUAAAAUAUUUUAAUUGCUAAACUGACUCGACUCGAUCGAAUCUAACUGACCAACCGACCCUUACACAUCAAAUCAAGGUCGAUUUGACACUUCAGUUGGAUUUUAAAAAAAUCGACUUUGACCGACGAUCACCCCUAAAUUUAAGUAAGCACCUUACUGGAGGAAGGUGUAGUUCUCACCAUCUACCAAAGGUAAAUUUCUUACUUAUUAAAAUUUGAGAAUAAGUACUUACAAAUUUUAAGCUUACAAAGGUUAAAUUAUUGUCAACUAAAUUUUAUGGGCUAAAUUUCUAUUUUUUCACAAAUUUAAGUAUCAAAAGGUGAAAAGUUUAUUUUAUAUGAACAGACAGCAAUGUUGAUCAGAAAUAAAUAUGCAUACACAUAAUAUAAAAACAAGUCAAUAAUAACAUAAAUAAUACAACACUCAUGACUUAUUAUCAAAUACACACUUAGUAUUAAUACAAAACUAAUGCAUAACAUCAAACAAUAAUCCAUUGUAUAUGCCAAACGGUGAACUCAUGCAAAAAUUAUAUAAGUGGCAACAUUUUUUAAUUAAAAUCGUGCAAAUCGAAAAAUCUUAAAUGUCAUUUGUCCAAGAGUUUUAAUUAUAUACUAAUUAAAAACAACCCACUAAAAUUUAGAAACACUUCAAGCAAAUAUUGGUUGAAUGAAAACUAAAAAUAAUUUUCAUGAUUUACACACAGAACAUGGUUGUGGAAUAAUAUACAUAUAUAUGAAAUUCUAAAACAAAAUCAACAUGAUCCAACAACAAAUUGGUAUAUGAAUAUUUCCUCAAUUUCUCAAUUUUAGUAGUUCGAAGCUAAUGGGGUUUUCAAUAUUAUCAUAAAAUAUAAAUUUGUCUUAAGAUUGUUAACAGUAUUAUCAUUACAACAAACAGAAACUCAUAUAUGCAUUAUAAAUCUGAGUCCAACGAAUUCACGUUGUCUCCCUAAGAUAAAUUUACUCAUCCUAGUGCUUGAGUUUUGAGAGUAGUUGUCUCCCACGAUAGAACAGAUAAACUUUUUUCUAAGAGUAGCAACAUGUCUAGAAGAUCAACAAACGAAACUUUGUGGAUCGAUCGAACGUCAAGAUUAUGGAUAAUGGAAAAGAUGUGUGUUCUUUUAACCGAAUAGAAAAUGAUUUAUUUAUAGACUUAUUCGUGGCCAUUUGAAAAGUCAUGUCUUUUUCUAUAAGUUAGUUAUUAAUUUUCAUGAAGUGAUGCAUUCACUCAUAAUGCAUCCAUUCAUGAAGAAACACAAAACAAUUACCAUUUAUUCCAACAGUCGCCUCCAUCCGCAAGCCAAGCUAACAUGUUUUCUCCCAGCUACGUGCGCCAAUCUGCCUCCUCUCAGCCACUGCAACCACGGUUGCGUGAGGGGUUUUUUUUGGUAUUUUUGUUCGUUUUACCCGCAUUUAAGUGAAUCCAAUGAUAAAUUUAAUUUUGGAUCUAAUUAGGGUUUUUCUUGAUGGUUUUUUCGACAAAUUUUGGAAGGACUAAUUUGUGAAAAAAAUUUCAUCAAAGGUUGAACUAGUUUCAACCAAUUGAGUAAGUUUGGAAAAAUUUUGGAUGCUAGCCAUGGGUAAUUUUAUUAACUAAGGUUGUUAAAUUUUCCCUUAUGAUUUAGGAUCGUGUUUAUUGAGGAAAAAUUUACUAUAAGCAAGCAAAUAUUUUAGCUAAUAUGAGUUAUUCGAUUCUACUACUAGACCUUUGAGUGGAAAGUGAUUCUAUUACCUUUCACUCAAAAUUUAAGAGUCUACAUGUACUGGUUAUGCAUGGACAAUACUAAACAACAUUAUAGGAUUGUUGGUUGAUCUUGUGUGAUGUAUAACUUACGUGUGGUUCGACGGGAUCCCUAGCCGAUCUAAAAUGUAUGCUCUUAUCAAAUCUCGUGAUUAUUCAAGUUAUUUUUCUUGAUUUCUGAACUAUUGUUUUGCAUUAAUAUUUUCAUAUUUGUCAUUGAAUACUAUAGACGAUUUGUCUCUUUUCUUUCUUCUUUUUUGUGAUUCAUUCAUCUUCUCUUUCUAGACUUCUUCAUCUCCUCUUCCAAAUUUUCUUUCUUCUAUUUUUAAACAAUUUAUUCUUGUUUAAAUCUUCUAUUUCAUCUUCACUGUUUUCAGCGAGAUUAUUUAAAGCUAUUUCAUUUUCUUCAUAUUUGAUAAUAUCAAAGUUGUUUAAAUAUCAUUUUGACCUGAUCUAAACAAUCGUUUACCAUUGUCAACACGAUCGUUUAUUAUGGUCAACACGAUCUUUUAAAUUUGAAGUCCAUUUUCCAUCAUCUAAAAAAGAACGACACAAUUAUGUGGAUAUGAUCUAAUCAAUCACUUACCUUAAUCAACACGGUUGUUUAGCAUGGUCAACAUGAUCGUUAAAAAUUGAAGUCUUUUUUCGAUCGUUAAAAAGAACUACACGAUCAUGUAUUAUGACCUAAACGAUCGUAGAUCAUUCAUUUAGACUAUAGUACACAAUCAUUUAGAAGAAAAUUACUCACACGCGUGUGUAGUCGAUUAAUCGUGUGUUGACUGUGGUAUUUUGGUAUUUUUCAUUGUAGGUCUGUGGGUUUUUUUCGUUUUCAAAAUUUUUCUAUAGAGUAUAAAUAUUUUACCGGUUUGUUCUAUUAUUUAAAGACCCUUUAAAAAAUUUUAAAAUGUAGAGAAAAUUUAUUGAGUCUUUAAAUGAUUAAUUUUCAUAAAUAUAACAAAACACGGCCCGUAUAACAAAAUAAAAAAACAUAUGAUAUUUUUAUAAAUUUCAGGUUUGCCCUUGAAUAAGGUUAUCAAUUUUUUACUUCUUUUUCUUCUUGUUUGCAAUUUAUUCAUCUCAUUUCAUAUUAUUACUUCUUCAUUUUACAAUAUUAUGAUUAUUUAUCUAAACAUUUACCAAUUUCUUCAUUUCCUUUUCCACAUUUUUUUCUUAUUCUUCAUUUCUCAUUUUUCUUUUUUUCUUCUUGAUACAAGAUCUAAACGAUCGUGUAUCAAUAUCUAAACAAUCAGUUAUCUAUCCUAGAUAGACAGAGAUAGGCCACUAUCACUAAUAAAUCGUUUUGAUUUGUUACAAGAUCGUUUAGACUAUGUAGAAUGGUACAAGAUCAUUUAAACUAUAUAGAAGGGUACAAGAUCGUUUAGACUUGCUAAGAGAUCGUUUAGGCGGGGUAAAAAAUCAUUUUUCGCACGUGUGUAACUAAUUAAUCGCAGGGGCAUUUUGUAAUUUCAUGUCGUGGGAUUUGUUGGUUUUUUUAAAAAGAAAUUAUUCUAUACCAUAUAAAUAUUAAAAAAAAUUCUUUUUAAAUUUUAAAUUUUAUAAAUUUAUAACCUAUUUGACAUUUAGAAAAACUCGAAGACCUACUAUAUACAAUUAAUUAGUUUAAAGUUUUGCAGCAAAAAAAAAAAAAGAAAAAUGAUUUAAAACAUAAUUGGUAAACAUGUUAAAUAUAUGGAGGACUAAACUUGUAGUUUAAUACAGUUUCAUUCAUUAAUUUUAACAAGACAACUGCAAUACAUAAACACAAAAAUCGUAGUGUGUAUUUUUAUUAGUAUAUACCAAAUAUGGCCCUUCCUUUUACAAUUUUGUAAAUAGAACAAAUUUCUUACUUUUUUAUCUUAAUUUUUUUAGAAUAGUGUAUAGCAAAUAUGACAGUUUAAUUUUACAAUUGUGGCCAAAUUUUCAUUCUUCUUAAAUAUGUUAUUCUUCCCAAGUUAUCUUUGAACGUAUUUUUUCUCCCACUUUUUAAAUUCUUAAUUAUCCUUUCUCUUACGUUCACUAUAAUCUGUUCUUCCUUGUUCGUCCUCACCCAUAGAUUUCAAUUGGUUUCCUCUUUUUAAGUUCUAGCAAAUGUGGCACAGGUUAAGGUUCAAAACUCAUAUCAUGAUGGAAUUUUUUUAUUUUGAUUUCAUCUUUCAUUAUUAUUGAUUUCCAUUUCGUCCUUAUGAUUUUAGGAGUUUGAUUUUUUGUAUUUGUCAACUAUUUGAAUUACUUUUUUUAAGUUUUAUUUAUAGUUUUGCUUCUUUUUUUCGGUUUCGUAUUAAUUCCAAUCUGAUCUAUAGUGGUUGAUGAGUAAAAGAAUUUAACUUUAUAUACGAUUGUUCUCUGCUUUCUCCGUGUAUUUUGAAGUUGAAUCUAAUUUCAGAUGAUUUUAUUUUACUUUUUUUUAUUGGUUUUGUUUUAGUUGUAACUUGUAUAUUAGUUUUGUAUAUUAGUGUUGUAAUAUACUUAAUAUUAUAUAUGUUGGUUGGUUGAUAUACUUACGGCAUGAUUUUCAAUUUUUCAAAAUUUUUGCAAUUCAUUGUAGCUAUGGUCAAGUAUCUAAUCAUUUUUUUUAUCAAAUGUAUCAAUUUACAACCAACGCAUUACUAAGGAUAUGAGCUGUAUAACUCAAUUUAUCAUUAUCAAAUACAUCAACGAUAUAUUAGUAAAGUAUAUUAACAUAUAAGUAAAGUAAAUCAUUAUUAAGUAUAUCAACAAAGUUUACAAGUGGAUAUCAAUAGUGUAUCAGUAGAAUUUUAAUUAUAUCAAGUGUAUUCGUGAAAAAUACUAAGUGUAUCUACAAUGCAUCAAGUGUAUCAAACAUAUCACUGUGUAUCAAACGUAUCAAAUUCGUUGAGUAUACUAGUGAAACAUAAUAAAUUUAUCAAUAGUAAGAAUAAGUGAAACAAUGAAUAUUAGGUGUACCAAAAAGUAUGAAUGUAUCAAGAUUCAAAGGAUAUCAAGAAGUGAUAAAUAUAUCAAGAAAUAUCAAGUGAGUUAAGAAGUAUUAAAUGUAUCCAAUGCAUAUUAGUAACAAGAAACAAGAGUAUUUAAAACAUUUUACCUAGCUAUUUUUUUUUACAAUUUUUACAAAAGAAAUAUAUAAAUGUGUGCUAUCGACUUGAUUAUUAUAAUUUGUUUCAUCCUUUGAUUUGUUUUGACUUUUCUUGUAAAUGCCCUUAUCUACAAAAUAUGUAAACCAACUUAUUAACAAUUACAAAAUAUAUAUAAAAAAAUGCACUUCUAAACUAAAAAAAAAAAAAACCUAUAAUGCGUAAUUAUCAAAAUCUAAUCAAUCAAAAAAUAAAAGACAAGUAUUAAAGUGAAGCAAAAUUUAUUACACAUUGAAAUGGAAACAUGAUCAAAUGCAUCAAGAUAUGUAUAUAAAGGCAGCAACAUAUAUUCGAGUUCUUCCAAAUGCGUAUUCGAAUUCCAUCAAAGAAAGACAUUAACAAAACCCUUGAGCUAAUACAAACUAUAAAAGGGAACAUAUUUAAUUAUCUAUUAGAAGUAGAGUGAAUGUCAGUUGAGUACAACAUUGCACCACGAACAAAAAAUUAAAAAGAAAUCAGCCUGGCUAUUGAGUCAUCAGAAAGCAUAAGGAGGGGCCUCAAGAAAUGAAUUGAGAAUGUGCCAGAAUAUAAUGUUGUGAAGUAUAAACUACCAAUAAAGAAAUAGGAAAAAAAAUGUUUGACAGCCCAAAUCACUACUCAUUCCAAACAAUUACAACCAAUACCAAUUCUACCUUUCUCAGAAAUUAGAUGGAUCUUCAAGCAUAAACAAAAUGAAGAAAAUAAGAAAAGAACAAGAAACAAUAAUAGGGGGAGAGAAUUAUAUAAUUUUGUACCUAAAUGGGAUUCCAUUUGCUUUCCCAUCACAUUAUGUUGUUCAUUACUGCAGCUUUCCCAUCUUUAAGUGCCAGAAAAAGGAGCUUUCCUUCCAGCUAAAAGAAACGUCAAUCUAAACUCAAUUGUGAUACAUUAUCCCUGAAAUGCCUCUUUUGAUGUUACGUAACCUCGGCUUUCAGUCACAUUCGAGUUGGCAAAGACCUCAGUUGCAAUUUCCCAGCUACCACUUCUUCUUCCCCAACUUGAAUGUCGGUCUGAUCGAAUUGUUGGUGCUUGAUGAUCAGAUUCCAAAACAGGGUCAGUCUCUGGGGCAUUAAGAGGCGGCCCAUUACUUCCUCUACUACGUAUGUCCUCUGAGAUUUCAUCGAUGUUACGACGCUGGGAGAUUUUCAACAAGUCUUCCCCUAUAUCAAGAUCGUCUUCCACUUUUGACCGUGGAUGUGAAGCCAAGUCAUCUGCUGCAGCACGAGGCAACUGAGGAAGAACUUGAGGCCUUGGCACCUCCUCUUGGAUGAAAGCUCGAAAAUUAUUCCUUGAUGGCUUUACUUUUGAGCAAAAUACUUCAAGAAAAUUAUUUGCACAGCCCCGAUUGAAAACAUUGAUCCUAUUGUCAGCUCUGUACCGGAAAUUUUCGUAGGUUGUCUGUAAAAACAUAUAGUGAAACCACACAACUAAUUAGUUAGGACCGAACAUAACCAAUCAUCUAAUAAAAAAAUUGUAAGACCUAUGCAUUUUCAUUUUCUUCAAACCAUUUGUACUGAUAUCCAGAAAUUAGAGAAAAAAUAAGCCAUACAACUCCACAAUAGCUCCUUGAUUUUAAGAGAUCAAUUGCAUUUUAUUUGAUACGACAGAAGGCAAAAUAAGGUGAAGUUCUAUCCUUCAUUGCCAUACAGAAAUAUCACCAUAGUAUUUGUUAGCACUAGCAGUGCAGAGCAUUCAAAUUCCACAAAAAUGAGACUAAAGUUUUACUCAUUAAUCCAUCCAUGAAAGGAAAUAAUCUCGGUUUAAAUCAUUUUGUGUCGUUAAAAAAAUUAUAUUAAAAAAGUAACUUUGGGGGAAAAUAAUUUUUUUUCAGUUCUUGGAAGAAAUGACUUUUUGUUGUUGCUUCUUUGCGCAGCUGUAUAAGCCUUCAAGUAACUGUAGGUUUCUCUCUCCUUAUACCAAUGGAAGGAAGUUGGAGGAAAAGAAUUAUGUUUAGCCCCAUAUUUGGUAUAGUUAAUCCAUUUUAAAUGGAACUUUUCGAGCAAGUAGUGCAAUAACUACUUUCAAUGAAUUAAGUUGGUAUUUUUCUAAAAAGAUCUUUGGCUAGCACUCUUGAUGAAGCUGGACAAGACCGAUCUUAAAGAAAUUGACUCAGCUAAUCAUGUUAGACUCGACUUAGACCUUUUAUUGUUCACUUUUCGACAUACUUUUACCACUUUAGGUUGGUAAUUCUAUGUUACAAUGUCAAAAUUUCUGUGGCUUGAUCUUUGAGCUUGAAAUGGGUUGAUAAUUGUGUGAUCUAUGAGUUAGUUCGCAAACAAUUUUCUAAUUUAGUGUAAAGAUAUUAAUUGCACUGCUCAGUUCAAGUUUAGGGUUCAACGGGAUGAUCUUAAAAGUUUGUCGCUAACACUAAUCAUGCAUGUUGAAGCUUCCCUCCCCUCAUUUUAUAUGAAUUUCUAUCAAUCAAACAAUUUCUCAUAAAAUAUUCAAAAUAAAUAAAAAACAUCCAGCCCACAAUACCCCAGGAUGAAAUUAAUCUUAUAGCACCAGUUUAGACACAGCUCCUUACUUCAUUUGAAGUUGAUUCGCCAAGAAAUAAACAUAUCACAUUGAGGCAAAAACAAAGCAGUUUAUGAUGCAUCUUCCAUUUUCGAAGAUUGUAGAGUAGAAAAAGAAAAUACUAAGACGAAGUGAAGAACCAACCUGAUUAGUGCCAAUAAGAUACAAAUGGAAGCCAGUUAGACCACCAACAAACCAAAGGGAGACAAAGCAGUAGGCCAUUAAUAUGACUGAUGCAGGUGAUUCUUUCAUUGCCUUCCAAACAGUGCUCUCAUAUUGAUCCAUCAGAACCUUGAUAUACAAUGCUGACAUUGCAAACACGUACAUGCAAAGAAGUGUUGAAGAAGAUACAAACAUAAAGAAGUAACGGUAGUUCCGCUGCAUGAACCCAAAAAUGGAGAGAUAAUAUCAGCUGUCAAAGUAGAAAAACACAUAAAUCUCUUUUCUCUUUUCAUUGGUUCAUUCAUAUUUGUGGAUUGCAGGUGCGGGGGGAUGAGAAGCAAGAAAGAUACAAGGGAUUAAACAUUAAAAUCCAACCACCUACCAACCUACACCCUACAUCAAGAUUGAAAGGAACCAAAAGGGAGAGCCAAAACCCAACACACAGCAUAGAACAUUAAGUGGAGAAGGAAAUUGAAUCAAUCUGUGAACAGCUUACCAGUCCAAUACAUUGACCCACCCAAGGGCAGUGAUGAUCAAAAUGUUCCACACAAUUGUUGCAAAUUGAGCAGUGGGAGCAACGAGGAGGACGAUAUAGCAUACACGUGUCACAAUACUUUACUCUUACUGGGAGCCCAUUCACAAUAACUUCUUUUGUCCGUGGAAACUGGAGACUUGGAGUUUGCCUUCCCCCAACAUCAACUGAUACUGAAGAGUCAAAACGGAUUUCAUCCUCUGGAGGAUGUGAAUUGCGAGGGAUUAUUCCUGGGUCCCGGGCUGAAGUAAGGAAAAGAAGUACCAGUACCUACCAUCACCAAUAACUAAAUUACAUCUCAUCAAGGCCUUAAAUUCAAUGUCAAACUACAAAAGUUUGCUUUCAAAAUUUUCUAAGUUUGUUGGACAGAUAGGUAGUGGUAAAAAAAAGUGAGGGAGCAACAAGAUGCAACAGAACAACAUGACCAAGAACGGUAACAGUUGCAGAUUUUCCUAGAAAGAAGAUAAUAAUAAGGUUCAGAUUUGGGAUUAAAUGCUUGUGCAAAAAUCGACAUUCAGUUUUCAUGACAAUAACUUGAAUGAGAUAACAUCAGAAAUUCCAAAGUAAAGGUGUAAACAUAAUUUCAUACAACGACUCCAACAAAUCAGACAUCACAUAAUUUCACAAAUGGUAGGAACAGUGCUUAACAGUAAAACUUCCUCUGAUUACACAGAUGAGAUACUAAACCAUAUAGAAGUCUGUUUCCUUGAUUAAUAAAACUAAAUUUCUUUUAUCUCUCAAGUUACUGGUAACCGCACUUUUUUGUUCUCAGUUCACAUUAAUAGAAAACUAAAUACAUAGAAUAUAGUAUGGUUAAGAGAAUAUGCAAAUAAAGAAAGAACAAAAGAAAGAAAACAGAGAACAUAGAAGAGAUCAGAUAUUUCAUCAAAGAUAGAACAGUUCUUCGUAUCCAAUUUGCAUAAAACACUUUCCUUCUAACAAACAAUAAUUUACACAAAUACUUAAACAUUAAAGAAGGGUCAAGAGGUCUAACAUAUACAGUAAAAACAAUGGCGACCACCAGAAUGGCAUAUCCUGCAUUAUAUGAUGAAAAUUUGUGUCGAAGAUGUCUUGCAACAAAUGCACAAAAGAUGAUAACUGGAACUGUAAUCAAAAGUAUUGUGACAAGCAACGACCUAGCAUCAGGCCCAAAUAUUAGUCUCCCACCAAGGAUAAACUUCUGCAAAAUCACAAGCAAAAAGAAAUGAGGGGAAAAAAUAUUCAAUAAUAUAGCACAUAAGUGUAAAGAUGGAGGUGGGGAUGAGUAUUUUAAUAUUUACGACGGGUAAAGGUAUCAGAACAGUGAAACUCUAGCGAGUUUAUAAGCUCCAUACAAGAAUAAGAAAAGUUGUAGGGUAAUAGGGUUAGGGAAGUAGCAUCCACAGGUUGGCUGUUAACACCCUUAAUGUAGAAACACACGGCAACCCCAAAUGAAAUGCAUAUAUAAAGCAAAAAAUUAGAAUGCAUGGCAUCAACUGAAAAUUAUAUCAUUCUAAGAUGCUAUUCUCUUCUCACUUAGGCUACUCCCGAAUGUAAACAAAGUUAACCACCACCUUCACUGUUUUAUAGAUGAAUAGCACAUUGAAAACAAUUAUUAAGCAACUAAUAAAUGGACUACCAUAGCAGAUAGACAAAAUUUGAUAACGUCUUUUUCUAGUUACAAUAGAUAUAAUUCUUAUUCCACCCGCCGUGCUUGUUAUGACCAGCCUACUACAAAUCUGAGAAGGCCAAUUAAAUAACAUCCAUGCAAUUGAAAAUGUUUCAAGUCACUUCAACCACUCUGAUCUGGACAUCCAGGCAAGAAAAAAUACAUUAUAAAUGUGGACCAUUUUGAUUCUAAUAGCCCUAUUUUAUGGAGUACUUCAUUCUUAUCUAUAUAUCCUUUCAUUUGUGUCUUGAAGUUUUAGAGAAAUAGAGAAAUACAUUUAAUGUAGCUCUCACAAAAAAGUGUUCCAGUUUAAUAACAGGAUUUUUUAGCAUAUCAAUCUGCUUUAAUUUCAAACAAUCACAACUUACACAAACAUGAUGUGGAUAUUGCAAAGAGACAAUAAAUAAAAUAUCCAAACUGAGAGGAUGUUAGCAACCAGGGUAGUAUAGGAUGCCUUUGUCCCACAUUGGUUAGAAUCGGAUGACCAAUGUGAUACUUAAGUGGCUUGGCUCUCCCACCCCAAUAGCUAGCUUUUGGGGUGUGGUUCUCCAAGGUGCUUAAGUACCUCACAGCAGAGUUGCACCAAAGGUCCAAAAUUUGAAUAAAAAAGGAUGGCAUAUUGAUAGUAUGAGCCAAAUGUUCCAUAAGACAACUACUGUUAAACCUCUCAUUCUCAGACAUGCUUAAGAAUCCUACGAAGAAAAAUGCAAUGAGCAUUUUCAUUUUAAAUUAUUACCAAAUCAAAGUGAAACCAGUGCUAAUUCAUUAGCUAAAGACAAACACAAAAUCAUACCAAUAAGUUAUAUGCCACAUGAUAAUUUCCAAAAUCAAGUCUAAAACAUAAGGAUGGUUUAUAAUAAAAUACAUUUUUUUUCAUAUUUAUUAUUUUUAAACAUUUAAAUGAUUCCCCUGUUAAAGUGUAUUAGUUUAUGAUACUAACCCAUUUAAAGCAUAAUGUCUUAUGUCGAGAUAAUCAUGAUACAUCCAAAUAUAGUUAUCAAUUUUCUAUAUGAAUUGACAUAUCUCAGCUAAAAGGAAAUUAGAAGUCAAUAAUGCUUAUCCAUUUUAUGUAUUUCACUCCAAGAAUGCCAACCAAGUGUGUGACACGUCCUCUUUUUAUUUUGAUAAAUUAGUGUUCAAUGUUUGCCCAAUAAGUGUCAUACCCAUACUCAAUUGGAUCAUCUUCAACUAAUGUCUAGCACAGUUGGACUCAUACUCAAUUGAUUCAUGGUUCAACUAAUACUUAAACUUAACACUAAGUGUCGAAGUGUGAAACACAGAUACGUUGCCCAAAUCAAAAUGUUUGUGCUUCAUAGGUGCUACACAUAUUACUAUCAAAGACAUGACGAAAUCUCUAAUGGUUAGCACUUGGCAGCUAUAUGGUGGACACAUACCUCGAAAAUAAGUUUGUCUACAAUUCAAAAUUCACCAAACUUUCUUAGAAAGCAAAGAAAUUAAAACCUCUUCACAGACAGAAUAACUCAAGCAUAUGGCCAAAGAGACCAAUGGUCUAAUAUUCUUACUUUUUCUGAACUAUUCUACUGGAUUUAGCAUUUUAUCGAUCUGACGAGAGACUGAAUUAGUCGUUCUCACCUAUACUCCUCUGUUCACUCAAAAGAGAGAACUCUGCGACACGAAGCAACACAGAACGUAGAUUGAACAGAAACGAAACAACAAACAACCAGAACAAGAAAAGCUUAGAUAAAUGUAACCUCACCAAUGAGCAUGUCAAAUGAAGUUCCAGUAACAAAGCAACCCACUACUAUCCUCAGUUAACUCCCAAGGCAAAUAUGGGAAAACGAAAAGAACAAACAAAAUACACAAUGAAGCUUCCUUUUCAACUUUUCAAGUGGACAUAACUCAGGAAGCUAGAGCAAUGGCACAACCCAAAAGACCUAAAAUUUUGAACUUUAAGGACGAAAAACAAAAAUCAACAGCAAACCCUCAAAAGUUAACCAAUAUCCCACAGUGAAAAACAAACGAUAAAACAUCAUAAUGAAAAAUAAAAAAAAAUGGGAAACUCACAUUACUCCCUUUCCAGACUUGGUAUACGCGAAUCGCCAUGAGGGGAUGAAGCCUUUCAGUUACGCAUGAAACAGGAAAGUGGGAUUUGAAAGUACUGAACGCUCAUCUCAUGGGGCGUCGAAAACCCACAAAAUCACAUUGAAAAAACACAAAAAAAAAAAAAAGAAAAAAAAAGACUACAAUUGGGUGCGAUCCAGAGAAUUAAUUAGAGGGUUUUGGAGUGAUUGGGUUUUUGGGUGUUCAGAGUGUAAUUAAACAAGUUAGAGAGCGGAAGAAGAAGAGGAAAAAGAGAGUAGUAGGUGAUUGAUCUGUGCUUGUUGUUAAUGUAAAAUGGCGGUUUUGCAUUUUGGAAUUUGCUUGGAAUUGUGGCUUUCUUUUUCCUUUUUCUCUUUUCCUCUUUUUUGCUUUUUGCCUUUCUCAGACUCUGUGGAAUGUUUUCGACCGAAAUUCUACACAUAAAAGGCAACGCCAAAACUUCUUUACCCAUCAAAAAGCAAAAACCUAAUUACAUUACAACUAAGAAUCUCUCAUUUCGUUCACUAUUAAGUUUCUUCUCAUUGACCAUAUGGAAACCUUUUCCAUUUUCUUAAUUUCCAAGUUUUUCUUUCUUCUUUUUACUUCAACAUAUAAACACUGACAUUUUGAUCCACAAUAUCAUAUUUAAUCCGUUAAAAUUACUUGUGGUAUAAUAUGAUUAAUUAGGUUGUUAUAUAUAUGUUAUGACAAUUUGUAACUAAGUAAAUGAAUGGAUGAGAAAAGAAAUGACUUGUAAUGGAAAAAAAAUAUAUGGUUGCUCGAUCUCAUGGUAUCCAACUCAAAAACCUUAUAACUUAGUAAAUCUUGUAGAUCAACAAGAUUAUUUAAAUAACAAAGAUCUCACUUAAAUUCUUUUAAUCAAUUUAAUAGGUAAAACCUAUAGGUUGCAAGUGAAUCUAUAGAAGAAAAAGUAGGGUAGAUUGAAAACUAGUAGCUAAAGGUUAUACCUAAGUAGAAAGGGUUGAUUAUGAAAGAACAUUUUCUCUUGUAGCAAUGUUAAAAUCUUUGAAUCAUCUUAUCUAUUGUCACAUAUUAUGACUACGGAAUAUGUCAAAUUGAUGUCAAAAUAGUCUUUUUGAAUGAAAAUAUUGAAGAAACAUUAAUAUGAGCUAACCAAAGGAGUUAACGAAACAAGGUCAUGAGCAAAAAUCUUGCAAGCUAAAACGAUCAUCUAUGGAUUGAAAAAAGCAUCUAGAUCUUGGGAUAUAAGAUUUGACUAUAAACCCCGAAUCUUAUUGAAUUUGGAUCUUUUUAAGAACGUGAAUGAAUUUGUUAUAAGUAGAUUUAAGAUAAGUAAGUGAGCUUGAGAAGUGCAAUGAUAAGUGUGCUAUGGGAGGUAAAAAGGAAGGAAGGCUUUGGUGAUUUGGUUUAAAGAGGUUAGUUGGAAAAGAAGAGAGAAUUUGACUAAGUUUGGGAAGUUGGCGUUUUGGCCAUAGCAUAGACGUUUAGAGGUUAUUUUAAUGUUGGUUAGGCGAUUUGGAGGUGACCUAGGUGAGAAGAGUUGUGUGAGAACCUCUAAAGAAGUUAAUUUGGGCUAGAAGAGGACUACAACCAUUUGUGGGUUCUGUGUGAAAAUUGUUAUCAAUUCAAUUAUAAAAGACUUUUCAAAUAAAAAAUGAAUAUUUUGUGAAGAAUAUGAAUACCAUUUGAAAAUGAGUAGUUCAUAUAGAAUCGAACUUUUGAUUGAUCUAGGUACUUGGAAGCCUAUAGAUGAAGACAUGGUCUCUAUGGAUCUCAUUAAAUAUUGAGAUUCGAAGGUGGAUCCCAUUGAAGGGGAUUCAGAGGAGUACAAUGACUCUUCUUAUGAAGACCGUAUUUCUUCUUCUCAAAUAGAGACAGGAUUACGUGAGGCUAUUCAAACAAGCUAUGCUAGGCGGCCAAGAACGUCUUGUUAGUGUAUGUGUUCGAGAGGUGUAGGAUAACCUCUAUUGGUGCUUGGCAAAUUGACAUGUUAGGCAAGAAAAGUUUAGUUAGAGGUUAGUUGGCAUAAGGGCAUGUACUGUUUGGAGGUUUGUAGUGAGACAAAAGAGGUUAGUUGGUUUUAACUUGGCCUUUUGGUAUGUCCUUGACUCUUUGGUAAUUUGAUUAGGCGAGAUGAGAAACCGGUGGAGUUGUUCAAAUGGUUCCACGUGGCCUUUGCAUGCUUAAGUUAAAUUUCGGCUGAGGAAGGUGUCAAUAAAGAUUCAUGAACGACUUAGUAGAAAUAGGUCACUUCAUAUUCAUUUUUCUCCCAAACUACUUGUGCAAAUUGGAUUAUUUUGGUUUCAAAAGUUCACAAAUUAAGUCUAUUUUCUAAUUUGAGGCUGUCAAUUUAAUUUGAGAGAGGGAAAGCUGAGUUUGAACUAAAAGAAGAGAGGAAGGUCAUUCUCCGGUGAAAUCUGGAAAAUAUUUACUCUAAAGAGGAUACAAGAUGUAAACAAUUUUGAAAAACAAUUUUUCUUAAUUAAGAAAAAGCCCAACAUGUUCACGUUGUGGGCUUAUAGUGUAAAUAUUUUCGCGUCUUGUUCUGUGAAGUUUGACAGUAUAUGGUUCCAUCUCAAAAUCAAUUGGUCAUGGAAGGAAUAACCCAUCUAUGUUAUAUGGAGUAUGAGUCUAGUUGAUUUUUCUAAGGUGAGACUCUCAACUUCUCCAACAUGUUCUAUUUUUGAAAAAAACCCUUAUAAUUAAUCAAUGACAAUCUAGUUAUAAUUAUUAAAAUAACUAAUUAAUUUAUGAAACUAAAGUAGUUAAAUUCAAGAAUUCAUAAAUGAAACAAAUCACUACAAUAUUUACAACUUGGAUAAUAAAAAUAAAAAAUUCAUGAAGUUAGUAAAAUAUUUUUAUAAAUUUCAUAUUUGUCUUUGAUAUUGGGAAUGAUUUGUCACUUCUAUUUCUUUUUCUUGUUUUGCGAUUUAUUCAUUUUCUCUUCUAGAUUUCUUCAACUCUUCUUCCAGAUUUUCUUUCUUCUAUUUUUAUUCUUCUUUAUCUUUCUUUCGGCUCCUCUUCCAGAAUAUCACGAUAAUUUAAAUAUCACUUUCAUAUGAUUUAAACAAUUGUUUACAUAGUCAACACGAUCGUUUAGAAUUGAAGUCAUUUUCUCACUAUUUAAAAAGAACUACACGAUUGUGUGAUUACGAUCUAAAUGAUUGCUUACCAUAGUCAACAUAAUCAUUUAGCGUGGCCAACUCGAUCGUUUAGCUUUGAAGCAUUUUUUCCAUCGUUAAAAGAAACUACACGAUCAUGUUGAUACUAUCUACACGAUCAUGUAUCAUUUUUUACAUGGUCGCAUAUCAUUUUCUACACGAUCGCAUAUCAUAAUCGUUUAGCAAAAGAAAUAUGCACGUGCGUGUUAACAAAAACAUUUUUUAUAUUUUCCAUUGUGGGUCGAUGAACUAACUUUAUUCGUUUUCAAAAUUGUUAUAUUAGGUGUAAAUAUUUUGCUAGUUAGAUUUUUUUAAAAAAAAACCCAUAAUUCAAAUAUAAUAAUUAAAAAUUUAAAUUUAUUUCUAUAUUAUAAAAUCAAACUUAUAAACAGUGAACUACUCGAAAUAUUUCAUAUUUGAUUUUUAUGAAUGAUACUAUAUUUUGUAAAUAUCUUGAAAAUGAUUGAUUAUCAUGUAUAAAUUAAUUUUUUAAAAGAGUAUAAAAUCAAUGAAUUUAAAUAAUAUAUAAAAUAAAAGAAUAUAUGCAUGAAUUAAAAGAGGAAAGAGAGUAGACAUUUAGAAAACCCACGCUUUUGGAUGGGCAUAACUCAAGGGUAUAAAUUAAAAGAUGCAUGAAAUAGCUUAUUUCCAUGUCUAAAGCUUCAAAACUUGAACCAAAAAAGAGGAUAUGUAUCCCAUACCUACUCUCAUCCUCCAAUCCUACUCUCAUCCUCCAAUCCAAACAACUCCUUAAUAAGUUUGGUUUUGUCUAUUUGCCACUGGACAAAGAUCAAUGAUUGGCUGGAUAAGUUGUGAUUGGGGACCUUUUUAGAAAAUAAAAAAUGUACAAGGUUAGGCGACACCUGAUUCAAGGUAAGGGUUGGGGUUUUGAGGGAUUGCACGAUUAGUUUGAUACAUUUUAGGAGCUAUUACUUUAAUUAGAUACAGGAUGGUCUUCUUCUAAUAAUUUUCCUUUGUGGCAAGGGAUUCUCUCCACCACCUUCAGCCCCUAAGUGGUUCCUUUUCCUUAUAAGAAUAUAGUUCUUUCUGUUUUAUAUAAGGCAAAAGAAAUAAGAAAUAAGAAAUGAGAAUCGUUCUAUAUUUAUUCAAGAAAUCAAAUUGUAAAUCUAACAACAUUUUAAAACAGAAACGAGACAGUAUUCCAAUACCAAGGUUAUGAAUAGAGGUCGUGGAACCUUAUUUCGAGACCAAAAACAUGUAAAUCAGAAGCUAGUAAGAAGGAUCUGUAUACGUUCCAAGCUUACUAAGAAAUAAGAGCAUGAUGAAGCCAAAUCCAAGGGAGCAGAAGUCUACGAGUAGCUCACUUCUGGCGCUUGUAUAUUUUACCCAAGAAAGACUUGAGAACCGCUUGAAUUGCUUUGCUGGGUUGAGCUUCAAUGGAGGCAUUCAGUUUAGCAUAGCUCUGACUCUCAUACUCUGCAAAUACACCCUACCCAAAGGAAACUAUAAUAAGUAACUGAAAGAGAAAGGACUGAAGUUGUGGAGUUGCGACCCUGGUUUUUUGGUUCCAUCAAUAAUUUAGAUGCUGAAUUUUUGAGUAAUUCACAGCAAGUAUGCAAAAAAGUACUUAAAUAUAAAAAAUUAAAAGUGUUUUAACUUCCUUCUCUGAUUCUUCUAAAAUUUUGCAAAGAAACUGGUAAGAUUAAUGUGCAUAGAAAACAAACAAGGAAUUUAAAACGUCAUAUUUUUCCUUGUUGUAAAAUGAGUAAGGUUUUAGUUUUUAUGAUGUAAGGUCAGACCUGAAGAUCGAGAUCCUUGUAGAUGGCCUUUACUUUGGCCACAUUUUCUGGGUCUGGUUUCCCAUAAGCCUCCUGGUAAAACAAAAAAAUGAAGCAACUUCUUGCAAGACAGAUGAGAAAACAAUCAAGGAAUUUAAAACGUGACAAUUACAUGUAAUAACUUCUUUUGAUUGUCGUUGCAUAGCUCCAGAGCUUUCACAACCAACCAAGAGCAUUUAAAAUCUUCAAUGUCUGUUCCCACCUGACAACAGUUGAUUCAAGAACUUCAUGAAUAAAAGAUUUGUCAGAACCGUGCAAGGAGUGAAAAGUUCAACAAGAACAGGGCAUGACUCACCUUUCCUAUGGUUUCAGGAUCGCCAAAACAAUCUAGAUAAUCAUCCUGUUCACAUUAUCACAAAGUCACAUGACAAGAGAUUAAAAGAACACACACAAAAAGAAAAAUUUUCUACUUGAGAAAAGAAUUAAAAAAAACUUCGAGAAAAUGGAGCGAAGUUUAUUCUUGCACCUCUUGAAGACAAAAGCUAAAAUCCUCGGAUUAAAAGCAGAUAAGCAUUUAUGUUUGAAGAUGUGGUUAAAGAAGAUUAAGAGAAUGUUUUUGAAUCAAACAUCGGCUUAAACAAACAUUUCUUAAAAAACCUAAGUGUAGUUCAGAUAAUGUGAAUGCGACCUCAACCCUAAGAAAUCUAGAGAAAAUCAGAAUCAUUAAUCAACCAUUCAAGUGAAGGUAAUAUACCUGAACUUGAAAAUAAACACCCAUCUGAACAAGAAUGUCCUUAACUGCAAUAUGAUUCUCAAGAUCUUCACCUGCCAUAACCAGUGCACAAGCAACCUGCAAUCAUGACAAAAACAGCUCACGGUCAAUCAAAUCUAUCACAAACAAUACUGAGUAUUUUAUUAGAGAAAUGAUCUGCAGAAUAAAACUUCACACUAUGUAUUUUAUAAAAAUGGAUAAUGCAAAGCCACCAAAGAAGCUACUAAUUCUUCAACCACUUCACACACACUGCUUUCUUAAAGUGGAGCAAGGAAAAGCUACUCACCGGAAGGUAAAAUGAAUAAUAGGCAGUCUUGUACUGUACAAUGCGCCGAUGACUACAAAAGUUACAUUAUAUGUGCAUUAGAAAGCACCCCAAAAUAAUAUAUGAAAGUGAAAACGAUUGAAAUGUUCCUGGUUUACUUGUUCUUUCACACAUAUAGUAUGGCAUAUACCGUUUUGACUUUAUUGCCCCAAUUAAAGAAACCAGAAAAAGGUUUUGAGAGUUGAAACUUACAGUGAUAGUGCAUAUUUGGAAAGAUCUUUUUCUCCUUCGAUGGUGGUUAUCAAAUCAAUCAUUUGUCCUGAUGCUGUUUGAAACUCAACCUAUUUGAACAUAAAAACGUGAAUGUUAGCAUGUUAUUAGAUCAAGAUUGGAAUAAACCCAUGUUAGUCAUUGCCAAGAAACUACCUCGUUAAAUAAAUCGAGCAGAUCAACGUAAUAUGGCUUCCCUUUGAAGUGAUUUUUGAGCAUUCUAGGAAUAUGAUUUCUAAGAAGAACUCCAUCGUUUACUGCAAUCAUCCCAACCUACCAAGAAAACCUAGAACUGUUCAGCUGUUAGUGCAAUAACAGUUACAGAUUGAAGAAUGCUAUACAUUGUUUCCUAGAAAACCUUGGGUACUCUAAACCAGCAAGGUUGACCACGUCGUGUGACAGAGUUAUCCAUAAUAUCAUCGAGAACAAGAAAAUAAGCCUGGAGCUGCAGAGAUUUGAGAAAAUUCAUGAGGAUGUGGAUAUCAUCUUGUUUAUCAAUCCUCCAAGCAGGACAACAGAAUGAAUCAUAUAGUUAUAUCUUACCCAUUCAAUACACCAACCAAGAACACUAGUAAGAAAGAUUUCGUCUUCAGUCAGCUCCUUCCCUUCUUUCAAUAAUCUAUAGCUAUCAAUAACCGAGAGCCCUCGGUUAAGCUUACCUGCAGGAAAAAUGAUUUCACAUUAGAAGUUAGCUUACUUCCUCAUAAAAAAUGUCCAUGAAUAGUCCGACAUGUCCAAUAAUAUGAUCAAUGAACAGAAUCUUUCGCAUGAUUAUUUCCCACCUCCAGGCACAUUGUAGUCCAGCAUCUGUAAAGGACCGAGAUAACAAUAAACAAAUGGGAAUAUAAACUAGAAUCAACUGUAAAGGACCGUGAUAACAGCAAACAAAUGGGAAUAUAAACUAGAAUCAACAGUUAACUAGAAACUAUGUCGAUGGAUGACCAAAAGCCUAGUAAGACAGAAACUGAUUGGACUGAAUAGUAUAUCAAGUGUCGUUUGUUUAAGCCCACUCAAAUGUGGACCCGAUUAAUUUGACUAGUGAAACGCAUCAUUCAAACCAUGUAAAUCUUAUAUUGCUAACCGAUGUAAACAAUAUAUAGAUCUAAGGACCUCAUUUCUCGGUUUCUUAACUGUACAAUCAAAUCUACGACUACCAUGACUGAAACACGUUCCAUUAGUUCCUUUAGCAGUUCAUAAAACAGCUCACAAUUACAAAAUUAGGCCAACAAUUUCAAAAUGGCACACGGUAAUGGAGAGCACUCGCCUUUUCAGAUGAGUUGGCUAAUCGUAAUCAAGUAAAGAGCGAAGUUAAGAAGUAAAUUGGUGGAAUUAAAAAAAAAAAAAAGUGUUACUCGUAUUAACUGAAGAAAGUGAAGAAGCAGAAUAUUAUCCCUCUAGAGUUUGGCAUUGGAAAGGAAGAAACAAAAUGGAGACAGGAAGCACAUAGAACCCAGAAGAACAGAAGGAGAAAUGGAAAAGAAUCAAAGACGUUACCCGUUCGACCCAUUGGCGAGAAGCAUCCGUAAACUCAAACGCAGGGUCCUGAAGAAGCUCAGAUUUCAGAACCGAGUAGACCUUGAGGAAGGUUGACUUGAGAUCCGCCAUAGAAGAGAGAGAAAUGAAGAAGACACAGAGAGAGAGGAAGAUAGAGAAAUGAAAAAGAAAACCUAGAAGAAUGAAGGAUCGAUGUAGCUUGAAAAUUGAAUUUCAAGGAUGGAAAAUGUUGGGAAUGCAACUUCUCAUAUGCCAGUUGAAAUUGCAAAUUGGUAGGACUAAGUGAGAGAAGGCGAGGUUCUUUCUAUUCCUCUCGGCUUUGACGAAGGGAAGGAGAGGUAUUUUAGAAUAAUAAAUAGUGUAGUAAGAAAUCGAGUGGAUCUUAAUCUCAGUUAUGAGAACGCGUGGCGAUUUUUGAUAGAGUUGAUGAUUUGAUGAUGGAUCCAGGCUUUAAGUUUGAACGAUGAUGAUGGAGAGUUUGUGAAACUGCACGCAUUGGAUAGAAGCAGGGAAAUCACGUGAUACGUUUAGAACAACCUGUUAUGAACAACGCGGAUCACAUGUUUUUGAUUUCGCGGAUUUCGCAAUUUCACGUUCAUAUGGUGGUUUCUGAACCGAACUCUUUGUUUCGGUUCAUGCCCGGUUCAGUCGGUCUUUCUGUAAUACUUUUGAUUGCUUUUUUUCGCGGUUGAGGUUUGGAAGUCCGGAUUGUCAAAUGGUUGAGUCCUGGAGGUCUUCUGAUCUGAGUAGUUGUUGGUCUAAAAAGGGGAAUGGAGAUGGCGGUUUGUGGGUGUGAUGUGUGAAGGAGGCGUGGAAGUUCAAAGAUGAGAGGAGAAUGGAUAUAGCUACGGCCGGCGAAUUGCAAAAGGAGAAGCCCGUGGUGAAAACUGAAGUCCCAAAGCUUUCAAGUGUGGGAUAUGGCCGCUGAAGAGCGCCUUCUCUUUCGGAUUCCACGUUUUCUUUUUUGAUCAAUGGUGUGCUCAACAAAGUUUACGACUAUUAUGGGUUAUGCGAUAAAAUGUGCAUUCUUAUUCAUGCAUUGCUAUAAUGAGAAUUAAACAUUGUCACACAAGUUUUCUCCUAUGACGCUUAAGUGCAAGCGAAAAUAAGUUUUCUGGUAAGUUCACGGUCGAACAUAGGAAAUUUAAACUCUUAUUUUAUCUAAUCGCGUACUAAAUGACAAAGUAUACACUAUACACUAAGGAUAUGAACAAUAUAAUAUUGGUUCUAGAUAUUUACACUGUUGUGCUUGGCUGUGCAAGAUGAACACGAGAGUAUGACAUAAUGAGAUAUGAACUCAGUGUAGGCAUGGCGGGGAAGAAAAAUCGAAUUAACUAAAGGCCGUGAUUAAUGUUUUAAUACUUUGGGUGACCUAAAACAUGUAUUAACUAAUAAUUAAUAAGGCGAGCAACAUCUCGGUGCUUCAGUCGUACUUACUCACCUUUCGUGAUACAAUACUCAUGAAUAAGCUAUGAUUUAUAUCUAACAAUCUUAAAUACAAUAACAGUAGCUAAUUUUUACUUGGGAUGUACACUUUUCAGUGCUUUCAACACACUCACCAACCUUUAAGUGAUGUAUGCAAAGGAUGAACUUGGCAACAAGAAUGCACGACUGCAUUCUUUCCUCCAUCUGCUCAACUAAAAGUGGUUUUCACUUGUUUAUUGAUUACGACCUCUACUCAAGCCCUUCUUUUGAAUGAACAAGGUUGAGAUACCCACACUUAGCUGAGCAGAACUCUUACUGAAUUUAUUAUGAUUCUCUGAAUAUCACAAACAUCAAUUAUUACUGUUCAGUCAACCAACUAUGUAGAUUUGGGUAGACAAAAAUAUGGGAGAAUGGAAGAAGAAAAGCAUUGUUUUCAUAGAUAAUAUGUUAAGUUUUUCAGUCAUCAGGUUUGCUUACAAAACAAUACAAUAUAAAAAUUACAAGAUGGAAAAACAACAGAUGAGUUACGCCACAGAGUUGAUCUCUCAUACUAUUUGGCUCUGAUUUUUGUCUAUAUCUGAGGGGAACAAUGGAAGGGAUGGAUCUCUCUCUUCUUUAUUGUAGGCUUUCAUCUAAAACUCAAGGGAAGGGAGAUGAAUGGGUGGAGGGAGGAGCUUGCUUUUCCGACCAAAAUUGCACACCGAUUAAGGAGUAAGACGCUUUAUUUAUAUACGAGGACUGAUGUUGACAAGCUGCCAUGCUCCAUUACAACCUCUGAAAAGCUGCAAUUGGCCUUGCUCAAACGUCCUUUUGUUGUUUCUCUGAAUUUUCUGCCAACCGAUUUUGUCCCUGUUGCCUUAAUCACAUAGCUUGUACUUUUAUUUCCGCAAAGGUUGGGCUGGACUUCUCAUAGAAACAUAUUCUCGCCGAGCUUCAUUCUUUUUCGCCUAAAACAACCUGCGACAAGAGCACUAAAUACUAGUGAAUCAGGGAUAAGGUUCUAUUGUAUUAUGUGAUUCGCAAGUUAACCAAAUCGCUAAUUUUUUCCUCUAUUUUCUUCUCUUUCCAUGCGAUAAGACCUCAUUAUUUUACUCAAAAUGCUACAUAACUUGUAUUUCUACAAAUUAUCACGUACUCCCAUUAAUUUUUAGAUAUAUAUAUCGAUCAACAACGUUUUCUCUAAAUCCAAAAGAUGUGAUGUGAUAGAAAUACAAGAAUGGCCGUGAAAGAGAAUCGAGAUGGAGCACUCUAAUUUCAUCUAAUUAACAUGAAAUUGAAAAUUAAGCAAAAAUAUUAUUUCAAGAACACCAACCUUUGAAUUUGAAAUUCUCCUUCGGUUCUUCAUCGUUUUCGUCGAUUUCAAGUCGUGGACGACCAUAAGAGUCUUCUCUAAUAUUCUUUGUGAUCUUUGGAACGCAAUUUUUGUGAUUGAAUCUGUGAUUGAUUUUAUGUAUCUUUUAGAGAAAACGAAAAGUAUAAACACUUCAUAUUUUUCUCCAAAAUUUUCUCAUUCACCUCUCUCUAUUUCUCAAUUAAGCAAGUAUAUAUAUAUAGAAUUAUCAUGAAAAAGUAAUUCAUAUGGAAUUGACACUUAAUUGAUGAUCAGAUGAUCAUUAAAAUUUAAAACUAUUUGAUUUUCAAAUAUUGAAAUUCUAAAAUUCUAUUAUUCAAUAUUAAUUAAUCUAAUUAAUUAAUAUUAAUAAAAUAAUAGUAUUAAAUUAAAUCUUGAUCAAUCCAAUUGAAUUAAUUUGAAUUUCUAUUCAAAUUUUUCGAUAUUUAAUAUUUAAAUAUCAUUUGUUUCUAAAAACUUGUUAAUAAUAAUAAUCAUUUACAAAAACUAAUUCGAACUAUUCAAAUUUUUUAUCACUCUAUUUUAAAUUUUGUUAUCGUAAUGAACUAGUAGAUAGACCUAGUAGACACAUAUAGGCUUAAACGAUGCGAGAGUAACGGUCUAAAAUCUUUUAGACCAAGCUAAUCAACAUUCGUUAACUAACAAGUCAUUCUACUAAAAUUCUAUAAUUGCACUCCUCCCACCAUAGAUAUAUUUAUGUCUACUUGAUAUAACUAUGAUUAGUAAGUUAACCAUUCACAAGUUUUUCGUAAUCUCAACUGGGUCAACUUAUCGUUUUACCCUUGAGAUUACUUCUUGUUCCUUAAGUACCACUCAUCCUCUAAUGAACAAUUGGUUUAAGGUCCAACUUAUAAACCAAAUCCCUCUCGGGCCAAUGAGAGGGUGAGACUCCUUGUUCAAGACCUAAAUUCAAUGCAUAAGGGAACAACCUAUCUAUUGACUUUAAAGUAGAGGUGUAAGUCCAACCUGAAUAACCCAACAACUCAAAUUACCCAACCUAUAUUAGGUUAACCGAAAAUAACUCAAAAGAAAAUUGAGGAUGGUUUCUAUGUGGGGAGAAACAAAACACCACCUCAAACUCAAUUCACUAAACUACAAUAAUAUCUAUCAAGAUAUAACUACAUCUUUUAGUAACUAAUUAUUGUGAACUUAUACAUUCAUACGUUUUUUUUAACUCAACCUAUUAAAAUCAAAUGAACAAAGUCCUUUCAUUAACCCAAGUCAUAGUUAAAUACAAAUGGGUAACACAAUAGUAUUAUAGAUGUACGUCUUGAACUCUAAACAUAAACAUCAUGCACAGUCUCAUUCCUUCAAUACAAUCCAUAAUAUUGUACGCUACUCUCUAGCAUACAAAUAUGGAGUACUGUUUUUAGAUUUUAGAACUAUACCUCUCUGUAUGAAUAAACUUCACAAUGAAAUUAAACUCACUAACUUAACCAUUACAAACUUACAAUGCCAAAUUAAACAAAAAAAAAAAAAAAAAAAGAUGAAACUUGGAACGAAUCACAUAGCUUGAAGUUAGUUGAAUCGAGUUACCUUAGGAGUUUUCGAAAUCGUUGCACAACAUUUAAGUAGUCGAAACACGAGCCCAAUCGACCAAACAAACCCAAACCUGUUUGGUGGUGGUGAUAGAAGCUGGACGACAACAAAAAUUCUGGAAUUUGUGAGAUGAAAUCGAUAAAGAAGAGAAGAAAACAUUAGAAAAAAGAGGAAAGGGCCACUGAAGGCUUAAUUUACACUUAGGGUAAAAAAUGUCCAUGAAGUUUUAAAAUUUUCAAAAUAACCCUUAAACUUCCAAAAUGAAUUCAAAGUAUCCCUAUAGUUUUUUUUUUUUUUUUAUGGAAACCACUGGUGUUUUAUUUGAAUCGACCGAAAUUGUUAAUAUUGUUUUACCUUUUCAUUAUCCAUCCUUUUUCUCCUUCCCUUCUUCGGUAACAUCUUACUCCCUUUUACUAACUAUUUGACAUCUCUGCGAUCUGAUAGUAUCAUUCUUACCUGUACUCACAUGCAUCCUAGGAAAAUUCUCAAGAGGUCACACAACAUAGAUUCGUUCCGAGCUAUGCACACUUAACUUUGAAGUUCCUAUGAUCGAGCCACCAAAAAUGUAUUAACUUUUAGUUCUUUAGUCUUUCUUAACCUUACUUUUAUGCUUUAGGAUCCGUCUCAUUCAUAUGUGAUUUUGGUUUAUUCAUACUCCUCUCCUAAACUCAGGGUGUUACGAAGUUGGUGUAAGCUAAAAACUAAGUAAUUAAUAAAAGAAAAUACCAUAGAAUUGAUAUGAAAAAAAAUCAUGAUAUCUAUAUAAUUUGUUUUUAAAUUGAUUCUUUUCAAACUUAAGAAAACUUCAAAGAAAUCCAUGAUCACCAUUAAUAUCGUAGGAGAAUUUUUUAUUAUUUUUAUUUUUUAAAAUUUAUUUUUGUUUUGAGGAACUGGCUUUUGUUCAAAUACUAACGAUAGAUAUAUUUUUUUAACUUCUAUUAAGUUAAAAGUACUUUUAAAAUAAAACAUUAAUAGUUUUCCUCCAAAACUAACACAAGUAAUUCUUUUUAGCCCUCUUGAAAAGUUUACAAGCAUUUUUGAAAAUUUUGAAACUUUAUAGAUAUUUUUUACUCAAAAGUGUAAGGUUUAUGAACAUUUUUUUAAUAAUUUAAUUUUAUUCUUAAUCAUCGAAUUUGACUAACGUAACCUUUUUAUUCAAUAAAAGAUCUAAAUCAUGAUAAGAAAUUGAGACGAAAAUAGACUUAUUUAAAAAACAAAAAAAACAAAAAUUAAAAUUGAUUCAAAAUAAAGAUUAAUAUUUCAAAAUAUGACUUUUUUUUCUCCCCUACUUUAAUAUACUAUGUUUUCCUAACCAUGGAGUUAGACUGAGUCUUUAAAAUCAGCUUUUGUAUUUGUUUUUUCUCUAAUUAAAUAAAUAAAAUAUGACUUUUGUAUUAUUUAAUGCUGAAAAUUUUAGGCCUCCAUCAGUAACUAUUUUAUAUUUUAUUUUUGCUUUUAAAGAUGAAGUCUACAAAUAUAACUUUCCUUGUCAACUUUCUUAUAGUAUUAUGGGAUACUUACAAAUUAUUUAAUAAUUAAAUUUAAAAUAAUUAAGUAUAUAACAACAUUUAAAAAAAAUUACAAAUAUAAAAAAUUUGUCAAAUUCUAUCGAGUCUAAAAAUUGGUCUAUCACCGAUAAAUCAUACCAGUUUAUCAGUGAUACAAGUCUAUAUAGUUUUGCUAUAUUUGUAAUUUUUGUAAAGUGUGUUAUAUCCUUAAUUAUUAUUUCUCAAAUAGUCAUCAAUUACAAUUACCCUAUUAUUAUCUACUUUUUAUCAAUUAUUUAAAAACUUCCUAUAACUUGAAAAUUAAAAAUAAUAGUAGCUUUUAAAAUUUAGUUUUAGUUUUUCAAACUUGGUUAAAAAUAAGCCAUCCAUAAAAUAGAAAGCAAAAAAAAUGAAAGGAUUAAUCAAACAUAGUUGCCUGAUUUUUUUUUAUUAAUAAAUUAUAGCAAUUUGAAAAUUCUAUUAAAAAAAAAAAAAAAACCCUCCAUUUAGCCAUAUAAUUUUAAUUAGCUCUAAUCAGCAUUAAAGCUAUCUUUUAGAAGUUAGUUAGUUGUUGGCUUAAUUAGGUUUAGCUUAAAAGGUGGCUAAAGAAAUAAUACAUAAAAGAACUCAUUAGUCACAUGUUAAAAAUUGUACAACCCAAAUUCAUUGGCUGCUAUUCUUUUUUUUUUUUUUUUUUUUUUUAACUUUUUGGCAUUCUAAAUUGAUUAUUCAAAUUUGUACAUCUUAUCCAUAUAUUUAUUUUCACAUAAAUCAACUUUAAAACCCUACCUUUCUUUUUUAUAUUCUUCUCAUUCAAAAAACACAAAAAUUAAUCAAAAUGAGCAGAGGAAUGGGUUCUCUUACAUGUCUCUUCCUUAUCGGAUCACUCUUCCACGUUGUUGCUAUCGACCACAAGGUUGGAGGUGAUUUUGGUUGGAACUUACCCCCAACUCUCACAUUCUAUUCUGAAUGGGCUCGUAAUAACACUUUCUUCAUCGAUGAUACUCUAAGUAAUUAUAUUCUUAAUGUCCUACUUUUAAUUAUUUUCAUUUAUUUUAACUAUUUUGAUGGUUUGUUUGGUAAUAUUCAUUUCUCAUUCAUCGUUGUUUAAAUGAAAUUGUUUGAGUAUAUUGAUAAUUCACGUUUUUUUUAACAAAGUUAUGUGAAAUUUUAAAUAAAAUAAUUGUAAGAACUUAUUUUGAAAUAUAGUCUUUAAAAUUCAAUGUAAGAAAUUUUGUGAAAUCCAUUUGGUUAAAAUACUGUUUUCGUUCAAAGACUUUGGAGCUUAUUUAGCUUAAUCACUUUUAAAUGUUAGUUUAGUCUACAUGUUUUUCAUAAAUCUUAAUUUUAAGUUCUUCAAACUUUUAUAUAUAUAUAUAUAUAUAUAUAUUUUGAAAUUAAUUAAAAAAUAAAGAUACUUUUGAAUGCAGUUGUUUCAAAAAUAUUAAAAAUGUGAGUAUAAAAUAAUUUUAUUUGAAAAAAGUCAACAAUAUAAAUGGAUUUGAAUUUCAAACGUUGAAUUGAGAACGAGAAAUAAAAGUGUUAUCAAACAAACAUUAAAUGGCUCAAUCAAAACAUGACUUUUUUUUUAAUGUAGGAUUUGUAUCAAGACUGAAUGAGACACACACUUUCUCUGAAGCAAAUUCUAAGAAGGAUUUUGACGAGUGUGUAAAGCAAGGAAUAGUUUUCGAUACUUCAAUAAACUUUACCUUACAAAAUAACCGUCUUGGUCCUCGUUAUUUUGUUUGCACAGAUGGAAACCAUUGCGAUAUGGGUAUGAAAUUUACCAUUGAAGUUUUACCCAAAUCAGUAAUUAUGCCAAACACCGCAGUAGAAAAUGGUGUGUUGAGGCCUAUACUUUUCUUCAUCACUAUUAUCGCUAAUCUCGUCUUUCUUUGAGAGCCCAACCUAGCCAAUCAAACCAACAUUGUUUCAAUAAUAUUCUUAUUAGUAAUUAAGGAAUCUAUACUACAUUCAAUUGUUUGAUUGAAUUUAAAAUUUAAAUUAUAUAAAGUAUAUGUUUUUCAUUUCUACAUUUCAAUUUUUAACGAUCUCGUCGUGUAUUUUAUGGUUCUUAAAUGAGAGUACUCAUAAUUUAGAGAUCCGUAAGAAUGAUGUUAUUAAGAAUUGCAGUGAUGACAUUUCUACGAUGGUGUCAUUUUUUUUUUGACAAAUAACUCAUCUACAUUUUAUUCAAUGAUAAAUUAAGUUUUAACUUUUAGACUUUCGAACGUGUAUUUAUAAUUAACAAAAUUCUUAUCUCUAAUGCAAGAUAGUCACAAAACCUUAUUGGAUACAUGAUAUUUAUAAUUGAUGAAUAUUUAUUUAACAUAUAAUAUUUUUAUCUAAUGCAACUUAAGUCUACUUUUUCAUUAAAUUGUUCAAAACAAAUUAGACUAAAGUUUGGGCAUGUAUGUGAAGACAUUAUGAUUAGAUCAUAAUAAUAAGUAUAGAAAUUGUUACAAACUAAACCAGAUGGAUAGCAUUUUUAACAUUAACCCUUCCAAAAUUCACUACUACAAAUUUGGUCUUCUCAUAUGCACACAAAUUUUUCAUGACCAUCAAAAAAAUAUUCUUUUUGAUACAAUGUUUAUCUUGACGGUCAUGUACGUCAAGGAAAACUCUCUUGUAUCUUAUGUUGAAGAAAUACGAAAAAACAUAAAAAAAUAUGGAUUUUUAUUUACUUAUGAAAAAAGUUCUCUUAGUUUUGUUGAUGGUCUACAAACGUCGAAAAAACUAUUUCUCGAUGAUGUACAAUAAACAUUAGAGAUAAUAUAUUAGUUGAUUGGUAAUACCCAUUAAGUUAGAUAGACAUUGCCCAUCAUAAAAAAAAUUAAUACAUUUGUUUUGGAAUUUUCGAUGAGUUUAAAAUUUUAUUGAUGAGUCUAGGGUUUCUUGAUGAACAAAGACAAAAAAAAAAAAAAAAAAAAACAUCAUAGACAAGGUCCAUCGAGAUUUUUUUUUUUUUUAAUUAUGGGUUUAGGAUAAGAUCGUGGACAAGACCUAUAGAAAAUGAUAUGCCCAUAAAAAAAAUAUUAUUUUCUACUAAGCACGAAAUUCGAACCCUCGAUAACAAACUCAUAAAACACGAUAUUUAUCAAUAAUAUUCUUAAAGUUUUACUAUUUUUUUAAAUUAUUACUGUUUAUGCAUCAAUAAUACAAUAUUGUUUUUUUAAAAAAAUUAAAUAUUGUAAUUUAAAAUUUUUAAAAUUUGUAGAAGUUGUAGAACGUAGUUUAACUCAACUGAGAACAAUAUAUAUAUGGACAAGAUGUCUUGGUUCAAAUUGGGUGUGCACUAUCAAAUUUAUAAAUUUGAAUAUCAAUCUUACAAAUAAAUAAGUAAUUUUGGGUGUUACAAUAUCAACUAACAAGAAAAGUGGUGUAUUUUUUGUGACUUCUCUGCGAGCAACAGCCAAGACCUUAUACUCCGAUGACCCAUCCUUGCGCAUCAGAUUGACGUGCUCUUGCACUUGCCUUGCUCCACGAUCCAUGCGACGGCGGUGAUUUGAUUAUAUGUUGUUUAAUCAUUGAACUAAUCUUUAGAGUUUGAAUAUCUGAAGUAAGAUUCUUCUUUCGGGAAAGAUAGCGAAGCUGUUAUUAUAUUCAGCCCAGAAGCAUCCUCGCUGGGUCCUUGAAGAACACUUCAUUUCUCUGUUACGAUCAUGUAAGACAGUUGCGCUGCUUCAGAAAGUUCAGGCCCAGAUUAUUACCCAUGGUUUUCAAUACAAUGGAUAUGUAGCUCCCAAUGUGGUAACUUCAUGGGUUGGUUUGAAGCAAAUGGCUCAUGCUCGCCAUCUGUUCGAUCAUUUUCCCGACCCAAAAGUAGAGCUUUGGAAUGCGAUAUCCAGAGGGUAUUUCCAUAACGCGUUUUACAGGGAAGUGGUUUUCUUGUUUGGGAAAAUGAAGAGCAUGGACGUGAGACCCAACUGCUUCACAUUUCCUCUUGUCCUCAAAUCUUGUGCGAAGAUCGGAGCAUUUGUGGAAGGUGAAGAGAUACAUUGUGAGGUGAUUAAGGGAGGUCUUGAAGGGAACCAAUUUGUGGCUACUACGCUGAUCGAUGUGUACUCUGGUGGGAGGGCAAUUGGGUCUGCGUACAAGCUGUUUGUUGGAAUGCUGGAGAGAAAUAUAGUUGCUUGGACUUCCAUGAUUAGUGGCUACAUUUUGUGUAAUCGUGUGGCACUCGCUCGAAGACUUUUUGACUUAGCACCGGAACGUGAUGUUGUGCUGUGGAACAUUAUGGUGUCUGGUUAUAUCGAAAUAGGGGAUAUGAAAGCUGCCAGAAAGCUGUUUGAUACAAUGCCAUACCGAGAUACGAUGUCUUGGAAUACAAUGCUGAAUGGUUAUGCCAAUAAUGGGGAUGUUGAGGCUUGUGAGCAGCUGUUUGAGGAGAUGCCUGAGCGGAAUGUUUUCUCCUGGAAUGGAUUGAUUGGAGGAUAUGCUCAUAAUGGGUGUUUCUUUGAAGUAUUGCGUUGUUUCAAACGGAUGCUAAUAGAUGGCCUUGUUGUUCCCAAUGAUGCCACCCUUGUCACUGUUCUAUCUGCUUGUGCAAGAUUAGGAGCUCUUGACUUGGGAAAGUGGGUGCAUGUAUAUGCUGCGACAAUUGGGUUUAAAGGAAGCAUUUAUGUUGGAAACGCAUUGAUAGACAUGUAUUCAAAAUGUGGUUUGAUAGAGAAUGCAAUGGAAGUUUUUGAAAGCAUGGAUUUAAAAGAUCUUAUUACUUGGAACUCUAUGAUUUGUGGCUUGGCAACCCAUGGAUGUGGGGCAGAUGCAUUAACUUUGUUUCACCAGAUGAAGAUCAAUGGCGAAAAACCAGAUGGAAUCACCUUCAUCGGGGUGUUGUGCUCCUGUACCCAUCUUGGGUUAGUUGAAGAAGGCACCUCUUAUUUCAACUCAAUGGUCAAUGAAUACUCAAUUGCGCCUCAGAUUGAGCACUAUGGUUGUAUGGUUGAUCUAUUUGGCCGAGCAGGUCUUUUGGACCGAGCAAUUGAGUUUGUGAAGAGGAUGCCAAUGGAAGCAGAUGCUGUCAUCUGGGCUGCUCUACUAGGUGCAUGCAGGAUUUACAAAAAUAUAGAUUUGGCGGAGUUAGCUCUUCAAAAACUCAUUGUGCUUGAACCCAAAAACCCUGCAAACUAUGUCUUGCUAUCAAAUAUUUAUGGAGAUCUUGGUAGAUGGAAAGAUGUUGCACGGUUGAAGAUUUUAAUGAGGGAUACCGGGUCUAAAAAAUUGCCAGGAUGUAGCUUGAUUGAGGUGAAUGAUAGCGUUGUUGAGUUUUAUUCUUUGGAUGAAAGGCAUUCUCAGAGCAAGGAAAUCUAUGGAGUCUUAAAGGGAUUGAUGAAAUUGUUAAGAUCAUUUGGGUAUGAACCAAAUAUGAUGGAACUCCUGCAGGGAUCAUGAGAACCAAAGGGCCACAUGGAAAUGCCUUUUGAGUGUCCGAGAUGGUGUCUUAUGUAGCUGCAAUUUCUUUCCAUACUGGUUAUACUGCUGUAUCAACUAAUAUUUAAUUUAACCUCAGCUCUGUUCAUGGUGCCGAACUAAUCUAACUACAAACUAAUAUUUAUUGAUUGCAGUCUUGGAAGCUAUUAAAACUUCCAACUGCUGUUUGUAAUCCUGUGAUUGAUUUUCAGAUACCCGCCCUCAGUAGAAAUAAAACUCUCUCAAUCUUCAUUUUGCUUUCACUUUUUUGAAUCAUUGUCCUGGAGUUCGGCCUCAUCGAACCUCGUCUAACUACUUGACUUUAUCUGAAUACUUUUCCUAAUUUUAUUUUUCUUCUCACACCUAAUGCGCAGAGUUGAGAUAUUUGAUUUUUACAUUUAAUUUUAGUGUUGUUGGUGCUCUACUUUGCAAUAGAGAAUCAUCGGUUGUGUCAAAGAUGUUGGGAAGAAACAAGACUUUGCUCCUACUCUCAUUCAUCACUACUACAAGAAAUUCUGGUAAAUUCUUAUUUAUUUCCUCUACACAGCAGUCUGCACGCAAAUUUUUUGUUGUGUUAACUGAUGUUCUGGGAUUCUAAAACAUACGAUUUUUUGAGUUUUGAUAUUGUAUCUUGUAUUAGCACAUACGAAAAAUACCCUAAAUUCUUAGGGUAAGCUUUUGGGUAUCUCAAAUGUCUAAGAUAUUCAUAUGAUAUCAGGUUGUGUUUGGACUCUUCUAAUUAUCAUGUUUUCUCCAAUCAAUAUUCAUAGAUAACUUGCAUCUCAUGUCAAUCUCGAGUCUAGGGUGAAAAGUCAGAUCACUAUAUCAAUAUCCAUAAUGAUAGGAAUGUUAUGAAGAGUGUAUCGGUAAUUAGUUAGGGGAUUUAUCAGUCUUGUUGGCUGUAAACAGACACUACAGCAACAAUAGCCAUUGGUUACCAAAAGAAGGAAGAAAAAAACAGCUAUUGAAAAGAUGUAGAAAAAAUAGGCGCCAGUUGAAAUUUACAUUUCCUUCUCAUUUAAAAGUUAAAUUCACUUUUAAUUGGCAUUUCCCUUUUCAUUUCACUUUCUCUCUUUCCCCUUGGAAAUUGCAAGCUUCUCUUAGUCUCUUCAUUAUGGUUGCCUUGGCUGUCGUUUCCUCCAUUGUCUCUACUUCAAACAAAAUUCUAGCCUCAUCCUCAACAUGGUUGACUGCCAUCCCUCUGCAAUGGGCCCAUGACCAUCCUCAAUGCUGAUUGAUUCCGACUCCUUUGCCAAGUCUUCAAGACAACGAGCAAUUAGACAUCAUCCUUAAUGGCUAUAAAGGCCCACUCCUUUCAAAAUUCUCUCAUACUUUCUGCACUGCAACAAAAAAACCCUUAAUUUCUCUCCUGUAUGUAGUGCUUCAAGAACGCCGUUGCAAAGUUCUGCUCCUAUUGCUUCUAAUGUUAAAUGCUAGUCAAAUUCGUCAUAGUUGCUUUUUUAUUCUGCUCCGAAAGAAUCCUAGAAAAUCGAAUCAAUCUCUCUCACGGUUGUAUAGCUUCAUUGGAUUUGCAAAGAGAACCAACGUUGAGGUACUUAUUUAUAGAAUUCAUGGGUCUUUGUUCUUUUUGAUGCCCAAUCCUUCCUAUGUCUACAAUCACCUCCCUGCAGAAAUAAAUAGGUUUUAGUUUGACUUAGUUUCAUAGAAGAUUGGAAGAAAUUAUGUAAUUUUUUUCAAGCAUGUGGAGAUUAUCUCUCAUAUUUGUUCCAUUUUUUGUUGUUGACUUUUGUGAAAUCUAGGGCUGGACAUCUUUCUCGUAGUAAGUAUUUACUAGUCUCUCUUCCAACCAAGCUGUUUGUCUACAUAUUCAUUACUACGUAGGUGGGACAAUGGUUGUCAAGAAUAUGAUGCUAUUAUUUCCAUUAGAUUAUUAUUUACUUCUUGUGAGCUAUUAAGCAUGAGGAGUUCAGUGAGCAAGUAAAGAAAUUGUCCACAAAGUUAUUGGCAAAAGAUGACCAUCUCAGUUGGUCGCAAAGGGGACAAACAAUGCUAAAAUUUAUUGUGGGUUGAUUUUUGACCGGAUGUAUUGUAUAAUUUGUACUAAUAAACAGACUAACUCGUGAUAAUUGAAAUUUUAAUUACAGAAUAUUAUGGUGAAUUGUGGGUGAUUUGUUGUGUAGUUUUUUCUGUGUGUAUAUUGCACUAAUAUUCUAGUUUAUGUCAAGUAAUUGUGCAAUAAAAAAAAAAAAAAAACAGAAGAAAAACACUUGGCCUUAGAUGAUUUGUAGGUGUAAAACCAGUUUUCUUAUAUUUUGACAUGUUUGAGAUGAAUUUUGAAAUGAUUAGUCCAUACUUUUUAAAGGCUCACUAAUUCAUAUUCGGUAGGGAAGAGAUUAGUUAGUGUUUUUUUUUCACGACUUGAAAUUAUGUUACUUUCAGAUUUUGAUGCUCAUCUGGAUUAGAAUGAUGAUAGAUCCCAUAGUAAAGGUGUACUCAUAUGUAGAAAUAAAAGUGGGAAGAAAAAUAAUGAUUGGGAAUUGGUAAUUCUAAUUGUGUGGACCCUUAGGACUGUGUUUGUUAGAGAGAGGCUAAGUAUUCUCUUUAGAUAUCUAGAAGUGGUAAUUCCAAGUAUUUGCCUAUUUACAUGUCUAGUAUGGUAAGAGGAGGGUAUCUUCUUCCUGAACUAUUUUGGUGUAGAAUUCUCAAUAGAGAAGUGGAGAGAGAUUGUGGUGCUCUCAAAUCCUUCUUUACCUGUUGAUAAAUAAAAUUGAGGUUGAGACCUCACAAUUUUGGUAUCAGAGCUAUCGUUUCUAAAAUGGUUGGUAAGAUGAAAGUUAGGGUGAUCAAACUGGAAGCAAGUCUGGUGGGAGUAACCACAGGGAUGACCGAGAUAGAAUGUAGAGUAGAAACAAGGUUCUUGCAAGUAGAAGAAUGAAAGUUAGCAUUUGAAAGGAAGAUGGAAACACAAUGUGGAGAAGCAGAGAUUUGAAAGAUAAUGACAUAAGAGAAGAUUGAGGAUAAUCUUUCAAAAGAUAAUGACAUAAGAGAAGAUUGAGGAUAAUCUUUCAAAAUUGAACGAGGAUUUGAAAUUGUUGGUGCAAGGGAUGGGGUGAUUGGAAGUGCAUCGAAAGAGUCUAUCUCGAGUGAAAAAACUAUCACAGACAAAGGAAAGGGAAUAAUGAAUGAGAAACAAAAUUAGGGAGAAAAAAGUGAACAAAAAACUAACCCGGUUGGGGAUGAAGAAGUUGGAGUACUGUGUGCACCAAAUCAUCGAGAGAUGCCCCUCUUCGACAUGAGGCUAUAGAAAUUGGAGGUACCAAUAUUUAAAGGGAAGAAGAAUAAAACGUGGACGGAUGGCUACAUCAUGUGGAACACUAUUUUAGGGUGAAUAGAUUGAUAGAGAGGGAUAAGUUGGAUGUAUCUGUCCUUUGAUUGAUUCAUAUUAUAGAUAUUUGUUAUGUUCUCUAUGGUCACGUCCAUGUACAUGCAUGUAUCAAGUUGAUGGAUCAACAUCCAUGUAUGAAAACGAUAGAUCGACCCUUGGGUCAUAAUAUCCUGUAUCAGUCUUAGUGAAUUGCAUAAAUACAACCUCCGCAUGAUGGUUGGUCAUAAUCAACACCAUCAAUCAUAUUACAAUUUGUAAACUAUAUAAAUUCCAAAAUUUUGUAAGUAAUUUUCUAAAAUUGAGAAAAAACAACCAAUAUUUGAAAAAUUCAAUAUUCAUGCACUUGACCAAUAAAAAUGUCAAUUUUAUAAAAAAAAUGAAAAAUGAAUUAUAUUACACCGUUUUAAGAACCGUUGGUUGGAUUCUUAGUCAAAUUUUAAAAACAAAAAGCUACUUUUUUUAGUUUUCAAAUUUUUAUUUUUUUUUUCAAAUCAUCGGUAAUAAAGAUGUUUUUUGAAAAUAAAAGUAAUGUUUGUAGACUUGGUUAAAAAACAAAACAAAUGAGACCUAAUACACUUUAUUUUAGUUUAGAUGUUAUGUUUUAAAUAUAAAAAAUUAAAUAAGUAAAUAAAAAGUUAAUAAGUAGAGUUAAUUGGAAAAAUAAGGCAGAGAAUAGAAACAACAAGAUAUUUUGAUUAUUAUAGCAUUUCAAGUUAUUAUAUUUGCAUCCGUUUAAAAAACCACUAAAUGCCAAUAUUCUUAACACCAUCUUCUUAUCGUCUAGUUCUAUUCAAACUCCCUUCUUUAAAUACUUAAUCAUCUUUUAGCCCGUAUGAUGUGGGUACAGCUCUCACACUUAAACUGAACUCAGUGAGCCUAGAGGCUAAGAUGUUAAUAGUCCAAGUGAUAGAAGAUGACCAAGAGAAACCAUAGGGCAAGAAAAAACCCUAGUAGCUUGACAUUUAAAAAAUGAGCCUAGAAGCUAAGAUGUUAAUAGCCCAAAUGAUAGAAGAUGACUAAGAGAACCCAUAUGGCAAGAAAAAACCCUAGUACCUUGACAUUUAAAAAGUUAGGUAGUGGGUCCAAUGGGUUGAACAAUCAAUCCAGGUCAAAAGGAACGGAGCGGGUCGCAGCAUUGAGAAUGUUACGAUUAACCCUAGCUGAAUUUUUUCUUCGUUGUCCAUAACUAUUGCUCCUCACGAUUCUGGUGCAAAAAAUCUGAUGUCCCAACCAUACCGAUAACGAAAUCAGGAUAAAAAAGGAAAAGGGAUUAUGUUUCAUGUGAUAAGAAAUUUAGUUCUGAUACCGUUGCAAAAGAUGAGAAUUAAACAUCAUUGCUCUUCAAGAAGGAGAAACUUAAGUGAGGGAACUGAUAACGUGGUAGAGGAAGCAUAAAGACAAUGGGACGAGGAAAUCAAUACAGAAAUAAUGAAUUUGUUGGAGACGUGAGGUUAUGGUGCUGAUUGAUCGGGAAGUUACACACAACUUUAUCUUGGUCAAUGAGCUAAAAAUUUAAGUGGAAACCUUGGGCGCAUAUGACAUUAUUUCUACAUAAGCAUGUAGAGGCUAGGCAAGAAGAGUCAAGUUGUGUUUUGAGUCUGUAUGCAGUUUCUUUUGAAUGACUAUGUAUUAAAAUUCAAUUGUACUCCGUUAUUUAAAAGUCAACUAGAUUUACUUAUUUCGUUUGGAUUCAUACUCCACAUUUAAGCCUACGUGUCAUUGUCUUAAAUUUCGCUUACUAGGCAUUAUGAUGCUAUCUCACGGAGAGACUCACAUACAGUGUCUAGACAGUCAUGUCUCCACUUGGUUGUAUGGAGUGACUUUUGGGGUGGGGGCGUGACAGUUGAGGCCGACUUGACUUGUGAGGCCACUAUUGGUUUGUUAUUUCCUUGCUCUAUUGUCUUUUUCCUCUUCAUUCCAUUUUGGUUUUUGGUCUUAGAAUCCAGCACAACAAUAACCACCAAGUCAAUCAAGUAAUAAAUAAACGACAUAGUGAAGUGAUUAGAAAAAAAUGAGUUCAAUCUAUAAGGUCAUCUAUCUAAAAUUUAAUAUUUUACUAAUUUUCUUUUAGUAUUAGAAGUGUGAAAUGGAUUUGGUAGUCGGGGUCGUUAUUAAUAAAAAAAAUGCAAGAAUUGAUACGAUUACCCAAAAAGAAUUAUCAAUACAAGAGUUAUGCAAUAGUACAAGAAAGGAAUAUCAAUUAAAGAAUUUUUAUCUAUUGUGUUGUGAAAAUUCUUCUGCCUCAAAUCCAUCCAAAUGUUACCCUAAAAAAGAAUUAUUACAAAAUGAAGCAAAUUAGUGCAAGAAAUGGAUAGAACCCACAAGGACUUUGUGAAUAGAUUUAUACAAUUCUACAUAAAAAAAACUAGAAAGAAGAUUCAAGAAUCAAAGUAAUUCAUAAAACGGAGGAUUUUGGAGUUAAUCAAACAACAAAGCAAAGAAAAACAAUUAACCCUUAACUAAUUAGUUCAAGAACAAUUGUCCUACAAUAAUGAAUAAAGAAAUAUGUAACCGUUAAGAUUAGGAAUGAUACAUGAAUGAACUGGUAUCACAUCUAAAUGAGAGGGAUCUUGACGACAUGAAAGUAAUGUUAAUAAAGAUUUAAAAGAAUUAAAAGUAAUACCUAUACCAACAAGGUGCAUCUUUCUUUUCGGUAGCUUGAUCGUAGAAACUUCAAAGUUAAGCGUGCUUAGCUUGAAGCAAUUAUGUUGAGAGGGGAAAAGCAUGUUGAAAGGACUUGUGCUGGUUUGCGGGGAGAACAUUCACUCUAAUAAGCCUUUAAGGAUAGUAAGAAUGCAUGAUGCUGCCAGAUCGAAGAAGAUGCAGGAAAAUGUCGAGGAUCUGAAUUCCAAAUCGUGGUUCGAAUCCUAGAAUUAUUGGGUGAUCAAGCCAAAAAGAAAAAAAAUCAUUUAGCAAAAGAGAAAAUUGCACAAAUAUCAAUUUAAAAAGCAAUUAAAGAUGCAUUGUCAAAUAAACUACAAAAGAACUCUCAUUUCUCAAGAAAGUUAUUGUAGUUGCUCAUAGACUUGGAGUGAAUGACAUUUCAUACCAGAUCAUACAGUAAAUAUGAGGCAUCCUAUUCAAGAUCACACAACAUAAAUAGGGUAUUCUAUUCCAGAUCACACAACAAUGAUAAGGCAUCCCAUACCAUAUCACACAAGUAUGAGACAUUAUAUUUCAUAGAUUACAAAAGAUCAUCUCAUUUCAAACUUUAUCAAGUCUCAUGCAUUCUUUCGAAAUCAUCAUUUCAAGAAAAAUUGGUUUUGUCUUUUCACAUAAACAACGUCAACAUUAACAAUAACACAUAUAAUGUGUUACACAAAAAUGCAACGUAGGACUUGGGGAGAAUGCUUUCAAAACUUUUCUUUCAUUUAGAAAAUCACAAAAUACUUCUCUUAAAUCACUCUUCAUAAUUCAUUUCGUGUUGUAUGAUCAUCUCACUUCAACCUUUAUCAAAUCUCAUGCAUUCUCGAGAACGCAUAAUUUCAUCACAUCAUUCUAGUUUAUAAUUAUAAGACCAAUUCAUUUAUAUAUGCAUUUUAAGAAUUGGAAAGCAAAAGACAAACCAUAUCAUUCAUGUUUUCAAUAGAAAUAUAUUUAAGGAUUUGAAUACAUUUUAGAAAUCCUUUUCAUUUUGAAAAUAUUUUAUGAGAAUAACCACUCAUAAUCACAAUCAGCUAGCUUUUUUGUCUAGUUCCUUAGCCAAGUGUUUCCUUGCACUUUCUUGCAAUUCCUGCCGGAUUCUCAGACUUGUUUUGGAUCUCUGAAAACCUAAAAAAUCUUCUUAAUUCUCUCUUAACUGGACUCAUGGUAAAAGCAACUUCAAAAUGACAGUAUUUCCUCUAUUAAUUUAUAGGGCUUUCUAGUAAAGUCUUCCAUAUUGAAAUAAUUAUUUUUGCCGAUAGUGAGAAGUGGUCCAAUACUAGGACGCUAAUGUCUUUGCACUAUCCUUAUCUCGAAUUUGGAUUGGACGACAAGAAUAAAUCAAUUGCCGACUUCCUUACAUGAGAAAUGGCAUAAUUACUUUCUAGUUAAGUAGGCUUAUAUUGUAACAAGGGUUCCCACGUAGUCUUUCUCUCAUCGCAUAGUUACUUCUUAUCGCAUAAGUUAUUUUCGCCGCAUGGAGUCUUAUUGCGUAAAGGAAGUUCGCGAUCAGAGUCACAAAUGUCUUUAAUAAUGUAUGAAUUAACUUAAUUAUAAAUAUAUCAAAAUUUUAUAGUCUAUCAUUGAUGGAUUGUGACAGACUCACAUAUACAUCUAUUAAUGUCUAUAAUUAAAGUAAUAGACAUCUAUAUGAGAUCUAUCACAAUUUAUUAUUGACAGAAAGUAAAAUUGUUUAUAUUAAUAAACAUUUCUAAUAAUUUUGUCAUUUAAAACAAUUUCGCUUUACAUAAAUGAAUUGUCUUAAGGUUAAUUUUCAUAUAUAUAUAAUAAAACACCAAAAUAUUUAUGGUCCGUGUAACAAAAUCAAAAAGUCUAUGAAGCUGUCCAUUUUUUUUAUAAAUAUUUCAGGUUUGCCGUUUUUGCUUUUGCAUUUCGUGCGACCCCGGUUUCUUCCUCUUCCUAUCCAUUUUCUUCAUUCUCUUCUUCUUUUGCAAUUUUUCUUUUAUAUAUAUUUUUUUGAAAUUAUAAUCAUUCUUCUACAAUUAUUAUUAUUCUUUUUCAUUAUACUUCUACAAUUAUUAUCUUUUUUUUUUUCAAUCAAUCAACAAUCUUAUAUUAUUUUUUUCAAAGUGUUAUUUGCUUCAAGAUCGUGUACCAAAUAUAAAAGAUCUUGGUACACGAUUUAUUGAACAAAAAUCGUUUAAAUCUUGGUACACGAUUGUGAACCAAGAUCCGUUUAAAUUUGGUACACGAUUGUUUAGAUCUUGGUAUGCGAUCGUGUAUUAUUUCCUACAUAAAGCACGUAUCAUGAUUGUUAGAAGAGUAAUUACACAUGAGCGUGUGUGGUUGAUGUUGAUACUACCUACAUAAUCGUGUAUCAUUUUCUACACGAUCACGUAUCAUGUGGUCGAUUAAUCGUGUGUAUGAUUGAGACAUUUUUUAUAUUUUUCAAAGUGGACCCAUUAGUUUUUUUCAUUUUCAAAAUUUUUGUAGGCAUUGUAAAUAUUUUGGAGGUUUGUUAUAUUUUUUAAAAAAACCCAAGUCUUUUUCUUUUCUUUUUGUAUUCUAACUAAUUAAUUCAAUAUUUAAUAUUUGGACCACUGUUACCCACGAAUGAUAUUUUUGGUAAGGAAUCUUCAUACUAAUCCAAAGACGUGUGAAAAAGAAAAUGUGAAUAGCUCACCUUUUUAUUUUCUUGUUUCUUUUUCCACAUUUCAAACAACUUUUCAUUUGCAUAUAUUAAAUUAAAGGAAAAAAAAAAAAAAGAAGAAGAAUAACUCAAAUAUAUAAAAAUUUAGGGUUGAAGAAUGUAAAACAGAGAGUUAUAUACACAAAAAUUUUAUAGGUCGAUGGCUCUCAAGUACUCACUCCAACUUAUUGCUUAUUCUACCCUUUCCAUGACCUUUUUUUUUUUAUUAUAAGAUGUGUUAAAAAUAUAUUAACUUCAAAAUAAAGGUUAAAUUACCAAAAAAAUACUAUGGAAUUCCAUGACUUUGGCUUUCAAUUAUUUUGAAAACCUUAAAUUUUUUAAAAAUUUUUUUGCUGUUAGUUAAAUUGAUGGAUGAAAAAUUUUAUGCUAGGUUAUGUGUUAAAGUAGAUAAAUUCUUUUAAAUACAUACUGAAAGUAAGUUUGGGAGUUAGAUUUGAACAAGAAAAAUCAUUAACAGAAAAACACAAAAUUGAUGGCUUGAGGUUGAAAGGAGGAAGAGCCAUUAUUUCUUUUACUCUGGUAUGUGUGUAGAUUUUAUUCACAUGAACAAAUACAUAUAAAUACUUUCUUUUAUGAACUUAGCGGUUAACGGAGAACAAGUGAGUUUGAAUUAGAGCUAUGUCGUAGAGGUUAGAGGUUUAAUUCAUGAUCCAUACAAGAACAAAAAAAAACAAGUGGAUUUUUUAAAUUCAACUUAAAUACACAAUGAAAAUGGGAAAUAAAAAAGAAAAGAACAGCCAAAACAAAACUAAGAGGAGAGGUAAAUGAUCUUGUAUAUAUAUUGGGAAAAAAAAGCUUAUAUAUUUGCAUGGAGAAACAAAAUAAAGCCAGAGCCAAAAACACACACAACUUCCAAACUCUUUAAUUAUAUCUUGAAUUUGGUUCCAAGUCUUGGAAAGACGGAUCAAAAUGCCAAACUUGUUUACACAAUGUUCAAAAAAGAAAAAAAAAAAAAAGAAAAAGAGGAAACUCACAAACCAUAGCGAAUGUCACUAAAUUUAGUUUUGAUCCAUUUGAAGCUGUUCUUUACACUAGACUUGACUUUGUUUUCCAUGUUGAAAACAUUAUAAGACGCAAUCCUUCUCUUUCUUUGGAGUUCGGGAUCGGCCGAGGUCGAGAACCCGGUUGCUUUCGCAGUCGGACCGUUGAAAUUGUAAGAGUUAGAUCGAGUUUGGAAACCGAACUCACCCGAGGUUGAGGAGGAGUACUUGGGGAAUGAUUUGCUCUUCUCCAUGACCUAGAACUUGGCCUUAGUUUCUUCCACAAAUUGAUCUUCUCACCACAAAAUUUAAAGGAGUUUGGGUUGGAUUGGAUGGUUUUUUAUAUAGAGUAGAUGGAGGAAAUGGAGGGUUGGGAUUAAAGGAGCAUGAUGAUGAUGGUGAUGAGCAUGGUAUAAGUUUGGUGGCAACCCAUGUGUGGUGUUGAAUGUUAUUUUUUUCUUUCAAUUUUUUGCUUUUUAAAUUUUAGAAUAAUUGUAAUAAAAUAAAUAGUGGAAUGAUGAAUACUAGUUGGGGAUGAUGGUGGUGGACCAUGGCUAAGGAUAUGUUAUCAAUGUCAAUCAAGACCAUUAUGGAGUUUCAAAAAAUAAAGAAGAGGGACCCAUAUUCGCCAACUGGGUUUUAUGAUCAUUAACUUUGUUUUCUUAAUCAUAUAAAAUAAAAAUCAGUGUGUAAUUUUUACAAAAAUAUUUGUGGGGUUAGUUUGGUGCAUUUUGAAUUUUGUCUACUAUCUUCCAAAAUUAAAGAAAGAGAAAAAUAUUACUUGUAUUUAUAUCAAAAUUAGCUCAAAAUAUUGCAACAAUUAAUAGCAAUCUUUAAAACUAAUACUAAAUAUACAAACAUUUACCAAAACUCAUACAAAAUAUGUAAAAUGGUAUUGAAUCUACAAACAAGGGCGGAUUUAUGAAGGGACGAGAACCUCUCAUUUUCUUGAUUUUUGUAUUUUAAUAUUAAUUUUGAAAUUUAAAAAUACAAUAUAUAUUAAAUAAUGCUCUUUUAAGUGUAAAUUUAGUUUCUGGUGCAGUGACUAUGUGCUUUUUGUAACUCUCACAUCUUGAGUUCCUAAAAGAAAUAUAAUUUGAUUUUUUAAAAAGAAGAUGAUUUGGUUUCGUAAAACGAAGAUAGUUUGAUUUCCUAAAAGGAAAACAAUAUUUUAAAAGAGGAAAAAAAAACCUAUAUAAGAUAAAACCCUACCUUAUUUCCUAGCACUCGUUAUCUAACAAGCUUUCACUCUAUCAACAAUAUUCCAUGAAAAAAUAUUAUUUUUUAAUUUAUAUUUUUUAUGCAAUUUUUAAAUUCACAUAUUUACAUUACUUAUGUACAUAUUUAUUUUAUUUUGUUUCAGAAUUAAACGAUACAAGAUAAUUUUUUUUCCGUUCAUCGUUAGAAUAUAAGUAUCAUAUCAAUUUACUAGUAAGUUUAAAUUCUUCUUAAUAUUUUUAGUUUUUACUCUUCAAUCUAUGUGAUAAAUCAUAAUACUUAUAUUGUUUAAUACUAAUUUUGUAGAGUAAACAUAUCAGUAUGGAGAGAUAUUUUAAAAGAAAAACAACGAUAGAAACUACAGAGGCAUCAUCUUCAAACAAGAGACAAAUACCUGAUUCUGAUAGAUCUGAUACAAAAAUCAAUUUAGAAGAACUACUUGCAGAUCCUGAUCUAAGAACUAGAAUUUCUGAAUAUAAUUAUAAUAUUCAAGAUCAAGUUCGUAGAGCAUAUCUACAAAAGGGUCCUUGUCAACCUCGGAGUCAUAUUUUUUCAUUCAAGAAAUUUGGGACAAAGUCAAGACGAUUUAAUCCAACUUGGUUUAAAGAAUAUCUUAUUUGGUUAGAAUAUAACAUUUUAGAGGAUGCUGCAUUUUGUUUAUGUUGUUACCUAUUUAAACCAGAAGUAAGUGAAGAAUCAGGAGGGGAAUAUUUUGUUAACAAAGGAUUUUUCAAUCGGAAGAAAAAAUAGAAAUUGCAAACUCAUGUUGGUGGUCAUCCAUAUAGUGCACACAAUCAAGCUUGGGGAAAAUGUGAGGCUCUUUUAAAACAAAAUCAACAUAUUGAGACUUUUUAAAAUAGGAUGUCUGACCAAGCACGAGCUGAGUAUCGAACUGGAUUAGGUGCAUCGAUUGAUUGUAUUCAAUUUUUAUUACGACAAGGUCUUGCAUUUCGUGGACAUGAUGAGACUGAUGAUUCGAAGAAUCAAGGUAACUUUCUUGAACUAUUCCGAUAGUUAUGUAACUAUAACAAGGAUAUUGAAGCCGUAACUUUGAAAAUGCUCCAAAUAAUUUGAAAUUGAUCGCACCUGAUAUUAAAAAAGAUAUAGUGAACUGCAUUACAACAAAGAUUGUUAAUAUAGUUAUAAGAGAUGUGAGUGACAAACAAUUUUCUAUUUUGAUAGACGAAUCAAAAGAUAUAUCUUCAAAACAAUUUUCUAUCCAGAGCAAACGUCAGUUGUACUACAAUAUGUGGAUGAAGGUCAUGUGAUUGAACGAUUUGUUGGAAUCAUCCGUGUCAAUAAUACAAGUGCCUUAUCACUUAAGAAAGCUAUUGAUGGUUUUUUUUCUCAACAUGGGUUAAGUAUUGCUCAUUUGAGAGGACAAAAAUAUGAUGGAACAAGUAAUAUGCAAAGUGAGUUCCAUGACUUGAAAACACUUUUUUUGAAAGAAAAUGAAUGUGCAUUUUACAUUCAUUGUUUUGCUCAUCAACUUCAAUUAGCUCUAAUAAAUACUGCAAAAAAUCAUGUAGAAAUUAUCGGUCUUUUCUUUACGGCUACAAAUGUAGUAAAUGUUAUUGGAGCAUCAACAAAACGUUGAGAUAUUCUACGAGAGAAACAUAGCAUGAGAAUUUUUGAAGCUUUAAAAUAGGGAGUAUGGCAUUGCUUUGUCUCAUAAUUUUAUUGAAUUGUGUCAUCUAACUUAAUUCUUUUAACUUUAUUUUCAAUGCAAUGUUGAUAAUUUGUGAUUUCAGAGAAGGCUUGAUGACAUACACGCAAUUUAUGCAAGAACUUGAAGAUGAGAUAUUGCCUGUUGAAGCUGAGCACAUGUAUGUUCUAAAUGUUAUUUUCAUUUCUUUGAUCUAAUUGAGUUCUCUGUGGAACUUCAUUUUUUAUUUUAGAUAUCAAGAAUACAAGUCAAAGUAUAUUACAACACACAAACAAACCUUUUUUUCACAAGAGAAUGAAGAAUGGUACUUCUUGUCUUUUACAUCCAAAUUUUCUUUCCUUUUGCCUAUUUAGGUUGAGAGACAAAUAUCAUCCAACCAAGGGUUACACAGUUAUAGUUGUUUGAUUUUGAAGUUGAUAACGAAUUGUUGUAGGAAUGUAAUUUAUUGAUGUAACUUCAUACUUAUAACUUUGGAAUUAACUUUGUACAUCCAUUUAUUUCUUGAUGUAACCAAGGGUUGCAAUAUUGUAUUCAAUGCUCUUCCUUGCCUUAUUCUUUACUAGAAAUAUUUCGUUUCCAUAUCUUUAUUUGUUGUUUCCUUCACUUUCUAAGAUAUGCAUAUAUUCAUUUUUUCUUUUGUUUCUUAAGAGUAUUUAUUCUUCUCCCAUUUUGUUACUUCCUCUUUAAUUUUUUGUCCUGUCAUAGUACGAUUUUUUUUUUCGUUCUCUGUCAAAUUUUUUCUUUUCUUUUUGUGUUGAAUAAUUGGAAAAUUUUAGGUUUCGUUGGCUUUAUUUUGUGUAUUUAAUGAGCUAUUGACCUAAUAUUCUUAGUUUAAAAUUUGGAGAAGAGAAUAUGUAAUACCAAGUUUCAAAGGCUAUAAUUGGAUGUGAAAGUUUUGUGGUUGAUUGAUUCUUACGUUUUAGUAUUUUUUCUCUCUCCAUAUUUAGGUUCUGAAGUUCAUUGGUUGUGGUAUAGAGAGUUAAGCAGUAGUUCCCCAAUAUUUUGGGUUUCUACCUUGAGUUGGCUAGUUUAUGGUUCUAGAUCAUGUUAAAAUUUUUAUCUUUCUUUUGUCUUUGUAAAAACAUGUUUAUGUUUGUAUAGCUACUACUAUUUUUUGUAAUUUGGGAUUGACAUAGAGCAUAGUUAGAUGUUGGUUUGUUAAGGAAGGAAGAAAAUAAAGAACCAAAAGAAGCUUGGAACUUCCUUAAUCUUUUUUUCUCACUCUUUUCUUGGUGAAUGUAUUCAGGUCCUAAAGAUUAUGUAGCUGAGUACUACCAAUAGCAGGUAGAAAUGCUUGUUUCGUGCUUGUAUUUUUUUUUUUUUUUUUAUGAUUAAGACAUUCUUCACUGCUCAAAGCUAAAAUUUGUUUUCUUCUCUGUCACUAAAACCAUUUUUGCUUUCUGUCUAAAGUGAAAUAUGUUCGCUUAACAAUAUUAAUCCUAGGUAAGUUGAUGAUGCAAAUUUUGAUCUUGAUUUAUGUUAUACUGUGAAAGAGUUUCUAUAUUGCUUCUUGAUUUCUUUAAUUUGAUCUUAGUAACUUUGUUUUUUAAGAACAAGCGGCCAGAGUUCACUACAUGGUUGUUUGAAAUAAAAAAGGUAAAUUAACAUUGGUAAAUGUGUGGAAUAGUUUUAUGCAAUACUUGAAUUUCCUUCAUUUUUAACACAUUUCAUGCUUUCGUUACCAUGGAGCCUAGGAAUGGAAGUUUGAGUUUCUAUUUGAAGGACAUGAUUGAAGUUUCAAAUUGUUUAUUGUGUUUAAGUUUCAAAUUGUUUAUUGUGUUUGGAAAUAAAAAAAAGAUCUAGAGAGACAAAUGUAACUUAUUAAAGUCAAUGGAAUUAAUUAUUUUAAAACUAGCACAUGUUUGAAUUCAAUAUUAUUGCAUGCUUCUUAUUUUUUCUAGUUUUAAGUAGCAUAUGAGAUUUUGUCAAUGUAUGGGUAUAAUAAUCUAGUUUUUUACACAGAUUUUGUUAAUGAAGGAUUCUGAGUACUCUUUCAUUUUUGGACUUCAUCAUUUUAGUUCUCACUCACGGAGUUUCUCUCGUUCGAGAUUUGUUUUGUUAUUCCUUGAGGACUUGCUUGUUGUUCUCGAAUCAGUCCUCAACCAUUUUUGUUGCCUUCUAAAUUCUAAGAGGGUGAGAUACUAAAUAUGCUAGAUCAAGAAGUUGAGCCACAAAAACCGUAAGCAUCUUGAAAUUUUGUAAUAUUUUGGUAACUCCACUAGAAAUUCUCUUAGUCAAUGUGGUUGAACAAGGUCAACUUUCAAGUUUUUCCGUCUCAAUGGAUUGAUCACAUUAUUUCAGUUGUCAGGAGAAAUACUCUAGACAGCCAUAAGCUUAACUCAGGUAAAUAUAUUGGUGACCGGUAACUCAAUUGUGAACAAGAUUUUAGGAUGAUGUGAUUUCUUCAAGAUCUUAGGAUGAUGUGAUUUCUGUAAUUGUGAACAACACUUAUUAUUACAUAUACUUCGUGUUUUUUGAUUAAGAACGAUGUGUAUAACUCGUUUUGUAAUAGAAUGAUAUGUUUCUAUGUUGUAAAUAUAUUGUAAUAACGAACUAUAUGUAUAUGUUCAAUGAUAUAUAUGCAAUUUGUUAGUUAUUUGAUUGAAGGUUUGUGUUGAUUCAUGAAAUGUAAAUAGUCCAAUUGAUCAUGUUGUAUACCAUUGUGGGAUUUCAAAACAGGUGCAAUAUAAUUAUAUGGGUAUUUCAAAUUGUACAAUUUCAUUUGAAAGAAAAAAAAGUCUUGACAUGUAACAAAUUUUUGACGUUUAUAAACUGUAAGUAUAUAUUUAUUUGACGUGUAAAAACUGUUAGUGGGUAGGUGUUAGUGUUAGAAGUGUAUGAAAAUGUUCGAAGUAUAUUAAAUUAACGAGAAAAUUACAUGAUUAGACAGCCGUAAGACAUAUUCUUGCGAGACUUACGCAAUUGUAGACGCAUCGAUAAGUUUGGACAUCUAAACGCUUCGAUUAUUUUUCAUUUCGGACAAACAAACAGCAGCUUAGUGCUUUUAGGAAUUUGUCUCAUAGUGAGAUUUUUCCUUUUCUUCUAGUCCUUAAUUUUUAUUACAGGUUGAGAGUUUCUUCGUAAAACUAAACAACUUUUCUUAAUUUUCUACAGUUUCAUCUUAGACACAGCUUAGUGGCGUUUCGUCGGUUCAGUUUACUUUCUUACCAAACUAUUGAAAUUGAUAAUGAAAAUAAUAACAAAUAGAAACAAACUGUUGAAUAUUAUUGAAGAUCAAACCAAUUGGUUAUACGUUGGAUUCUGGUCUGUUUUUCGUCGUUUUCCAGUUUCUAAAAUUAUUCUCAAACACUAUUUCUUAUAUAUUUUAAAUACUUGCUUAGAUUCAAAUUAUACAAUAUAAUACUUUCAUUUAAAUCUCACAAAUAAAAUGCAAAAUGAAUUGAAUUAAUUUCAAUUCUUUUAAUACUAAACCCUAAACCCAAAAAAUAACUUUACGAGGGUGUUGGAGUAUCAUUGAGUUGUAGGCUAGUAAUUUUAAAUUUAAUCCAUGUCUAUCAUUGAUAAAAUUUAAUUUUUGUUAUAAUUUGUAGAUAUUUUUAGCUAUUUUGUUAAAAUAUACCACAUAUUUGAUUGGUUAAAUUACAAAUUUAGUUCAUACGAAGAAAUCUAGAUUUUAGUAUUAGAUUAUAAUUAGAAGUAUGUCCAUACGAUUGAUUGAAAUUAUUACAAAUAGUAUUUACAGUCAUGUGGACGGUGGAUGAAAACUUUAUCAAACAAUUUAGAGUGUGUUUGGAUUGAUUUUUGAAAUGUUUAAUUUUUAAAAUAAUUCAUUUUAAGAUAAAUGGAAGUGUUUUGACAUUUGUUUAAAAUAACUAUUUAAAAAAUGAUAUUAUAAAAUAAAUCAUUUUAGAGAAAACACAUACAAUCAAAUUUUAAAAUAAAUGUUUAUUUAGGGUUUAACCAGGAAUUCCUCCCAAAUAUCUACUUUUUUUAUUCUUUUUUUCCUAUCUAUUUUUCUACGUCGUUUUUUUUAUUAUUUUUAAAUACUUUAAAUAUUUUUUCAAUGUGUGUUCAUAUACACUUAAAUAUAGGCAUUUGCAAAUGUUCCUCUCUUAGCCACAUCUAUUUUGCCUUAACAUCUGUAAAAGAAAUCACUAAGACGUCGGUGAAGAACAUGAUCAUUCAGUUCAUGAAAUGAAGAUGAAUGAGGAACAUUAUCAAAUUGCACACCUUAUUGUCUAGUUGAUAUUAUAUUGUCUUGAAAAAAUUAUUGUUCUUAUUUAUAUUUUGUCGUUCUUGGAAAUCAAUUAUUUUUUUAGGGUUUAGUGCUUGUAAGAAUCGAAUUGUCCAGAAAAAUGAAUAAAAAAAAUAUAAUUAAGGUUUCAUUUCAAGUAACUAAAAAGUUAAUAAUUUCAAAAUAACCUACGACUAAUUUUAAAAUAUAUUUCUAAAAAAAAUGAUUCAAAAUGUAUUUAUUUCUUUAUGGAAUUAGUUCAUAAUAUUUAAUAGUCUCUUAGGGUAAUUUGACCUAAGUAUAAACAUUGUUAAUAUAGGACAAACCAAACACAAUUUUGCAUAUAAACAUUUGUAAAAGAUCAAACCAAACACGUGAAUGUUUAGAUUUUAAACUCAUUUUAGAAUUGUUUUUCUAAAACUUGUAUUCUUGAAUAAACAUUUUGUUUGAUAGGCAAUGAAAACCCAUCCUUCAACUAGUUACAAGAUAACUUUAUAAACAAUUUGGGAGGCUUAAGAAAAUCAUAAAAACGCCAAAAUGAAAACUAUUGAAUGUGAAUAAAGAUAUGAAAUUGUUGGGAAAUAAAAAAUUGAAGAUGAAGAAUCUAAACAUGUUAUUGUUGUGUCAAGUCAUUGGAGUGGUAAUGGAAGUUUCAUGAGUCAGCCAAACAAGACUUUUUGAAAAGGUGAGGCCCAUUCUCAUAAAGCCAUUUCCCACUUUAGCCUAAUGUUGGUUGUUUCAGUGCUUUGUGGGGCAUUCAUGUUCUUCUUAAACACACACUUUCUUCUUCUUCCUUUUUUUUGAUCUUCAUCCCCUACAGCCCUUCCCACUCUAAGAGUUGAUAUAACACUUUGUUUAUGUCAACAAAUCUAACACAUAUGUAACCAUUUUCUUUCUUUCCUAAUAAGUACAACAAUUCGAGGGUAACAGAUCGAUUUGAAUCUUCCACCUCUACGAUGAAAGGUUAUGUCAAUUAAUACUAAACUGAAUUGGCUUUGGCAUACGUGAAGUUAAUCUGUGAUAAGAUAGAAGAAAUUUCUUUAAAGUACGAUCAAAUAUGAAAGGAAAAAAUAUUGUGGAUGUUUGCGUUGUUUGAAAUGAAGAAAUUAAAACGACAAUGUAUAUGAUUCAUAGAUACCAUGUGUCUUUAAUUUGUUUUGUUUAUUAACGUAUGUGUUUAGAUUUGUCCACACUACAAGAAUAAACCUUUCUGCCGAUGCAUCAAAGCAUCAGUUGAGACCCCAAAUGAUGUGGAUAGAUUUUACUCCGACGCACAACAAACUGUCAGCAUUGUUGUAGGGAGAUAAGCGUUGGGACAUCAUCUCCCAAUGCAUAAAAUAGAUCUUCGAUGUAUAAACCCUACUGUUGAUAGACAUCAAUACGUUGUCAAUAGUUCAUAUCUCCCCACAUAGUAUCAUGGCAUCGGCUAAUACUUUAUUUGUCAUCAGUAUUUGUUACCUAUCGUCAAAUAGCCAAAAAUGAUGAAAUCAUUUUCGUCAAAUCUUUCGACACAGUCGUUGGGAGAUUAUAUAUCUACCGAUGAUAACUCCUGAUCGUUCUAGGGCGUUGAAAGUUUCUUUAGUUUAUUAGUUUUUUUUUUUAAUAUAACCAAAUAUAUUCCAACAAUAUUGGUUAUCAUCCAGCAAAUUAAAAACAUGAAAAACAAUUAACAUUUAACUAAACAUUUUUUUUUAAUGAUUCAUUUCGGACUUGUCAUUCCAUAAAAGUCUUCCAUAACAAUUAACAUUGUAUCAAUAAAAAAUGAUGGUUUUAGAAACAUUUCCCAUAUAAAGAAAUUCCAUAACAUAUAGCAAUUACAUAUUGUACUCAUCUCAUAGUACUCAUGAGAAACAAAACAUAACAUUGGGUUUUGCCCUAAAAUAUUGAUAGUUUUACUUGCUUGUGACACCAAAUUGGUAAUUUGAAAAGUGAAAUCCUAGUAGUUAUCUUUUCUUUUUGGGUGUUUAAUGUUUACUUGUAACUCAUAUUCAUAUCCAAUGGUGUAUCCAGAAAUCAUAUAUAGGGGCACGAUUAACAAAAAAAAAUUGUAGUGGAUGAGUUUUGAACCCAAGACGUUGAGAUUUCAAAGGGAAGUCACUACACCAAAAACAAAAUAUAGUAAAAAGAUGCAUUUUCUUAAGAUAUAUUGUAAUUUUACACUUCAAAACUAAUAUUAAAAUACAAAAACCAAGAAUGUGAGGGGGGCACGUGUCCCCCGGCCCCUUAAUAAAUCCGCUCAUGUUCAUAUCUAUCUAUUUUCAAUUAAAACUUAAACAAAAGUAUGAAAAGAAAGGUUUAAUUUGAAAUCAUUAUUAAUAUUUUAAAUUUUUUGCGAAAUAUGAUCCUCAAGUUUAGUCAAUCAAUAGAUAACCUAUCCAACAGUCUUAUAUAUAGAUAAAAUGAAGUUUAGAGUCUAAUGAGACAACAUUAUUUUCAUAAUUCAAAUAAAAACUCUUAAACUAGUCUAUUACAAACAACGUUAACUAAGUCCUCUUGUAGCUUAAUUACAAAUUAUCAUGUUGGUUGAGUUUGUUUGUUCGAACACAAUAUUUGAAGUGGUUUGAGUUUAUAUUUCAUUUUAGGUGAUAUGUCACUGAGCAUGUUCUCUACAUGCAGUAUGCUCUCCAUUUGUGAUUCUUUAUGUGAUUUGCUUGCAUUAUGGAAGCGUUGACUGUUAAAAGACUUAGUAAAAUUUUAGAUUUGAAAACUUUGUUUACUGUUGUAUUUUGUGUUGGUUUUGAUAUGGUAUCUGUAGAUUUGUUGUUGAAGAUGUAUGUUUUAUGAAGAUUUAUUAGAUGAUAAGAAUCUCUGUUGCUUUUCAAUAGCUAAUUUGCUAGCCUAGUUUGGAGUUAUUUGAUUAUGUUUAUUCUCUUUUAUUGUUUGAUGCUAUGCAAAUCAAAACAAAUGGUUUGACUUUUUUCUUUCAUUGGUAGAAAACAGAAAAUCUUGAGAUAUGGAAACUUGUAAGAAGGUUUAGACGUUAUGCAUAGACUACAAUUCCGUUUCUUAAUCUUUGAUGUAUGUAUUAAAAGUAAAUUGGCUAUAAAGAUUUUAGUGUUGUUGAUCGUAGAGAUUUUCAAGUACAAUCUUCUAAAGAAUGGACUUACAUGUAAAUUAAAAUUCCACUUUAGUCACUAUAUACUUCUCACGAGAUAUAGUUCUUAUCAAUCAUUUUAUCAAAUCUCAUCGUGGCUACUUGUGAUGUUGGUCUUCCAUCACAGGAGAUAAAGUUGUAAAGCUUGCUCCAACAUGGUAAGUUAUGCUGCUCAUUUAUCCCAUAUUUUCUUCUUUGUUCCUUUGCACUUAACAUUUUUAAUUUAAAUUUCUUAUUUCAUUUCGGGUUGAGCAUUGUCGUUUAACAACCCAACUUCAUAUACUUAAGUACUUAAAGGAAAGGUCGAUAUGAGAACUUCUUCAAACAAUAUCAUUCCCACCUAAACUUUCCAAUUGUACAUAUUCAAAGAAUUAUUGAAUUUAUCUGAAGAUGUAAGGGCUGUAUCUCAAGUCCGAUCCUCCUACAAUACAACCAUGUAGAAACAAUGAUAUCAAAUAUGUAGAGUGUUUUAAGUUUCAGAACCGCUGAAUUGUGCAAUAUGAUCAUUCAAUAAUAGUUUAGAAAAACGAGGAGAGAGUGUAAGCCUAAAUCUGUUCGAAGUUUCUUCUACCAUUUUGCCUAACCUGUUUCGUUUUGACGAAGAUUAAGAUGAAGAUUAAGGUUAACAACUUAUAGCCUAAAUAUUUUGUUGUUUGUAUUAUUUUAUCAUGAAUUAGAUUUGAAGAUUUUUAUAGGGCUAUUUUGGUAAAUGACAAAAUCACUUUUUCUUUGCAUUUUUUUUUGUAUGUGCGUAGUAUUUUAUAAAAGACCAAAAUACUCACCUUUCUCAACUGUAAUUAUUUUUUUCUACGUUGUAAUUAAUUUUGUCAUGCAUUUAGCAACUCAUAUAAUAACUUUUUUCUUAAUAUCUGAGGAGUCAAAUAUCAUUCAUUGGUUGAAUCACAAAAUAACCAAAUUAUUAUUUUGAAUUAAAAUUUUCUUAUGCUCUUUUUGUUUAACUAAAAACUCGCUUAUUUGUUUAUUUUUCAAUGUUUCUUAUUAAAUUCUAAUUAAUUUAAUCUAUAUAUAUAUAUAUAUAAUUAGUUCAAUACCAUUGAUUCAUACCAGGUGGAAAUGAAUUAAAAUUAGAAAACAAUUACAUUAGCUGUGUUUAUAAAAACUUUUAAACUAAAACAUAACAUUAAUUAAAUUAAAAUUUAUAUCAAUAUUGAUUUAAAAGUGUAAUUAAGGUAAUUAUUUCGAUAUAUUGCGUUCUUAUCAAAAGUUUUGUUUGUGUAAUUACGAUAUACAGUUAUGAGUUUAUCAAAAGUCUUUGGAAUAUAAUUAAUUUGUGACAUGCAAUUAUGAGUAUGUAAUUAACUUCGACGUGUUAAUAAUCUAGAGAACCUAUCCGUCUCUUUCUAAUAUAUCAGAAUUUAAAACAUAUCAACAAUUUUAUUUAUUUUAAAAAUUUUUCUAUUGUGGUAAGAUUUUAAGAGUUUUAUUCAUUUUUUAUUUCAAAAUAAUAUUAUUAUUAAUUUUUAUUGGCUAAAUCUCUAACCUUUUUUAUUUCAAAAUAUACUAACUUUUUCGUCAUCUUUUUUAUUUCAAAAUAAAGUAUUAGAUCUUAAUUUAUUUUUAAAUUUUAAAUUUUGAAUUUGAAAAUUAAAAUUAGUUUUUCUAUAAAUAUCUCAACCUUUUUACUAUUAUUAUUUAAAUAUUAAAUCUCAACCUUUUUUUUUUCAAAAUAAAAUCUUUAAACCCUUAAUAAUUUAGAAAUUAAAAUUAGUUUUUGUAUUACAUUUUAAUUUAAUUUUUAAAAUGAUUUUUUUCAAUAAAAUAUAUUAAGAUAUUGUGUUUUUAAGAUAAAAUCUCUUAAAUUCAUAUACAUUUUAUUAAAUAAAUAAUAUUAAUUAAAAAAAUAAGCUAAAAUUUUCCUAAAAGAUAACUUUUGUAUCUUUUUGUUUGGAGGGAAGAUUUUUGUUCUUCCACCCAAGCUUUAGAUUUGAAAAUCAAAGAUGAAAUAUGGAAAAUGAAGAGAGUGUGCAUGCUUCAAAUGUUUAUAUUCUUCUUCUUGAAAAUGCAUGAUGAAAUUGAAGAUGAAAUUUAAACUUCAAAUGAAAGAGGGUGGAGAUUAGGGUUUGUCUUCUUAAACUAUAAUUUUACUUGACGCGUAAAAAUUGUAAAACAAAAAAAUCUCUUAUUCCUAACACGGAAUUACGUUUUUUACCUGUCAAGUAUAAUUAUUCUUGACACUUAAUUACUUAGACACAUUAAAAAACAUCAAGUAAACAGAUACUUAACAGUUUUUAAGUGUCAAGUAAAACCAAUUUUGUAGAAGUGGAUACUCUUCUCUAAAUUGUAUUACAAAAUAUUAUUUUGGAAACUACAUAAAGUUCAUGUAACCACUACUCAAAACAUCCAACUUUCGCAUAAUUCUAAAAAAGUAGAAUACUUGUAAAAAGGAAUUAUAUAUAUAUAUAUGUAGCCACCUAUUUUUAUCCUACAUAUAUAUCUUUUUUAAAAUACUAAUAUUAGUAAUAAUUGCUAAAUUAUUUAUUUCUUUAUUUACUUAAAAAAGGUAAAAAAAAAUAAUAACAUAAUAUCUUAUAAUAUUUCAUUUUUACCAUUUUAGGAAACAAAAAUAAAUCAAUUUGUUUCUUAAAAAUCUUUUAAUAUCAUAUUUGCACUAUUUUAGAAAAAGAAAUGAAUUUGUUUUAAAUAAAAUCUUAUAAUAUCAAUUUUGACUUACUUAAAUUAUUUUAGGAAAAAAGAAAAUCAAUUUUAAAUAAAAGUAUUUUAAUAUUCAUUUGAUGUAUUAAUUUAUUUUUCACAAAAUCUCAAAAUAUCUCAUUUAAUUUAUUUUAGGAAAAUGAAAAUUUGUUUUAUUAAUAUAAUAUCAAAAUUUGAUUUUACUCUUAUUAUUUUUUCCUAAUUUGUGGUACACUCUGGGUCUAUAAAUAGGGACCUUGUCAUUUGAAAAAAUGGGAGGAAAAUAGUUUUUUAAAACAAAGAACGAAAAGUUUCUUACAAAAAGUCUUUAGAGAAAAUUUUGUUAGAGAACCUCUGCCUUACAGAAAAUUUUGUUAGAGAACCUCUCCAAUUGCAAGAAUUUUUUUUUUGCAAAGGUAAGUAUUUUUAUUUGUUAUUUAUUUGUUUAUUCUUGCUUUCUUUUACUUUCAUCGUUAUUAUCUUUUUUUCUUAAAAAAAAUCUUAGUCUUUUCUUCUCCCUAAAAAAUAGAGAAAAAGAAAAAGACAUGAGACUUUUUUUUAUAUCUUUACUUUACUCUCUUUAAAAACAUACACAUAUAUAUAUAAAGAAAAUUUCAUUUACUUAUUAUUAUUAAUAUAAUUUUAUUUGUUAUUAACGUUCUUUUUAUUACUAUUUUUUAAAAAAUUUCUGUAUUUUUAACUUUAUUACUGUUUAUUUUAACUUCUGUUUUUCUUCGUUUUAACUUUAUUAUUAUAACUAUUGCUAUCUAUAUAUUUAAAACUUAUUAUUAUUGAUUUAUUUAUAUAAUUAUUAUUAUUUAUUUAUUUAUUUGUUAUAAUAAUAAUUAUUAUUAUUAUGGGGCCUUGGGGCCACACUUCUUUUUUUUUAAAAAAAAUGUUUUUCUCUUUUUAAAAAAUGUUUUUCUUUCUCUUCUAAUUCUUCUUCCUUUUAUUUAUUUUGUUUCCUUAUUUCUUCUUUCCUUUUUCAUUAUUUAUUUAUUUAUUUCAUUUAUUUAUUUCUUCUUUAUUUUUAUUUAUUUAUCUAUUCAUUUUCAUUAUUUAUUUAUUGCAUGCAUAAUCAUUAUUGUCACGUAGUUUUAGACUUAUCAAUAUUUUUUGCACUUUGCAAUGUUACCGUGAUAUAUUAUAUCAAUUAUUUUUUUCUUCUUAUAUCAUAUUUAUCUUUACAUUUUAUCAUUCUAAAAAAAAAUCCGACAAUAGAAUUAGAAAUAUAUGUCUGCUAUUUCUAAAUUCUUAAGGUGAGAGAAUCGGUUCUUUGGUAGUCUAAGAUCGAUUCCCAAUAUUUUUUUAAAUAAAUAAAAUCUUAUCUUACUUGCUUAAUUUAAGGUAUAUUAUAUUUGAUUGCAUUGUGCAUUAUUUCCUAUUGACCUAACUUUGAAAGUCUUUUUUAAAUUUUCUUUUUUAACUGUUUAGAAAUGUUUACUUUACACCUAUUCCUUUUAAUUUUUUUUAAAAAAUGUUUAUAAUAUAAAUCUAUAUUUCAUAUGUUUUCCUUAAUCAACUUUUUUAAUAACUCACUUCUAUUUCGCUACAAAUAUUCCUAUGAUGGAAUUUAGGAAAUUUGGAAGUCUGAUUUGAUUCCAAUAAAAAAUAAAUUUAAUCAAUGUUUUUAAAAAAAAAUUAUUCAAAGACUAGCCUAUGAUAGUUUUGGAUAAAUUGUAAUAAUUUCUCAUUUUCUUAAGGUGAGAAACUUUCCUUCAAUAUAUAGUCUAAUUAAUGAAAUAUAAUUUCACUUAUUUUAUGAGAUCAUUGCUUCAAAUAUUAGAGUAAUAAGGGAUGAAAUAAAAUAUUAUUUUUAAAAUAAAUUUAAAAAUAUUUUCAAUGCAAGAUUUUAAAUUUGGCUACCGUUUUUCUAAAUGGGUGUUGUGGGGUGCUAAUACCUUCCCCACACACAAAUGACUCCCGAACUCAAUUCUAUUUUUCGCAGACUAUUUUUAAAAAUUGUUUAUUUUAUUUCAGUGUCCAAUCACACCGUAAAAAAGAUUGAUGACGACUUCUAUUUUCUUUUAAAACUAGCUCUUUUGAGGACGUCGGCCGCUCUUCGUCGUCUCGGGGUGGCGACAACAUCAAUCAAAGUGUCUCAAUUUCUUUCCACUACGUAAAAAGUUGAAAUAUAUUCCCAGCAAGAACCAGACCAUAAGAGGAAGGAAUUUGCUAAUUUGGUCUAUGAAGUAAGGGAACAAUAAUAAUCUUGUUUUCUUUUUUCUUUUCCCUUUAGUUGCACCUAUUGAAUUUUAAAGACAAGAAUGAAGAAUGUAUUCCAUGAUUCAAUUCUAGGGCUUGGAUUCUGGCAUUAUUAGUUUUAAAUAGUUUUUAGAGUUAGAAAUAAAUUAAUUUAGUAUUUUUGGCUUUCUCAUAUAAACUAAAGAAAAGAUAUACUACGUGUUUGAUACGGGUUAAAAACUAGCAUAUCAUUUUUCUCACGUGCAUGACCGAGUAAAACCUGAUAUAUCUCGGGUCUCUAUAUUUUUUUUGUGUUCAUAAACUGUAUCAUCUAAUAAUAUAUUUAGUAAUACGAGUUUUAUUAGAAAAUUAGUAGGUGAAUGUAAAAAAUUUAAUUAAACGGUAAAAAUUAUCAUCACCAAAAUCAUAUUGUCAGUUCCUCCCUAAGUUAACACGUUCAAACCUCAAACGUGCAGUGUUGGGAGUGUAGAUUAGAAGCUAUGAAACACAUGUAAUUCAAAGUAUACCAAUGUUGAUACAUUCAUAUACGUGAAAUGGAAACAUGGUAUUCCUUUUCAAAUAUGUGAAGGUGUGAUACACUAAUCAAUUUUGUGUAUAUAUAGUUUGGAUGAGUUGUAACCCUCAAACUCAUAGCUCCACUUAAUUACGUACAUAAAAAGAAUUUCAAAAGUUCUUACAAUUUAAAAUUCGAUUAAAAUUUUGAAUUAGUAAUAAUGUAACUGAUAUUUGGAGUUAUGAUUUAAUGAGUAUUAUUUUAUUGUGUUUGACUUAUAUGUAUUUAUCACUUCAAUUUAGAAAUUUAAUUAUCAUGCUUUAAAGUUGAUCAAUUCUACAAUUUGUCCUAACAACAUUAUUAUAUAAUAUGAGCACAUAUUUGCAAAAUGACUAAAUGUACCUAGUCAAAUUAUAUAUCUUGGUAUAAAUGAGACCCAAAUUUUAGUAUAGAGUAUAUAUUAUAAAUCAAUCUUAAAUCUAUAAAGGUUCUUAAUAUACUAGAAAUAAACACGACAAGAAAUAUCAGUUACGAUAAAAUAAAAAAAUGCUAUCGUUGAUUUUCGAUAGCAUUUUUGAAAUGUUGUCGUAGUCGAUUUGAUUGAAAGUCCAUGACUUUAUAUAGUGCUUUUACACUUCUAUGCAAAACGCUAUAAUAUGUCCCUAGUGAUAGCACAUAUAUGAUGUUGUAAAUGUUUUUUGUAACGUGGAAAAAAAUGCUAUUGAAAAUUUGAUAGAGUUUUUUACUGCGUUGGAAAAUCGUUAUCAAGAUGUUUCAAUAGUGUUUUCAAUAACAUUAAAAAAUGCAAUUAAAGACGUUUUAUAGCGUUUUUUAUUGCGUUCGAAAAACGUUAUCAAAACGUUUCAAUAGCUAUUUUAAUUACAUUGAAAAAAUGCUAUUGAAAAUAGAUAGUGCUUUUUAUUGCGAUAGAAAAGCGCUAUCAAAAUGUUCCAAUAGCGUUUUUAAUAACAUUGAAAAACUGCUAUAAAAGACUUUUUGUAGUGUUUUUUAUUGCGUUCAGAAAGUAUUAUCACAACCAUUCAAUUGUUAUUUUAAUAACAUUAAAAAAAUGAUAUAAACAUUUUUUUGUAACGUUUUAUGAAUGUUGUCGUAGCAAAAAGACCUUAACUUUUUAAUGGUGGUUUUCUUAGACCUAUUAAUAACAAUAUAAAUAGUUGAUAUAUUAUUAAAAGUCUCUUAUUUUUAUCAGCAUUAUUCAUCGUAAUGGAAAAAUGUUGUAAAUACUCCCUUUUCACACAAAAUUUAUUGUUGAUGGACCCUCUAGCAUUUUGUUGUAGUAAUACUAUCCCCCAUAUAUAUAUGUGUUGCUCCAAUACCUUUCUCCAUACAUCAAUCACCUAACAAAAAAUAAAAAGAAAUAUCAUUAUCUAACUCUAACAAUAAAUUAGUUAAAAUUUCUUACAUAGUUUGACUUUAUCCAUUGGCCAUGCUACAGUAGUGCCCACAACAUCGCCAAUAACAAGAAUGUUAGAGGUCGGUGGUUGUCUAUUUCAUUUGGACUUAGUAGUUUCACAUUCAUAUGAUGCAAUUCUAAUUUAGACAAUAUGUCACGAAGCAUGUCCAUCACACGUGAUAACUAUAUCUUUCUGUAUUGCGUGAUUCACUUUAUUCGGUAAGUCAUGGGUUAUAAUCAUAGCAUGCAAGAUACUUGUUAUGUACCUCUUUAUCACAUAAUAGCUAAGGCUUCGUUGAGAGUACAAGUUUUUCUACUGCGAUUCCCAAAUGCAAGCGAAAUAGUAGGUUUACCUGGAUGAUCGAAAGGUCGAACACAGAGAAUUAAAACUAGGAUUAAAACUAUUUAUGCACGUCUAGAGAAUCUAUAAAUGGGAAUAAACGGAUGCGAGAUGAAGAUGCGAACUAACUUAUAUAAAAAGAAGUCUUAUUCUUAACAUUGGUCUGUUUGUACAAGAGAUGGGUUGUAAAAAUGUGAAUUUUGCUCUAAAAAUGAGAAACAAAGAAUUUAAUAUGAUUGGUACCAUGUUCAUAUCAUGAUGAGGAAUACAAAGAUAAAUAUAAACAUAUGGAGUGAUUAAUGAAAGGAAAAUAUAUCAACGUAAAGUAUAAUUUUCUUAAUAUUUUAAUUUUACAGCACAUAGGUUAACAAUUUGUAUGUACUUUGAUACAAGAGGAUCUUAAAACCAACAACAAAAAAGUUUUUAAGUAUAGUAGACUCUAAUUUUUGGAAAUAAACUAGUCAAAGUGAAUUAGAAUCUUUAAUUAUGAAUGAAACGUGAGACUUUGUUAGAUCUAAUUCCCUAAAUGAAAUACAUCUAUUAGAUGUAAAUAGGUAUUAGAUUAGUUGGUCGGGUCUAUAUAUCAUGGCAGAUUCAGAAAAUUUAUAUAUACGAGGCAUUAUAUAAUAAACACAUUAAAAAAUAUUUAAGAAAUAUUAAUAGUUUCAAAGACUAAUUAAUUUAAUACAUAUUACAAUUGUCCACUAUCAGUUUUCUGGUUUAAAAUUAAUAUGUGAUAAGUUUAUUAUCUAACUAAUCCAAUAAACCUUUCUCAAUAUGAGCUAUAAGACAAUGAUUCAUCAAUUAAUCGAAGCAGUCAAUUCUUGAUCACAAUAUUCAUAACAUAAAACGUUUUAUCUACAUUAGUUGUUGCAACUAUUAAAAUCAAUGUCAAUGUGAGUAAUCGAUAAACUAAUGAGUAGAUUUUAUCUAGAAGAAAUUUGAUAUUUGGAAAAAGAAUAUAAUUGAUGUUUGGAAUAAAAAAUAUAUUUUGUGAUACUUGUUAGGGAAAUCAUUCAAAUUUAGAAAACAAUUUGAUAUUUGAACAAAUAAAAAUAUUGAUGUUUGGAUUAGAAUCUAUUUUGUGACAAUUCAAUUUAGAAAGAAAUUUGAACACGAGUUGCUAGUUAACAAGUGGGAGCACAAACACUGCGCUACAACCCUACUUUGUUUAAAAUAAAACAUUAUAUCACUACUAUAAAAAGGGUCUUUCUGGACGGUUACGUGCUUUUAAAAGACUAAACAAAAUGCUAAAUUUCUUCCCUAAAUGAAUACCAAAUGAAUCUCAAACCUAAGUUUUAGGAUUUACACAUGGUCUUGAAAAUAUAUAUUGUGUUCUAGCUGGUUUAAGUUUUUCUCUAUCAACGUAAAACCAAAGUAUUCAAUAAUCGUUUAUUAAUUGAUUUAUCAAAAUAUACACAUGAAACUCAACUAUUCAUACAAAACUAACCAAAACUCAAAGCUAAUAAGUGAUCAUUGAUCAUCAAACAAUUUAACACCGAGUUCAUGCUAAAAUUGCUUUAAAGUAAGUCGUUCCUUCCUAACUGAACUAAGUUUUGUUCACGAUCUAAAUUUCUAAUUAACUCUAUGUUUUUUUCUCAACAAAGGAAAGCAUUUCACCUAAGAGAUAUGAUUAAAAACAAAUCAUGUUAUUCUUAUUCGACAAUGAAAGGAAAAUUUCAUGCAUGAAAAAAGAAAAACAAGCUUCUCAUGAGAAAGUUGGAUGGGCAUCCAAAACAUGAAAAUCCUUUUGGGUGAGAUUUUGGAGACAAAGGGCAAACACCAUGAUGUAAUUGCUGACCCCAAAGAAAAAAUAUGAAUAUAUUCUUUGAACUUAGGCAUGCAACUUACAAAACCAUGGCCCUUUCAUUUUAGACAUUAUUCUAUUUUCAUCACUUUAACCCUUUUCCACAUCCAUUCAUCUCAUUCUUCUUGUUUCCAAUAUUCGAUCCCAUGAUUUCCUUUUUUUUUUUUAAGAAAAAAGGUUAAAAGGUACUUCACAAGUUAGCCACUCAAAUUUUGAAGGGUUUAGGGAUAAAAUUCCUAUGGCAGCAGAAGAUUUUAUAGAACCAUUUCUCCAAUUAAUUUGAGAAUCCCAAAAUACUAGUACAUUGGCAAAAAAUAAUUAAGAAAGUAGUUUUAUUAUUAAGACUUAGAGGCUAAGUAUGCUUUAUAAUUAUAAAUUAGAGAAAGAAAAAAUUACUUGUUUAUGUCUCUGAAUCUACAGAGUAAAUCUCCAAAUUAGGACACCACCUUUUGGGACUUUCCUAUCCUCUAGGAUGGGAUUGGUUUAUGAAAACCAAGUGGGAUGAAAAAAAUGUUUAGAGAGAAACUAUUUUCUUGUUGCAAAGAGUGAAAGCAUUGACUUUUUUUCUUCUUGAUUAAUUGAUUAAAGAAAAUUGUUUUCUUUUAUAUAUUUAUAACUUUCUUUCCUUCUCUUUCCUUCUUAGAUUAGGAAAGAAAGUAUGAGAGAAUCAUGAAAUAAGCCUGUUUAUAGAGUUGUAUGAAAAAAUGGAAUUUUCCACCUCCUGCUUGCAUGAAACCACCCCUUGCAUGCUUAGGUCACCUCAAAACCAUUUCACCAUCUGUCCAAACGUCUAAUUACACUCUCAAUUGCCUACCUUCAAUCUCCUCGCCAAAGGUUAUGCUUUCUCGCCUAAACUAACCUCCAUACACUUGGUCGCAAACCUCCUAAUGCCUAAUGCUUGCUUGCUCGCAAAACCCAUCAUCUAUAACCUCCUUUGUUGCACGCAUCCUUGCGUGCAAGCCCUUCCUCCCAUAGCCCAAGUCUCCUCGCCAUGCUUGCACCCACGACUACAAAUAAUACACAAAGCUUGCGGCCUACUAGUCUUCAUCACCUAGAUCACCUCCUUAGGGGUUAUCUUGCCUAGUCUCAAACCCAAUCUCGUAACAUCUCCAUGCAUAGCCAUGCCUUUGGAGGUUCUCCACGCCAAGCACCAACCAUCUCACCUAGGACGUAUCAUAACGCUUAAACCCUUAGCAUAACCUCUCAACACUUAGUAAAUUUUCAACCAACAAGCCUUCUUUUUUCCUCUUUGGUCAACAACUACACUUUCCGUACUUACGUAAAUUUAUUUUCUUCUUUCCAACUAACAAAGAACAACAAACACUUAACCUCUCAUAAUGAAUAUCACUUAAAACUUUAAGGAAUUCAAGAAUAAGGGUUUACAUUAUUCCUAAUGCCACAUAGGCAGGAGACGUCAGAAGUCCCCUAUUGUAAAUGUGUUGUUUUCGUCGACGGUACCUGCAUCAGGAGUAAGCCAUUCUCAUCGCCUUCCAGUUUGCACGUUGGAAAUGCUUCCCUGGCGCACUAUUGUCGACUUCCUUCUCGACAACAUCUUGUACGUUGAAAGAUCAUUUACCGAGGCAUUUUGAAAUAUAUACUGUUGCAUUCCUGCAUUGGAAGAGCUCUAAAUGUUUCUUGUUCUAAAAAAAGAAAAAAUGAGAACAAGAAACAAUGAGUAAAAAACAAGAAAUAGAAACGAAAAAUGGAAACAUUUGAUAACGGGCCUUAAAUGUCCAAAUCUCAAAAAUAUUAUUGUAUAUAUCGAAACAAAUCUUUACUUUCUAAAAACUUUAUUUUAAUUUUAAUACACAUCCUUUAAAGGAUCAUUUUGAAAUAUGGCAAAGAAGUGAACCAAAAUAUUUAUAAAAGACACCAAAAUAUUAGAUUAUAUCAACUUUUAUUCUUAUCUAUUAUUUUGUAACUAAGAUAGAAUCUAAAAUCAUUUUUCUGUCUUUAUCAAGGUUUGUUAUUUUUUUUCUUUUUCAAAGAUUAUCUUUUUUCAUAAAAAAUAUAUUAAUUUAGUUUGUGAGUGUAAUUGAUUUGUUUAUUAUUAUCUUUCUUUUUUUCACUUUUUUGGGACUUUUUCCUCAAGAAAAAAUAUUAUGAAUGUUUGUAAAAAUAGCAGAAAAAAUUAUGAUAAUAGAGUCUAUGUCACUUAUCUUUUCAAAAUUGCAAAAAUAGCAAAUUUAAAAGCAGAUUACCGUCUCAUUACCAUCAGAUUUGCCAAAUUUAAAAUAUGCAAAAAAGAGUUGCUAUGAGGUGUUUUUUUCUAAAAAAAAAUUUUGUCCUCUAAUGCAAUGUUCCAAAAUAUUAUAAAAAGCAACAAGUCAUAAUAUCCCCUUUUUUUAAAGUUCCUUUAUAAAUUUUAUUUAAUAUAUAACUUUUAUGUACAAAUUGGGUUGGAUAAUUCAAACGAUGGAUUUUUUUGCUAUUUAGCAUACAUUAAUACUUGAGUAGCUAAGUUCAUGUUGAUGGUUUUUUCCCUUAUAUACUGAAAAGGUUUUUCUUUUUUUUUUUGUUUAUUUAUUUUACUUUUAAACACAUGCCUUGAAACUAACAUCUAUUCAGAUGAAACAUUAUUCAUGAAAUCUCCCAAACUUAACAUUCAUAUAUGAAACAUUACUUCAAUCACAUUUAUUGAAACAUGUGAAUGUAUGUCAAGUCACACACCACACAAUACUUUAUUACAAUUGGCUAAGAAAAGAAUAAUAAAAUUUCCAAACAUAGAAACCACUUGACUUGGUCACAUAUAUCUCAAAACAUGAACAAAUUGGCCAUUAUAGUUGCAAUAGAAAAGAGAAGCAUAGGCCAUGCCCCAACUUUGGCUGCGGAGUUUCUAGGUUUUGGUAAAAUAUUAAUAGCAAAUUUCAUGCCUGCUUCGCAAUCAUCUCCAAAGGUCGACAUGAAAUAUCGACGCAUGGGUUGGCUUAAGGAAAUGAACUGAACUUUUCUAAAAACAAAGCUUGGAUUGACACAGCCGUCAAAAUCCGCUUGAGAAAUUGGCUGACCAAUGGAGUGGACCUCGUUGGAUCUUGAUUCAAAUACUACAAUGAAAUAAAAAAUAAAUAAAAAAAAAAACCAAAACACAUUUUUGUUAGGUAAAUAAUAAUAAUGACGAUAAUGACUUGAAAGUGGUUAAAAAAGUGAUAAUUACUGAGUUUAUCAUCAACGAAGAAAGUUCUGUUGCUAGCCCAAUCGGAGAAGAAGGUGGGAGUGGAGGGUAGGUUCCAACCAAAAUUGCCGCCGACCUUAUGUUCGACGGCAACACCAACAUGUAGGAGAACCCCAAGUAGGAGGAAGAAGAAGGCAAAGGAACUGAUUGUUGUAGUACUCAUAUUUUUGGAUAUUUCAGUGUUUUCUAUUGGGAUGAUGAUUGAGAAGAAGAAUGAAAGGAGGGGAGUUAUAUAUUGUUAUUUACGGAAGGAAAAGAGUUGCCAAAUUUGAAGUGAUUAGAUAACAUUGAAGCUACAACUUGUGGAAGCAGACGCCUCUUGUGGUUGCUUUUGAAAAUGUAUGUAUGAAAACGUGAUUCAAAAUUUUUAUAGAGUUUCUUUGUUUGAGUAAAUAAAAUUUAGUUUUUUUUUUUUUCAAAUAUAGUAAAAUUAAACAAAAAUAUUUUUAUAGAAUAUAGAAAGUUUUCAAUUCUAUCUGUGUAUAUCAUCGGUACAAAAUGAAAUUUUAAUACUAUAUUUUGUAAAUAUUUUUAACAAUUUUGACUUUUUUUCUUUUGCCCUUAUAAGUUUAAAAUAUUCAUAAAAUUUUAUAUUAAAGAAUUUAAAAUAAGAGGUCUUUCCAAAAAUAUAACAAGUAGUAAAAUAUUUACACUCUAUAAGAACAAUUUUGAAAACAGAAAAAGCUUAUAGAUCCACAGUAAAAAAAUAUAUAAAAAAUGUCAUGCGAUUAAUUGGCAUCCAGCACGUCUACUAUAUUUGAAAGCUCACAAUUAAUAUAUUUAAAAAACGAUCGUUUAGAUUUCUUUCAUAUAGGAAUCGUUUAGAUUUCUUUCAUAUAGGAAUCAUUUAGAUUUGAUUAUUUCUUUCCUAUACGAUGUUUAGAUUUGAUCGUACCCAAAUCUAAACAAUUUUUUUCAAGAUUCUUUGUAUAUGAUCAUUUAGAUUUGACAAGAUCUUGACACAGCAUCGUUAUCGUUUAAAUUUGGGUAGUCAAAUCUCAAUCGUUUUUUUUAGAGAUUUUUGGUACACAAUCGUUUAGAUUUGGAAGACGAUCAUUUAAAUUUGGUAAACAAAUCUCAACGAUUUUUUCAAGAUUCUUUGGUACACAACCGUUUAUAUUUGGCAAUCAAAUAUCCCAACGAUUGAUUGACACUGAUGCACUUCAAUCAUUGAUAAUUUAGUUUGUUUUUGUUAUUUUUAAAAAUAUCUCUAACUAGUUUAUAUCUAAUAGUUAAUUAAGCUAGUAGUAAUGAUUUAUUGAUAUUAAUUAGGUUUUUAUUUGUUCAUAUCCAAGUAUUCAAGUUAAGAGUAUUAGAAAAGUGAGAUGAAGUAUGGGAAAUAUGAAAAGGCCUUCAAAGUGCAAAGAGGGUUGGUUAUUGGCAAGUGGGAUUUUAAACAUUUGUUUAUUUUGGUACAUUGUUUACACUUUCUAAGAUUAUGGUUACACUAUGGGAUGGCUUUUAUUUAUUUUAUGUCAUGCAUAAAAUAAUAAUAUGUUUAUGCAAUCAUGUGUUUUUCCUUUUAAAUUCAUUGUUUCGUUUUACUAAAUUGAAUACAUUUCUUGAAGUGUUGUGUUGUAUAUUAAAAGGGCUUGAUAAGUAUGAAUUAGGUCCACUUGCCAUUGCAUUUGGGAGUAACUGAAUUAAAAUAUAAGUUGUUUGGUAAAAAAUUUAGGUGUUUGAAGAUCACCUAAAAUAUAUUUUGAAAAAAUGAGUUUAUAAAAUAACGUGGUUUCGAACAAAGAGUUAGAACCAAUUUUUAGAAAAAUGAAUUUUGAGUGUUUAAUGGUUAAUCUCCCUAACUUGUAUGAAACACUUCAACCAACAUCUUCAACUAUCUUCACCAACCAACCUCAAACAGUUGUCUUUGUCGAUUGUCGAUGAUUGUCUCCAACAACUGUGUUGGUGAACCAUCGACCAUUGAUUUUUACACAAUCAUCGACAACCAAUUUUCGUCUACCGUUUUUCCCUCAAAUGCUUUUGGACAUCCUUAGACCAUCGCUUUUUGACAAUUGUAAGUGGCGAAACUUCGGAUGAUUGUUUUUUUGUGGACCACUCCCACAAGAAAAAUAUUGACCACCAUUAACCGCCAAUGGUGAACCUCUCGUCAUCGUUGUCUUGCUACUGUUUAUAGUCAACUUUCGUCUAUUAUUUAUUUGGCAACCAUUUGUUGGCCAGUCUCCAAUAAUUUCUUUACGACAACCAUCAUCGAUCAACUUUCAAAGAACGUUUUUAUGGCAAUUGUUUUCUUCUACCACUGACUACCAACUUUUGUGUAUCGUUUUCCAUGCAACUACUGUUGACUAACCUUCGAUAAUUACUUUUAGUAACAGUUGUUGACAACUUUAGACUAUUGUUUCGAUGAUCAUUGUCGACCAACUUUUAUUGAUCGUUUUCAGUGACUAUUGUUGAUCGACUUUUGUUGAACGUUGAUUACCAACUGUUGUUGGUCAGCUUUCAUCGAUCGUUUUUUGUGACGGUUUUUCAUCAACUUUCGUUGACCAUUUUCAGUGAUCGUUGCUGGCCAACUUCAUCAACCUUUUUUUAUUACAGUUUCUGGCCAACAAUCAACGAUCAUUUUUUGGUAACUCUUGUCAGCCAACAUUCGUCGAUCAUUAUUUGAUGAUUGUUGUCAGCCAACUUUCCUAUAAUGUCUUUUGAUGGUUGUUGGUGGUCACUUUUGUUGAACUUUUUCUGUGACAGUUGUGGGCCAACUUUCAUCAACCAUUGCAAAGCAACUUCUGUUGACUAUUGUUCAUUAACCAUUGUCGGCCAACUUUCGUUAACCAUUUUCGUGAUCGUUACUUAUCAACUUUUGUCGAUUGUUUUUUGGUGAUCAUUAUCGGCUUACUUUUCUCAAUUGUUUUUCGGUGACCGUUGUUCAUCAACUUCAUCAACCAAUUUUCUAUGACUGUUAUCAGCCAACAACCAACAAAAGUUUUUCUAUGAUUUUUGUUGAGUGCCUCUGAACGAUCCUACCACUAACCUAUAAUUAUCAUUUUAAAGUAAUUGGUUGGCACCUUCAACCACCAUCAUCAAUGAUCAUUAGUGACUCCUAUCAAAAUCUCCACCAACAAAUUCUUUUAUUAUAAUUUAAAAUUAUAUAUUAAAGAAAACUAGUUUAUAACAAAUCAAACAAAAUAUUACCUAAAAACACUAGAAAAAAAAUUGCCAAAUGUUUAUUUUUCUUGAAGGAGCUUUUAGAAAAAAAAAAUGUUUAAAUGAAAAUUUCACUCCAAUAAAACUAGAAAUUAAUGACACAAAUUAUGCAUUACAGGACACAAACAAUUUUUGUGACACAUAUUUUGCGUCAUUGAAGCCACGUAAAGAUAUGACAUUUAUUUUUAUACAAUGAACAAAGUUUAACUAUUUGCUAAAAUAUUUUUAUACAUUUGUUUGUGAAAACACUAGAAGUUGAGAAAUAGAAAUAUAUUUGAUGACUAUUUAUUGUAGAAAAUAAAAUAGAAUUCAUUAGAAUAUAUAUACAAAAAAAAAUUAUAAAACAUUAAUAUUAUCAAAUACACAUAAAUUCCUUUGCAAAAAAUAAUAACUAUAAUACAAUUCAUAUAUAUUUUAACCUUCGUCAUCAAAGUUUGAUAAUAGCGUAGAUAGAUUCUAAACUUAAUUUGAAAUAAUUUUCUUUUUCUAUCGUUACAUUUGAACCUUCAUAGCUCUAUGUAAAAGUUCUCAUUGACCAAAUAUAAAGAUCCAAAAUUAAAAAAUAAUAAUAGUAGUAGUAAAUACAUUGCCAAAAUUAUUUUGUAACAUUGGAAACCUACCAAAAUAUAAGUGAAUCAAGCAGUACAUCCUAGAAAACUAUCAAACAACAAUAUAACAUCUAUGCUUGAUCUCUAUUUAGAAAAAGCAAAUUAUUUUAGUUUUCAUUUAUAUGAAUUCAUUGGAGAAAAGAAAAAGUUGAAAUAUCAAGAACCUAAAACAUUUAAAAAAAGAAAAAAAACAAAACCAAAGAACAUCGAGGACCAUUCCAACACCUAAAAGGUGUAUAAGAUCUUACAUUAGCCUAAUCAUCAACGGCAUACAAUUUUAAAUGCUCUUUUCGCUCCAAAUUCCUGAAAUCUCUAGUGGAGACCGACCUCCGAACCUGACCCGUGAUAUGUGCACCAUGGUGGUCUUUGAUGUUGAAGCUUGAGUAUUCUCUUGUCUUAGGCAACGGAGGCAAGUUGAGGUUAUUAGUUACCUGAAGAUGGCCUUGGAUUCUUGAUGACUUCCUGUUAGAGUAUGAAAUUGGAGAUAGCAAGAAGUGAGAGCUCCCUGUUCCCCCUCCCGUGUUCACACUCGAUGAGGUGCUCGUUGUCUUUCGACCUCCCGUGUUAACACUUGAAGAAGUGCUCGACAUUGUACUCCCCUUUCGCACUCCAUUGUUAACACUUGAGGACGUGCUCGUUGUAGUACUCCCUCGCUCUUCAUUUUGUUCGUCGUCAUCUCCCCUUUGCUGUGAAAGCUAAGAAUUACACAAUGUCAUUACAUACACCCAAGGUGGUUACCAUUAACUACAACAAUCAAUUGCUUUCGUAGCAGAAAGUAGAGAAACUACCUGUUUGGGAAGAUUUGAUUCUUCUUUCGGUAUUCCGGCAGUUAAAUCUUUCCUCCGGCGUUCACGGUGCGUAUGCGAACGCCUUGUAACUUUAGCAGUCCUAGACCUGUAAAUUGAUUGGGUAAAUAUAGUUUUGUGUAACUGAAAGGACACAUUUCUUCUCACUUAUUUACAUCAUCCAUAGUAAAUUACAAUUAGUACUUAAAUCAUUGCAAAUUGAUUACGAAUAUGUUUGAAGUUGAUUACCAAGCUAACAGAAAACUUACUUCUGCUGAUUUGUUUUAUCCGGUACAUCGGGCUCACUGUGGAUUAUAGGAAGAUCCGAAAGGCUGCAUGCCAGUGGGCUUGUGUAAAAGAACUGCGGAUUGUAGUUCAUGUUUGUUAGUAUAAUGCUUCAACUACAUUGUUAUACAAAUUGGCUACCUAAAUAAAUUUAGAUUCUAAGGUUGAUUAUAUACUUCAUUGUCAAGGGCUGAAGAUGCAGAGCCACGAUAUGAAGGCUCCAAAGCGAGUAGGGUGUUGAGUAGGCCUAGAGAAGAUGAGGGAAAAUGCUUAAAAGAUUCUCUGAGACUAGGUCGAUACGACUGUGGAGGUCUGAAAGUAGGUGGCAGCUUGAGUUUUCUCCAAUACUCCUCAGAUGGUGUACCACAUAACUUGAAAAUUUUGUGAAGUUGUUCAACCUGACUCAGCAUAAGAAUUCAAUUUUAAAACAAACGUCAUGACUUUAGUUUUAUCAGACAUUAACAAACUGUUCAACAUGGCUCAACUCAUAAUGAAUCCAUCUAUCAGAAAUCCAGAAACGAUGUAACUUCACCUCUGUUCGACCUGGCAGAAUUGGCCUUCCAGUGAACAUUUCUGCGAAGAGACAUCCAGCACUCCAUAGAUCAAUGCCAACCCCAUAUUCUGUAGCACCUAACAAUAGCUCCGGAGCUCGAUACCUGUUAACAAAAUACUUAUAAAAUCUUAAGCAUACAAUGAUAUAUCAACUUCAACUUUUCAGUUUAAUAUCUAAUGUCGUAUCAAUCAAAGCUGAUGUCUAUAAGUUGAUCUUCAGGAAUCAAAUUGGUUUUCUAGAUCCACGAAUGAGAUAUGUUAAAAAUAUACAUGAUAAAGAAUGAAUAUCAUAAAACCCUACGUAAAGGUUAAAAGCUAACAGAAUUACAAUACAACUCCUUGUCAAGUACUCGAGGUACUUGGAACCCACUUUCUUGAGAUGCUACGAAAGGCCAAUUACUCAAAACAAGCCUUCCUUCCUCCUUCCCCUCUCUCUCUAUUAGUAAUCAUAAAGCAUAACAAGCUCCCUAGCUAAUUACUAAUAUAUCCUUAAUAACAUUACUAUCAAAAUAUACCUUAACCUAUCAACCUAAGUUUUUGAGUUUAAGAGUGUGAUAUAACAAUACCAUAGAGUCACAACACGAUUUGUAAGAUGCCUCUUUGGACUGAAAAAAAUGGCAAGCCCAAAAUCGGCAAUCUUCAGCAUCCCAUUUUUAUCUAUUAACAGGUUUGAUCCUUUGAUAUCACGAUGUAGUAUCCCUUUAUCAUGGCAAUGCCUCAAACCAGAGAGUAGCUGAUGCAUAUAGCUUUUGACCUGCAACAAGAAUUAAGACAAGCGAACUAAUGUACAGCGGCAAAUUUGCAUCCAAAACCCCCUGAACAUCAUCAUAUAGUGAAGGAUAUAACCUGAGGCUCCGUAAGCCGUACAUCCGGGUGGGAAAUAACUCGGGCCAAAUCAGUCUGCAUAAAAUCAAAAACAAGAUAAAGACUGAACUGCAUUCUUGAGGUAGCCAAUCCUUCAAGUUUGACAAUGUUGGGAUGAUCAAGUUUCAGCAAUAUCAUAAUUUCUCUUGCCAUGAACUUCACACUCUCAGGUUCCGUUGUAUCAAAACGGACCUUCUUUAGGGCAACAAUCUUUCCAGUUUCCCUAUCUCGAGCUUUAUACACAUUGCUAUAACUUCCUUGGCCUACCUAUUACAUAAACAUUCCAAAGAUAUCAUAAAUAUUCAUCAACAACUUACAGAGGUAUUCAAGUUUAAAUUUCAGCCCAAUUGCAAUGCCUACGCUGUAUCAAUGUUAACAUUACGAAACAAAAUGCAAAUACCACCACGUAAUCAUAGUAGUCAUCAUAACUGCACACUCAUACUUUAACUUUGGCAAUUACGCCCUCAAACUUACGAAUCCGUAGCAUAUAUAUAUAUACCACUCCAUUAGUUGCAACUUGAACAAUCCACAAGAUAGCAUUUUUCAAUCUACCCUUUAACAUUAUCAUUCAGAUGUAGUCACCUUUCAGGAGAAGAAACAACCUUAUCAACCUUAUCACGAAAAUUCAUACAAAAAUUCCAGAGAUAAUCCAAAAUUCAAAUUUCCGUCUUAAAUGCAAAAACCAUACCUAAAUCAUAGGGUACAUCAAAUCUACAACUCCAAACUUAAAAGAAGACAAUUGUAGCAAUUAAACCCCCGUGAACUACAAUGAUUAUAACUUGAAAUUUAAAAGAGAACAAACCACUCCCAAAAUCAAACAAUCAAACUUAGAUCCCAAAUACCAAAUCACUCCUAACCUAUAUCCUCAAACUUACAAAAACAUCGCAAUUAAAACCAACAACUGCAAGUUAAUACAGAGAAUCUAAUUUCAAGGAAGACAAUUGUAGCAAUCCAACGAUCAAAAACCAAGGAACACCAGAUUUUAAGCAAAAAUAAACAAAAACAACCUUAUCCAGCUUGUCAUAGGCCUCCACACUCUUGGGAACCAAGCCAGCUAACACAUGUUUAGGAAUAUUACUAGUAAGCCACUUGGGCCAUCCAUCCACUAGUUCACUGUUGUCUGAACCAAAUUGGUCAUUCCCACCGCCGUGAGGCCUCUCUGCUUCAGAUGACUCCCUGCCAACAAAUCUCCUCUGCCCCACCGACCUCCGAUGAGCAACAAAACCAUCAAUCCCAGCAUACCCAUUGUCCAAUUUCAGCUUCUCAACUCCCCCAGCGGGCGAAUUCACCGAAUGCUUCGUCUGUGCACAGCCCAUGAAUUGGAGAGUGAAAUUUAGGGAUUGGAAAUUGGGGAUUUUGCAGAGGAAAGGGAAAAGGGGAUGAUGAGAAGGAUUUGGAGUGAGAGAUAUGGAUGGGGAAAAGGAGACGAGAUUGGCCGGCCAUGGCCGGCAGUUUUAGAAUCAUGGAAUGAGAGAGAGAGAGAAAUUUGAAGGGGGGGGUUGUUCUUAGGUUUGUCCGCUCAAUGAGUGAAGGGAACAACUUUUGUUAUUGAUAACUUAGGGAGGGAAUUGAAAGCAGAAAAUGGGGAGCUGGGUAUUUGAGAGAAGAGAAAAGUGAAUGAUGAAAAAUGGAGUGGCAAUGAUAGCGAAUGCUGUUGAAAAUGGAUCUUUGGCGUGCCGUUGUGGGGAAGAUGAUGAUGAUAAUGAGAUACUUUGUAGCUUUAACUUCAAAAUUGAAAAUGAAGCGGGAGAAGCCAUUUGGAAGAGAGGAAUUGGAGUGUGUAUAGUACAACAACAUUUAAAAUAUUGAUAUCCUCCCAAGUCCCAAAUCUCUUGGUUUCACCAAAAUAUCUAUUCAACUCUGAGGAUACUCCAUAGAUAUUUACAUUUAGAUUUUACACCAAGUUAACAUAUUUAUUAAUGAAAUAUUGGCCACAACUUUUGAAAACAAAUGAAUUUUGGUUUUAUGCUGAUGUCAACUAUGUAAAGUUAUUAUUUCAACCCCAAAUCCAAUCUUCUCCUUCUUUCUCGUUUUCCAACUUUUUUCUUCUUCUGCUUCUUUUUUACUAUGUUUUUUCUAUCUUCUUUUGUUUCUUCUUCUUCUUUCCCAAGGCUAGAAAUCAAAAGGUUUUGUCUUUUAUUUUUUGCUUUUUCUUUUUCUUAAGGGUAGAAAUUAAAAAGUAGGAAGAAUAUUUGAUAAACGAACAAAAAAAUUUAGGACAAAUGGUAGUUGUGUCACAUAAGGAACAAAGGAAAAAACAAGAGUAAAGAGUGAAAAAAAAAAUGUCUUCUUGUGAACUUUGGGGUCAAAUUGAUACUUUUUCAGACGUUUUCUUAAAAUUCAUUAAAAAAAUUCAUCAUAGCAAAAAAAAUUAGAAAAAAAUAGUUCAUAACAUCUUUUUUUUACCUAUUACAAAUAUGUCAAGUAAUUAAUUAUAUAAAAUGACUAUCAUAGGGUUAUUUGUUUUUAAAUUUACUACUUUUGCAAUUUAGAAAAUAUAGUGACAUGGACUUUAAUAUCAUAAACUUUUUUGCCUGUUUUUUCAAGCGCCCCAAAAUCAUUUAGAUCAUCCAUACAAAUUUCUGUUUAUUAAUUAUAUAACAUUUGUUGGAGUGAAAUUUGGUUUUUUUUCUAUGUUUUGUAAUUUGUUUACGAUUUAAUGAAAAUAUUUAUUUACCUCUCAUGUUAAUGCCAAGUUUGUAGAAACUAACUAGAGGGGCAAGAAUAACCAAAUUAUAUCAAGAACAUAUAUAUAGCCCAGGUGAAAGAUAGAAAAGUGUUCAAUUUUGAAACAUAGGAAUCAAUUAGAAACUAAACUCAAAACUUAGAAAAGUUUCAAAACUAAAUUUAUGAAUGCGACUCAUUUACACACAUUUCACUUUUAUAAUCGAAAGUAUGUUUUACGCCAAAACGUGACAAGAUCCAAAUUUAUAACCAAAUUUAAAAGGCCGCAAAAUCUUACUAUUUAGUUCAGAAAAAAAGGAGUAAAAGCAUAGCUCAACUUUUUUUUUUUCUCCUAGUUGAACUUGUUACAAUUUUAGAGAUAGUAAUAGAUAUGUCCAGAUGCCUCACCUGUUGGCUUUUAUGUGAAAAUAAAGCUUAGAAUCACACAAAUCAUUUCAUUCUAUAUCAUCCUUUUAUUCCAAUAACAAGGAGAAAAGUCCUUUCAAAUCAAUUCUAUUUGGAAGCCUUCUAAAUUCUUCUCAGAGCUGUCCAUGAAAACACAGUUCUGCUAUAGAUUCUAGAGUACAAAAUACAAAUUUACAAUAGGUAUCAAACAAGAUCAGUAAAAAGGUUGAAAAAUACAAACUUGCCGAUCCAAUCACACCCCCAAUUUCUUGCAUCUUCUAUGCAGAACCACAACCCAAUCCUGAUCGAGCAAGGAAAGAUCUCGCUAAAGAGCAAUACUUUUCUUUCUGCUUUUUAUAUUCUCCGUAACGUAGAAAGAAAUAACUAAGGUAAUCAAAAUCAAUCGGAGACAUCCUUGCCUAUAAAGCAUAGUAAAAUGAAUGAACAUUUCGAGUCAAAUCAAAUUGUAUAGAUGGGAAGGACAGUAGAAGAAGCAAGGUACCUGUAUAAGUGCCCAUAAAGCCCAAUACAAGUGAGAAGCCAGCAUGAACGUGUUUGACUCCACAUAGAGAGCUUCUAGAUCUUUUUGAGAAACCUUUCAAGAGAAGACGGUAGUUCUAGUUAGUAUAAAAAAUGAUCGCUAAAGUAUAAAUAACAUGUCUGCAGAUCCUCAAAGUGUGUUACCGUGCUAAUAAUUUUCUGUUAUUCAUACAUUUACAUUUCACUCGUGUUCAAAAAUAUCUGUUAGGCACUAGAUAUUUAGUUUUUGUUAAUUUAGGCGUAUUAAGGGUAAUUAGAAGAUUUGUGGCAACAACUAUGAUGGAAAGGAUGGUGUAUAAAAUCUCAAUCCUGCGGCGUUUUAUAUUGAGGUUCCAAGGUAAGGAAAGCGUUCAGAAAAUAUAAGAUUGGCAGAGGUCAUCGUGACUUUUUAAGAUGCAUCAAACAUCGUACAUAAAUCUUUGGGUGUGACUACUUUUUUAGCAUUUAAAUCGUUUAUGAACGAAAGAACACAUAGGGAUAAUGCCAACCACACCUCAUCUGGUUUUUCAGGCUGUAAAUAAUGCCUGAAGAAAUGAUACUGUUCUUCCUUGGAUGGAUAACUGCUCGGCAAUUGAUAAACUAUAGUCAAACAUCAAUGUUACUACAUUUUAGAAAGAAAAAUUGCCCAUGAAAAGCAGAUUAAAAACCUACCAGCUGUAGUCGCAGUCAUAGCCAGCAUAUUCAUUGAAGUGAUUACCAAUGUCAAAGCCUCUGUAACUGUAUGAUCCGUACUCGAAAUCAAUGAAAUAGAGUCGUCCUGUAUAUGUUUGUAAGACAAGCAAAGACAUCAAAAGGAUGAGCAUCUUAGUGGGGGAAAACAGAGAAGUUCAACUAAAGCUCACAACCAAUAAAACGGAUCCUUGGUUGUCAAGUUCCCCUCAGUGUAACGUCCACGUUGCUACCAUUGUAUCUACUCCGACUUCUCAUAAGUUGUUCAUUCUCAAAGGUCAAAGAUAUGUUAUUUUCUCUUACACAACUAUUUGUAAAGUAGAAAAUACUUUAUCUAGAUCAUGCUGCUUAAGGAUUUGAAGAACCAAACAACAUCCAGUCCAGUUCAAAUUCCCAUCUCCUAACAACUCAGUCUACCAUUUUUCAUUAUUCACAAGGAAUAAACAUCCUUAAUAUUCGGAUGUGAUUGUGAGUACAUGGGAACGGGGGUUCCUCACAUUCAUACCAUAAAGAGGGAAAAAAGAAUGUUUAUGAAAAAUAGAGAAGGAUAAGUAGAUGUGAUUGUCAGUCCAUGGGGACGGGGGCAUGGUAAUACUUUAUAUUAAAGAUGGAAACAAUGAUGAUAAUGGAGAAUUUGAAGGAGCCAAAUAGAGAAGUAGAAUGUAUUAUCAGAGGGGGUUACCUUCUUCCUCAUUUAGCAUUAGGUUCCCAGAAAGCAGGUCGUUGUGAGCAAACACUAUGGGUGCAUUGAGAAGGCUUGUUAGUUCCUGUCAAUUAUGGCAAGUUGCAUCAACAAACAGGAAUCUCUUUUCUAAAGCCAUGUGUAUGAUUCGUGAGUGACAGCAGAUGGUCACUCAAAAUAUAGUCAAACCUAGUAUAAAGAACCAAUAAAAAGUCUCAAUCGAAGAAACAACCUUAAUCUCAAGUAUUUCAUUGUGAAUUUCCUGAAAUGAAAUUGUAUCGUAUAUACUUUGCUUUCCGGUAUCAUCAAAUUGCAGUGUGGAGGCUGAAAAUCAAUAAUCAGAAACGUCACAACCAGUUCAAAAGAAACUAGAACGUUCAACUGCAUGAGGGGUCUGCUGACCAGAAGCCUGUUCUUGGCCAAGAAAAAUAACCUUUAUCGUAAAAGUUUAAGAUUUCGUUCCAUAACUGAGGUUCAUUAGAACCUGGAAUAUAUACUUUGUGGAAUUUAUUAAGCUGUUUAGCAAUUUCGGCAGCUAGCUCUGGCUUUCUCAAAUCUGCAAAACCAAGCAAAAUUAACAAAAUAUUUGUUAUUAAUCAUAGGGUUCAUAAGAUAUUCCCAUAGAUAGAAAAAAUGGUUUGUUAGAUAUACGCUGACGCAUGCGAACGUUAGAGGUGGGAAAGCACUUCCAAGAUAAACACAGAGGCAACUCUAUUAAUGGUAAAAAAAUAAUGGACAACUCAAAUUCAGCUUAUUUAAAGUCAUCGACUUCGUGUUCAUUAUCUGAAAGUUUCAAAGGUUGCAACCUUACUUGAACAAGAUAUGUUCUAUUGUGCACAACUGUUUCUUCUAAAAAAAGUUGCAAGGGUCAUUCCAUUUAAGUUUUGACAGGAGUUGUAAGAGCUUUAUAGUUCUUCACUAUUACUCCUUUAUGUUCAUCAAUUGUUCUUUAGUACUUUUUUUGUCAUUGUCCUUUAGAGUUGUCUUGUUUUGUGACUUUCAAUAUUUUGGAACAUUAGUUUUUUUAAUGAAAAGGGUGAUUUCCUUUUCAAAAAAAUAAAGAAUCCCCCAUUUCAAGUCUGAUGAAACCGCACAUCUCCUAAGACAGACUAUUAUUCUCCAAACUCAUCAAACAAUAUCCUUGAACACAAUCAAGGAUUUUCUUUUUAUUGUACCUUUUUAUUCUUCUUUUACAUGAAACAACUUUUUUUAUUGUAUAAAUAAAAAGAAACUAAUGCUAGAGGGAUAUGGAUGAGAUUAAUACAAAGCAAUAACUGAAUAUAGAAAGAAAAAAAAAAGCAUAUAGGAAAUAUCCUUUGUAAAGCGAUAACUGUUCCAAAUAUUUGUAAUUGGAAUGGCUUUAUACUACCAAUUUUAAUUAUUUUUGUAUUACCUUUAUUUUAUUACUUGUUUUUCUUUCUUAUUUCCUCUCAUGGGGUUUUGUACUUUUGAGCAUUAUCCUCUUUCCAUUUCAUCAAUAAAAAGUGUUCGCUUCAUCACUUGUUUCCUUUCAAAGAAAAAAAAAGCACCAGCAACUCUUCAUGCUUGGAACAGAAUUGUUAGAUGAUAUAUGAUUAAAUUGCCUUCAUCCAGUAGCUUAAACUUUGGGUCAAUUGGUGAUUUAAGAUUAUAAUAUCUAACAGUAAUAAAUGAGUAACCUUUUCAAGGAUUCUCAAUUAUUAGUGACCCCCACCAAGGACUCUCCAAGCAAGGCAACAAUUGGGAUAUUCCUCAAAUCCAAUUGUGAAUAAGGCGAAACAUCAUGGGAGAAUCUGAUGGAAGAAUCAGAUGAGCUAAAUCGGUGUUUGGAUUUGAAUCUUCGUUUUCAAUAUCCAGGAAUAGUUUAAGACCUCCAGUAGUCCUUAGUAAAGACCAAUAAUAUUAAAUCACCUGGAAACCCAUAUGAACUAAUGUAAUGCAAAAUCAAUAUAGAUUACAAAUCAGAAUCUUCAAUAGGAGAAGGAGACUGAGUAUUUGAAAUGAACUUGGACAAAAUAAAAACCCAAUUUAAUAAACUGAUUGAAAAUAUUGAAAGAAGACACAUAUGGAAUCAUUCACACAUAUCCAGGGGCAGAUUACACUUUUAUAAGCCACGUACUCAAAUCUUUCCUCUCCUCGUCCCUCUUCAAGAUCCUAUCAAAAUUUGCUUCUACUAUUGAGAAACUCUAUAGAAGCUUCCUUUGGAAGGGAUGCUUAUUGCAAUUUGGAGCUUGUCUUAUUAGAUAGCAUAAAGUUGCUAGAUCUAUCCCUAAUAGACACGUCGAGCUUAAAAAAAUUCAAAAGAAAAAGACUUCCUUCAACAAUGUUUGGACUGCUCUUCUCAAUUUUGAGUCUUUGGCAGUUUGUUCAUCCAAAACUCAAGAGAAGCAUUCCCAGGUUCAUCAAGCUUACCAAUCUUUCAAGUCUUUGUUCACUGAAGUAAAUCCAGAUCUUUUGGAAGUUUCCAGCUCUCUAAUCCAAGCUAAUGGUUGCAUUACCAGGCGAGGUACAUUGAACUCUCAUCAAGAGUGCGAGCAAAAUCCAAGCGAGGUGCAAUAUGGGAUUGCUAAUCCAGAAGAAGCUGGCAGUCUUGAUGCUCAAGAAGCUCUUGAAUCAGAUGUUGAAUCAGUUUAAACUAUAGGACUUAUGAAUUGGCCAUUGGGCCUCAGAUAUCCUUUCACUAUCUCUUCAUAAAUUUUGGAGUUGACGGUCUCCAGCCAUGGGCAGCUUAGGCAGAUUCUGUGACUUCUCAAAAUCUUCCGCAUUUCUUAAGGAAAUUCCUACCAGAGCUUUAGAACUCGAGUACACAGUUGUACAAUCUAUAGAACAAAUCUCGUUCAAGUAUGGACGUAAUUCCCACAAUGACUUGGAUGAACUUCCUUCCAAGCUCCUGAUUACGGCCAUACUGCACAUUUAGUGCUCCAACAUAAAGAAGAUCUUAUUGAUAAGUGAGUUGUACCAAAUAUAUCCCUAGUUUACUUGAAGAAAUGUGAUUUGCACUGGGUUUUGCAACAAAUCCACUAAUGAAUUUUCAGACCAGCGUAAUUGGAAAACAGAAGGAGGGACUAAUUUCUUGCCAUGUUUUCAUCUUCGACAAGAGGCUGUCAUUCUCUAACCAGUGCCGAAAUACUUAUUGUUUACACAACAGCUCCUUAAACCCAUCACUCAAAACAGGGGCUGGAUAAACCAGAAACAAAACUUCAAAAAGAAACUAAAAUCUGAUAAUUAACUUGGAAGCUGAAAUCAGAUAAACUGAUAAACCAGUUGAAUCUAGCCAAAAAUACCAAGAUCAAGGAAUCAACCCUGAAAUGCAGAAACAAAAGGAGGAGAGAAGAGAGUACAUGGGGGUGGGGUGGGGGGGAGCCUGUGGUUGUGAGCAUGAACUACUUAAAGAAUAAUCUCCAUUUACCUCAAUCAAGGGAUAUAUGAACUACUGAAUUGUUCAAAACCCAGCCCACAUAUUGCUAAACGUGAAAACAAAUUUUAGACCAAGUCUAACUAUUAGAGCGCAAAUAAGGUUAAAUUAAUAUUUCCUUCUCUAUCCAUAUAUCUUAACUGCAAAUCUCUCAGUGCAGCUACUAUUAAAAUGAAAUGCUACAUAAUUAUGUGACAACAUUCAGCAUUAAAGAUUAAAACUGAACUAUCUGCAAACAAGGUGUAAAUCAGAAAAAUUCUAAAUGCUUUUUUACCUGAUGGUUCUAGUGUACGUGCAUGAAUAAAUGACUGCACCAUUCCAUUUUUAAAAACUCCAAGAAGCUUGGCACCAAAUCCUGCAGCUGAAAGAUAUUUGAUUGCCUAAUACAAGAUUUCAUGAGAUUACAGAGUGAAUGAUAAGAUAUAAGCAAAGGUCACACACAACAAGGGAGAGAAAACCAAGUGAAAGAUAAACAAUUAGUAGCAUUAUCUGAAUAAUCAAAUUCAAGAUAAAAUUAUAUUUUUUUAUGAAAAAAAUGGUCUGGUGAUAAGAUUGUACUCUAAAUUUCAUGAAAUCGACAUGAACUUUUCUGAAUCCUCUUGGUUCAAGAGCAUGCAAGUAAGGGGGAUACAACCAUGAUACUAUUGGGAAAAACCAUUGAGACAGAAAAAUGGAACAGAAGACAAGGAAAUGGUGGAAGAGAAAGAAGAUAAGAGAUUCAGCUGUAAGACCUACACUACACCCUUAAGAGACGUCAACAACUUCAAUCAAGUAUCAGACUCUUAAGUCACAAGAUCCCACCCCAGGCAGUUAGCGCUCUCCCUGUCAGAAGCAAGAUAUCCCUCACAAAGCAUAUAACUUGGACUCAAUUACAGACAGAAAAUCAGCUGGCAUUCUCCUUAACAAAUGUGAAUUGAUUGCAGAGAAAAAGUCUUCAAUACCACUUGUAAACACACACAUAGUAUGUGUGUGUGUGUAUUUUAAAGAGCAUAAAAUAGAAAUGAGCAGACCUUACAUUAACAGCUCCACCCAGAAUACCAAAAACAAUUUCGCUGAUCAGAUCAUUCACUAAGCACAACAAUAUUAAUAAAUAACCACCAUCGAAAAUAUUGGAUCAAUUCCCAAGAUGCUAAUAGUAAAAAAGAAAUAUAUGUGUAUAUAGAAGAAAUAUAGAUGAGAUUAAAUUUCUUCUAUGUCAAAGCUAUAGUUCUUGAUUAUCACGUACGCCAAAUAUACAGCAUGAGAAUAUUUUCAAACAAAGCCGAGUUUAGAAUACUUUAUACGUACUUCAAUUAAACGUAAUAAUAGAGAUCAAUAUCGAAUUUCUAAGUUCUAGAACCGUGCAUAUAUCACCUUAAGAAUGGUUAGAUUCGAUUUACAGAGUACAUGAUUCGAUUGUAUUAGGGCUUACACUACGCAAAAAGAUGAAACACCGUUGCCCGCUAUGAUAAUGAGAAAAAAGAAAGAAAACGACGUAAAGAACAGACUAAAACCAACUACACUUGGCGUACACAACAAACAGAUAAUUAAACACUAAGUAAUCGAUCAAGAAACGUCGCAAGUCACCUGUAGUUCCCUGUCACGAUUGAUAACAUAAUCCGUGUUAGGUCCAUAUAGUCUGACGGUGACAGAAACGGAAGUACCACUUUCCUCUUUCACCGUAACCUUUAGCACUGGAGAAGUCAGAAAAAACACAUUUCUAUUACAGACAGAACUCCACAAGCAAGAAAGAAAUCACUAAACACACAUCGAACACAGCCUCGCCUUAAUCAAAUUGAACGAAUAAACACAUUAUGAGCAAACACUCACGCUGAUUAGUGAUUCCACCAGAGACCGUUUCAACAGAGAACCGAGAAGCAUCCAGCUCCGACCACUCCUUGAACAGAUCCUUACACAACUCGCUGCAAGAAAAAUCAAGAAAAAGGAAAACUGAGAACAAAAUUAACAAAACAAACCUCCAUAAUUACCUUCAGUAACCGCAUACCGCGAGCUCCAAGAAGCAAGGAGAUGAAAAUCAUCAUCAAAUUCAUAAAAACAAGAAGCACUCUGGUCGUCUUGGUUCCAGUUUAUGGAAAAAACAGAACACAAAAAGGCAAAAAUACGCAGUAUAAACAAUCCGUGUGAAGAAACUAGAAACGAAACGGAAGAGGAAGCAAUACGAACAUUAUGCGAGGAGUUAUGGCGGGAAGAGGAAGAGAGUGGUCGACGGAAAGAUACGAUAGCUGAUACGACUCGGCGUUGCUAUCUCCAUCUUCUACAGCUUCAACCACAUCGACGUCGCCAUUGUAGAUCUUCUUGGCACCCAUGAUUUGUUGAAGUUUUUGUUUGUGUUGAGAAAUGAAUCAAAAGAAGAAAAAUGAAAAUAUUAAUGGAACAUAUAUUCCUUCAUCUACGAUUCUGUCUUCUCUAAUACCCUCCUGGGCAUUCUCCACCGCGCGAUUAUAAACGUCUUAACUUAAAUUUUCUUAAGAUUUCUUUCUAACCAAGUUUAACAUUAUUGUUAUUAUUGUUAUUAUUACAACAGUUUAUUAGUGCAAAAGCUACAACCCUUUUUCUUUUAAAUAACGUCAAUUUUGAAACAUACUUAAAAAUACAAAAUUAUUGACAAAAAUAAGUCGAACAUCUCCCAUUUUUUUCUUAUUUUUAUAUAUACAUUACGUUCGGUUCGUGACUUUAUCUUUUUUCUAUUAUUUAUAUAUAUAUUAGGGUGAGUCCUACACGUUUUUCUUUUUUUCAUUAUAUAUAUAUAUAUUAAUUAUUCAAAUUCUAAAAAUAUAUCUUUUUAUUAAAUUAUUUUUUUCCUUUUUUCUUUUUAUAUUUAUUAAAUAUAUCAGUCUUCCAUUUUUCUUAUUAAAUUCAUCUUUCUAAAUUUAAUUUAAUUAUUUAUUAAUCAAAAUUAUAUCAUUUUUUCCAAUUUUUAAUUAAGAAAAAUAUGUAUUAAUAAAAUAUGUUAUUAAAAAUAUAUAUUAUAAAAAUUAAAAUAAUUAUUAUUAUUAUUAAGAAAAGUUGAAGCUUACCCUAGCAAUAAUAAUAACAAUAAUUUAUGAUAAAAAAAGUUACUAGUUAAAUUUUUUAAAUUUAAUUUGUAAUCGAACCAUAAUUUUCAUGAUCAGCUUUAAAUUAUUUCACAAUUCUUGUUUUUUCUUUUUGCCAAACAUUUAUUUAUUUUAUUCAAUUAUUCACUUGAUCCAUGUGUAUUGGUGGCUUUAAUUUAAUUUAUAAACGAACCAUAAUUUCCAUGAUCAGCUUUAAAUUAUUUCACGAUUCUUGUUUUUUUUCUUUUUGCCAUAAACAUUAAUUUUUUUUAUUCAAUUACCCACUUGAUCAAUGUGUAUUGGUGGCUUCAAUUAUUAUUAUUAUUUUUUUAGGGUAAGUUUCAACUUCUCUCAAUUAUUGUUGUCUUUUUUAGUAAAAAGAAAAAUCUAAGUCAAUAAUGAAAAUAUCAUGAAAACAUUAACAACUCAGACUCUCCAUCUUCAAGCACGUGAUCUCAAAGCCUUCAUCUUCCAUCUUCGAGCUCCUGGUCUCUAACCCUUCAUGUUCUCCAUCUUCAAGCUCAAUAUACCGCCGUUCUUCACAAACUCAUGUAAUAAAAAAUUUGUUAUUCAUCUUUGAGCUAACAGUUUGCAAACCCCAACAUCCCAUUUCCAAACACAAAUUUUAUCAUAAAAACACUAAAACUUCAUCAUUAAUCUUACAUCUUCAAACCAAAAUUACUAAAAUUUCAAAUGUUUUAGAACCAAUGUAAUUAUAAUUAAAGGUUAAAGCCAUAAAUUCUAGAAUGGUUUUUUUAGAAAUAAAUAAAUAAAGACAUUUCAUAAUUUACAUUAAUAAUUAAUAAUUAAAAAUCAUUUUUAUUAAUUAACAAUACUUCAUUUGAUUUGAUUUAAUAAAUGACAAAAUUAUUCAUCAAUUAAUUUUAGAAAAUGAAGAGUAAAAUAAGAAGAAAAAGUUAUUUUAGAAAAGGAAGAGUAAAAUAAGAAGAAAAAGUUUCUUCAUAUAGGAGCUUUUAUAUACCGUUUAUAUAUAUAUAUAUAGAUAUAGGUAAAGAGAAUAAUUAUUCUUAUUGGUCGUUUUCAAAUUUUGAGGAAUGUAUUUAAAAAUGGGAUAAAAAUUGAGGAACUACUAAAAGUAGUUUUCUCCAAAUUGGGUUUCUAUUUCAAUUGAUUGUGUUUGUAACAUGUAAUAAAAAUGGUCCAAUACUAGCUUUCCUAGUUUCAUUUUAUUUCUUAUAUGUAUUUUUUUAUUUUCUAUUGAGCUAUAUUACUUUUUCUAUUAUUUUAUUUAUUAAUUUUUUUGCAUUUAUAUGUUUAAUUUUAUUUAAAAUUUUAAAGUUUUAAAAAGUUUACUUUUUACUUUCCAAAUUUAUAAGAAUAAACUCGUUUCGUCCCAAGUUUUUAAAAUAUAUUUUUUUAGUUUCUUAAUUUUUUAAAUUAAGUUUAAAAGGUCUAUUUGAAUAGGUCCCUCAAAUAAAUUUUUAUUUUUAUUUUAAAAUAAUUAUAUGACAUUUUAAAUUAGAAGAAUAAUUUCUAAAAAUCAUAAUCUAAAAAAUAUCAUAUAAUUUUUUAAAAAAAAUCAAAUAUAAAAUACUUUUAAGACAUUAUAAACUUAUUUUUAAAAACUCAAUGAGUAAAAGUUAUAUUUUAAGAACUCGUGUCCAGCUAAAAAUGUCCAUUUUUAAAACUCAUAGAACAAAAUCACAUAUUUAUGAAAACUUGGAAACCAAAAUGGUAGUUUUCUAUGCAUUUUUCAAUAUUUAAAUUCAAACAAAGGUUCAAUUUUUAAUAUGUUUAUCUAAAUAUUUUCCUUAAUUCUAAAUUCCAAAAUUUUGCAAUAGCAAUGCUUGUAUGUUAUUGUUUAGAUUUAAAUUUAUUAUUUUUCAAAUUUACAUUAUAUAAAUUUUGUUUACUAACCUAUUCAUUUAGAUUAUCGUUAAUAUUUUACGACCACGACAUUUACAUAAUAAUAUAAUUGAGUUAGAUUUGAACCAACACCAUUUAAGAAAUAAAUUAAGUGAAAAAUGAUAUUUCAUAUCAAAUUUUAACAACAUAUGAUAAAUAAAAAUGGUUUUUUUAAAUGAAAAUAUAACAAACUAACAAAAUAUUUACUCUAUAGAAAGAUUUUGAAAACAGAAAAAUUUCACAGACUCACAAUGUAAAAUACCAAAACUGCUCUAGCCAACACGUGAUUAAUCAUCCACACGUGCACGUGUAAUUUUUCUUCUAAACGACCAUGAUACAUGAUCGUGUAGGUAGUUCAUGAUACAUGAUUGUUUGUUCAUGAUAAACGAUGGUUUUAAAAAAAAUCAUAGUAAACGAUCGUGUAGAUGAUGAUACACAAUCAAGUAGUUUUAUUAUAAACGAUGGUUUUGAAAAGCCCUAAUAAACGAUCAUGUAGAUCAUGAUACAUGACUGUGUAGUUUAUGUUACAUGAUUGUGUAGUUCAUGAUAAACGAUAGUUUUGAAAAGCCAUGUAGUAAAUGAUCAUAUAGUUCAUCUCUGUCCACGACACAUUAAAAAAAAUAAUACAAGAUUAAUUAUUGGUUGAAAACAAAGAUAAUAACAGUAGAAGUAUAAUGAAAAAAAAUAAUACUUUAUAUAGAACAAUGAUCAUUAUUUCAAAAAGAUAUAAAAGAAAAAUUUUAGAAGAAGGUAAGGAAAACAUUGUUGUCGUGAUCGCAGCUGUGAAGAAGAUGGAAAGAAAAAAUGAAGAAACCAAAGUUGGGUGAAAAUUAAAAAACGGCAAGGGCAAACCUGAAAUAUUUUUUAAAAAAAGGUCGGUUUCAUGGACUGUUUAUUUUGUUACAUGAACGAUAAAUAUUUUGAAUUUUGUUACAUUUAUGUAAAUUACCCUAAUAAAAACAAUAUAUAUUAUAGUUAUUAAUUUUUCUGGGAACGUAUGUGUAUAUUAUAAGGUCAAUGCAUUAUAAUUAUUUUUAUAUUUUAAUGAACGUUACAAACAAAUGGUAAAAGAAUGUAUUCUCCAUCCCGUCCCCAUUUGGUCAACAGGGAGAAAAUUCUCUUUAUUCCCUCCCUAAUCUAAUCACGGAUUAUCCAAUCCAAGAAAAGUCGGGUCCAACCUCAUGGGGAAUAUGAACAUCUUUAGUAGUGAUUUUGAGAUGAUCAAAAUCCAUUUUUCUCUCGUCAAAAUCACUUUUCAUAUUCAAAUGAUGGUGUUUAGCAUGAACUAAAAUUGAUUUUAGAAAAAUAUAAAAUCAUUUCAAAUUUAUUUUGGAAGAAUUACGUGAUAGGUAAUUUUUGUUUAGUGAUUGACCGAAAAUCACUCUCAAACUAGUUAUCUAAUUCAAUUUUUGUAUAAAAUAUUGUUAGUUAACCAUAUGUGAAUUUUAUUUAAUUUUAAACAUUUGAACAAAAAAAAAUGGCAUACACAUAGUCUAUCGUUAAAUUGUUAAUAAUUCAAACAAUUAUAUAUGUUUCAAAUUUUCUUUCAAUAUCUAAGUAUGAACGUAUAUCAGCAUAUAUGAUAUAACAAUAAAAUAAAUAGAAAUAGACUUUUACCAUAAUUAUUUAGUUAAAUAACUAUUUAUAAUCUUGAAAAUACAAUUACUAAUUGGAUAAUUUUAAAUUAAUUUUUGGAACCAAAUAUACAUACUAAUUAAAAAUCAGUUCUAAAUAUAUGAAUAUCACUUUCAACGGUUUGCUAUCCAACAUAAUUUUGAUGGUUAAAAAAAUAAAUUUUACAAAAUCAAUUAUACUGGAUCUCUUUUAUUAAAAUCACUAGUCAACAAUCACUCUCAACCACACCCUACAAUCAAAUUUAUGUUUGGUAUCAAACUCGUAAAAGUGAUUUUCAUAUAUUUAGAAUUGAUUUUCAAUUGUUAUGUUUGGUUCCAAAAGUUAAUUUAGAUCUACCUAAUUAGUAAUUGUAUUUUUGGUUAGAGAAGUAAUUGUGGUAAAAAUCCAUUUCUAUUUAUUUUAUUGUUAAAUUUUUAUAUGCAUGGUGUCACACCCCACCCCGAGUAUAUGCUUGUUUGGCCCGUGUUGUGGCUUGAUGUGGCAUGAUGCCAGUUGAAGCUGUUCAACUCUGUAACAACUUCAACUGACCCUUGACUUGAAAGCGUGAAACAUUCAACAACGAAAGGUUUUAAACUUUGAAAUACUUUAAAACUGUAGUAUGAUCCAUUUGAAAUGUCUUUUAUAAAUGUAUAAAACGUGAAGACGUAAACUCUUAAUACAACACAAUGAUGCUUCUAUUAUUAACGUAUUCGUUUGUAGUACUAUGUUUCCCUUUUCUAUUUUCUCAUCCCUUUUACUUUGUUUUUUCUUUUCAAGGAAAUAAGUGGGGUGAGUGUAUUAGAGUAAGCUUGCAUGUGACUUGGGAACCUCUUCUUAGAAAAGUUUACCCAAUUUUCUCAAUUUUUUUUUUGUUGCAAAAUUUAGCUUCUUUUCUUAGUAAAUGCAUAUAUAUAUAUAUAUAUAUAAACAUGACUGCCCAACCCUUAAAUAUGAGCUCGGGUUUGUGAUGUGAAAUUCUGAUAUUUUUGUAUGUGCUAAAUUCUCUUAAUAUGCAUGUGUCUUUUUGUUUCUAUACCCCAUUUUGAGCCAUACCCAAGUUAUGAAUUAUUGCACGAAUGUCAAUUGGUAUAUGUGAUGUGAUUGAAUGAUUGCUUGUAUAAUAAAUCCAUGGAUGCUUUUCUAGCUUUGUCUUCUUUGAUGCGUUAUUAGGAUAUAUGUAUAUGAUACAGUUAGUCCAAAUCUAUCCUAAAUAGUUAAAAAAGGAUAGGAACUGCUCUUUAGAAGUUGAGACGAUUUUAAAACUUUUAUUUUGUCUAACAUGAGUUAGAAAUAUCUUGUCUAGCCACAACAAACUAGAUCCCUUUAGAAACUAUUAGACGUUGAUAAGACUUGUUGUCACUCCAAAGAGAGCAGCCAAACUUAGAAACUAAGUUUAGAACUAUAGAAAGGUUAGCCUACUAGUUCUAGCAAGGCCUAGUUACCACGUUGCAUACUAAAGAAAGAAAAUAAAGGCUUGCAUAAAGAAAAGGUGAGGCAAUUAAGAGCUAAAGAGAAAGUAAUAUGCAUUAGAAAAAGCUCAUAAAAAAAGUGAGAGGUCGGUUAAGUCAAGUAAAAUGUGUUCAGUUCAGAAAACCAAACAACCUUCUCUUAGCCUUCUAACCAUAACAUCAAGUUUGAUGAUGGCUUUGAAAAGAGGAGGAAUCCUUCGUGAUCCACAACAGGGAGAAAAAAGUCUAAAGCGUCUUUCAUCUUUUCAAGCAUGUUUAGCAUUCCACUAGCAAAACUUGAGUGUCUAUCUAAACAUGCUUGUUCUGGAUGAACUUAGUUAAAAUUCAACCUUAAUCGAUAACUUGUAAUCUCUUUGAUAGUUUGAACUAAGUUUAAGCAUUGAGUAACGUGGCUAGGUUGACUCGUUAUAAAUGCAUCCUUUAUAUACUUGCAUGAUUGUUUGUUUUUUUUUCUUAAGUUAAUGUUUGCUUCAUGUGACUGCUGCUGGUUGACUGUUUGAUAUUAUAAUUACUUUUCUUGGGAUGAACAAAGCUUAAGUGGGGUAUUUCUUAAAAAUUUUAAGAAAAUAAAAAUAAAUAAAUGACAUUAAAAAUUUAACAUAAAAUGUUUAAAAUCGAUAUAUUGGAAAAUGAAAUGAUGGAAAAUCGAAAACAAAAUUAAGUCUCCAUAUGGGAUGUCAGUGGAAUUUUCUGUCGCUCGCCAGCUUUUCAUUACCUCUAUAUUUGCUUGAAACAUUAAACAUAGAAAAGGGACGAGUAUAAAAAUAUACUCCGCAAGUGACUCACUACUAAUUUCUCUCUCAUCUUAAUUCUCCUUUGCAGAUUCUUUAGUGUAGAUAAGUAGAUAUAUAGUUUAACUUACACUCAUUUAUAAUGUACUAGUCUUUCAACAUGUGCAUUGCACACGACUCUUUUAACUUGUUAAAUGAAUGUAAAAAAUAUAAAGUCAAUAAAAAAAUCACAUAUAACAAAAUUCAUCAAAUUUAAUUUUCAAAAGAUACAUCAUUUAAAAAAAAAAAGUAUAAAAGAUACACAUUACUAUUGUUAUCACUAAAAUGAUUUGAUAAUGGGUUUAUUGAAGAAAAAAUGUUUGAUAAAAUGUCAUAAAAAAAGAAAGUGGAAAUUGGAGAGGAUUAAAAGUGAUUUUGUAUUAAUGUUUUGAUGUUUUAUGUAUUCCGUAAGAUAUAUAAUGCAUUAAAAAGUAAUAUUGCAAUCAAUAUUAAAUUCUUGAAUUAUAAUAAAACUUUGUUUUUUUUUUCAAACAUGUUACUUUCAUUUUAAAAAUAUAUUUUUUUUCAAAGUUUAUAUCAUUUAUUAUUAGGAAGAAUAUUGUAUUCAUUAAAGAAAACAUGAAAACAUUUGUUGGAGGGAAGAGAUUAUGCAUUUGAGAUAAUUUUUUUAAUCUACUUAUUUGAUGUUUAAAAUCAAAUUAAAAAUUGUUUUUUCAAAUAUAAACCAUACAUUAUUUAUUAAAGCACUUACUUUAUAAUUUAUUUUAGGAAGAAAAAAAGAAAAAGAGAAACGUAGGUCACUUAAUCUAAUAUCAUACCAAAUGAAUAAAUUAUUUAUCAAGAAGAAAAAAUAAACCUACAUAACUUUUUAUAGAAGAAUGUGAUUAUCUAUUAUAUGCUAUAGCACACUAUACAUCAAAUAACUAAUUUUGAAAAAAAAAAUACACAUAAGAUUUUUAUAGAAAAAGGUACACAAAUCUGAUGUUUAUUCAAUUUUAAGAAUUGAGUAGUAUUGUUAAAUGAUUGAAAUUUUCAAACUUUUAAAAUUUUAAAAUUUAUUGUAAAAUCAUAAAUUUGUUAUGACUUUUUAUUAAUUAUUUGAUAAAACUAUUCAACUUCUAAAACUUUUAAAAUUCUAAAAUAAAUUGAAUUUAAAGUUUUUAUUAUUUUUAAUAAAUUUCUUAUGACAAAAACGAAAAAGCUAAUUUCAUAUUUCUAACUUUAUACAUCGUAUUAGCUUUAACUAUAAUUAAUAAUUAGAUUUCAAUAAAAGUUACAUAAUUCGAUCACAAUAAAAGUGUAUUAACAACACUUUACCGUUUUAUUAAUAAAACAACUCUAAUAAAAAAACAAAAAUUAGUUAAAUGAACAAAAUUUAUAUGAGUAAAGAAUGUAUUCUUUUACAUUGUUCAAGAUUUUCCAUUGUUACAUUCUAAAAAAAAAUCUUCAUGGUUACAUGACUCAAACAUAUCUCGCGAAAAAAAUACACACAAACAUAUAUUUAGAUCACAUGUUUACAUUCUAACAAAAAAAAAACUAAUAUUACAUGAUUUAAACAUCCAUGAAGAAAUACAAACAGACAUAUUUAUAUAUAUAAGUAAAUAAAUAUAACAAAAAUGAAAAAAAAUAAAAGAGAACGUAAUAGAUAAUUUGCUUUCUUUUUUACAUCUUUGUUUUUUUUUACUAAUGAUUAGUUUGAAUGAAAGAAAAAAUAAAAUAUUUAUACUAAAAAAUUUUAAAGAGGAGGAAAUUGGAAGGUUGGGAGAUGAUAUAGAAAAGUUAAUAAGAGAUAAGAGAAUGUGAAUAGUUGAAAUAUAAAAGGUAAGAGAAAGAUGAAAAGAAUGGAUGUGGAAAAGAGAAGUUUUAAUAAGAGAAUUAAUUAAUUAGAGAGAAAAAUGCAUUUUUUUUAUACGGAGAGAGGAAGAAAGAAUGAGAGAAUAAUAAAUAAAUUAAUUAAAUAACAUAAAAGUAAAAUAUAGACCAGAUUCAACAAUCAUAUAAAUAAAACAACUUGAAAAAAAUAAUUUAAUUUAGCAAUUAACUACAUUAAUUUUUGUAUUUAAAUGACAAAAUUGCCACCAAAAUAGUAAUGAAAAAAAACCGUAUAAUGAGAGGACACCGUUGGAACAAAAAAAUGUAUUCUCAUCCAUGCUUUUAUAUAUACUAUAGCAAAAAAGAAAUAUAUAUUCAUAUAAAUUAAAGAGGUUGGCUCCAUGUGAGUAACACACUCUACCAUCUUCUAUUUCUUAUGUUACUUAAGGAAAUAAGAAACAAACAAACUAUUAAAUAAUGUUGUCUUCUUUUUGAGUAAGCAUAGCUAGCUAGCUAAGUUAGUUAAGACCUAGAGGUGUCAAGAAAUUAACUGCACUUUUGCAUCUUUACCUUCUCUUUAUAUGCAUUCGAUCUUCUUCAAAUGAGUUUCCAUUUUCACAUGCUAAAUAUUGAACUUCUGAAGAAGAAGUUGAGAGGAAAAGAAUAACAAAUUAAUGGAAUAAAAUACUCAAUAACAUUGGUAAAAGGAAAUCAAUGAAGCCCUUUGUAUAGUAAUGAAAGUCGAAGAAAUUAACUAUUAGUCUUCUAUAAUUAAUUAUAUUACAAAAAAAUAAAAAUAAAAAUAAAAAGAUAUUUAAUUUAUAAAAUGUAAAUGAAAAACUAUUAGUCUUUCAUAAUUAGUUAUAUUAUAAAAAAACAAAAUUUAGAAUGAAAAGAUAUUCAAAUUUUAGUUAAUUUCUAAAAUGUAAAUGGAAAAUGAUUGAUGUUCCAUAAUUAAUUAUAUUACAAAAAAUAAAAUAAAAAAUGAAUUUACCAUAAAACCAUGACGUGAAACACAAAAUUAAACUUAAGGGUAUGACGAAGAGAUUUUUUUUUUCCACAUUGAGGCUUUUAUAUAUACCAUAGAUAAAUUAUUCUACACCGCCUAAUUGAAGAGUAGACCCUAUAACUAAGAUUUUGAUAUCAAUUCUUUGUGUUCGACCUUAGAUUACGCAAGAAACCUAUUAUUUCACCUACACUUGGACAAGUAAUAGGAAAACUUGUACUCAACGAAGACUUAGUAUUUACAUAAUGAAGAGGUACAUAGAGAGCAUAUAGCAUGCAAUGACCAUGAUUAAUGACUCAUCAUGUAGAAUUAGAUACCAACAUAUGCAACAACACUAUUUCCUAAGUCCGAAGUUAACCAACCAAAUCAAGUUUUUGGCGUCGUUAAAUUAAAUUCAAACAAGCAGACGCUAUGGGAGUGUCAACCUAGUUGAUAUGUUUUGAUGCAUCCCUUGAUCCUAUGUCUUUUUUUAUAUAUACUUCUCUUGUACUUUGAGUUUCCUUUAAUUAAUAAAGAGACCAUCUCCAUCUUUUGCGGUACUGAUCUUAGUAUAUAUCUCUUGUACAUUGAGUUUCUUAUUGGAAAGUUACCGUACAAUCUAAGUAUGAUGCAUUAAUGAAAAAUUAAUACAUUAGACCUUGUUCAUUUGUUGAAUGAUCAGAAGGUUAGUGGAUGCAAAUGGAUAUUUAAGAUCCAAUGAAAUUCUAACGAACCUAUAGUUCUAAAGUAGAUUGGUGGCAAAUGAGUUGCAUCAAACAACAGAAAUUCAUUACACAGCAACCUACAACCCGGAUGUCAAGCCAACAACCAUACAUGUGUUACUUAAGUUAGCCAUAGCUCGUGGUUGGUUGAUUUUCCAAAUUGAUAUAAUCAAUAUUUUUCUUCAUGUUUUCUUUCAAGAAUUUGUUUUCAUGGAGCAACCAAUGAGUUUCAACUGCCAAGGUAUUGUCCUUCUUGUUUGUAAAAUUAAAAAAGGCACUUUAGGUCCAAAAUAGGCUCCUCAAGCCUGGUUUGAGCAGUUUGGCUUCUACUUGCAAUCUUUCAGACUCUAUUAUUUUGUCAUUCUAAUGGCAGUUCUUGUUUUGUUUUGAUUUAUGUUGAUGAUAUCGUAAUAACAGGUAGCACUCUAUCUAUUGUGUGUGACUUAAUUGCAAUAUAAAAUGCUCAGUUUUCUCUAAAAAUUCUUGGGCCACUUAGUUACUUUCUUGGAAAUGGAGGAUUGUUCUUGUCUCAAUCUAAACUAGUUAACAAGGACCAAGAUGACUGAAGCAAGGAAUUGGACCAAUGGUUAGUGGGCCUCUUCUUUCUGCUCGACAAGGUGAGACAUUUUUCGAUGUGCAUCUUUAUCAAAAUAUGGUGGGAGCACUUCGAAAUUCCAUACUUACUCGACCAGAAAUUUUCUUCACUGUUAAUAAAACAUGUUAUUUUUUGCAUUCUCCUAAACUCAUUCAUUGACAGUUGGUGAAGCACAUACUGAGCUACUUAAAAGGGACACUCCAUCAUAUAUUAUUACUAGCUAAAUCUUCAGCUAAUUUAUCUCUUUGGUGCUAUGUAGAUGAUGAUUGGGCAAGUGAUCUUGAUGAUAAAAAAUCCACUUUGGGGUGGAAGUUUAAUCAUAUGGAGAUUUUAGAAACAAAUAAUUAUUUCUCGGCCUAGCAUAGAGACCGAGUAACUGUGUUUAGCUGCAACAAGUGUGAUAACCUCAAUGUGGUGUAUCUUAGUGCUAAUCCCAUCCUUCACUCAAAAGACUAAGCAUGUCGAAUUAGACAUAUACUUUGUUUGUGACUUGGUUCUCCAAAAGAAGAUUUCCAUUCAACAUCUUAAGUUGUUGAAGUUGUAGCAAAAAACCUCUAUUUACUACCUCUUUUCAGCAAUUAUGAUUCAAGCUCAAUGUUGGCUUGUGUGGGGCGUAAUUUUUUCUCAUUAUCCAAUUUAUUUGUUCAUUUAAUUGAGUUUGUCAUGGGAAAGACGAUUUGUUUUCUAAGUUAAAAAGAUAAUUAUUUUAAAUAAUUUCAUUCAAAAUCUUAGUUUGAAAGAUAACUAAUGAUAAAAAAAAUUGGUUAACAUGAACUCAAUUCAAAUCUUUAAAUCCGAAGUUUUACAAAUUUCUUCAGGCUUAAGGAAAAGUUUGGAGCGGAAGGACGCGUUUCGUGACCCAAGAGAGCACACGGCGUCGUGUAAGUUCAAAAUUUCAACAAUUUUUCUAAAAUAUCUCCGCUUUGGUUGAGCGUUGGGUCCCCCUUUCUCUCUCUCCACCUCCUUUUCUUAUUGAUGCAUAGAUUACAUUGAUUAGGUUCAGUUUCAUCAUAAUCUCCCCAUUUUUCUCUAGAUUUCAACUCGAUCAAACGUAGAGCUUCUACACUUUUGGAUUCUUCAAAUUCAAUAUCUCCGUAUCCUUUAAUUCGGUCCUGAAAAGGAUUUUCGUUUUGAUCUUCAUCUCCAUGUCGAUGCUUAAUUCCUUCUUCAACAAGGGCUUCAAGGCUGCACAAUGGUAUCUCAUCUUUUUAUUUUGAUUGCUUUUUCCCCAUUUUCUCUCUUAUUCUUCAUUGAACUCUGUUGGUCACUGCUUUAAUUUAUUGAUUUGAGAUUUCAGAAUUUUUGUUUUUGAUAAAGGCGAUCACCCUCUUCGGUUUAUAUGAUUUACUUCACAAUUUGCACUUUUGUAUACAGUAAAACACUGCUUAAAUUGACAAUUCCACGAAUAAAGCUGUUGAGGAAUCGAAGAGAGAUCCAGCUUAAGCAGAUGCGCCGAGACAUAGCUAAGCUUCUCGAAACAGGACAAGAAGCUACUGCUCGCAUUCGUGUAUGUGUUACUUCCUCAAGUGCAUUAGAUCAUUUUGAUGUUGAAAGAGGGAGGAUAAGAAAGGAGGGGCAUUGUUCGAUGUCCUGGAACUUUUUGUUAUCUUAGUUAAAUCUUCUUUUGGAUUCAGGUUGAACAUAUAAUCAGAGAAGAGAAUAUGAUGGCCGCUCAGGAAAUUCUUGAAUUGUUCUGUGAGCUUAUUGUUGUUCGCCUUCCAAUUAUUGAAACACAAAGGUAAUUUUUCCUAACCCAUUUAUUCUUCAUUUGAAAAUAUUUCUUAUUGUAAUGUAAUAAAACAUGAGAAAGAUCUGAAUGCAACUGAGUUAAAUAGGUUACACUUACAGUGCUUGAAGCAGAUAGUAGAUGCUCCCUACUAUCUUUAAUAUACAUGGACCUUUUUUUUGAGGGAAAAACAUCCUUUAGUUUCAUUGACAAUGUGAAAUUACAAUAGUUGAAGAUGUCCUAUCGUUAUGAUUUACUAAACAGCUUUUUCAAUGGUAAGUAACAAAACUUAAAUCAUAUAUAUAGAAGUAGGGGUGCUUACAAGUUACAAAAACAAUACAAGACACUUACAUCAUAAUUAUAGAAGUAAGGGUUGCUUACAAGUUACAAAAACAAUACAAGAGUCAAGACUAUAAGAGGGAACAUGACAAUAAUGGUAAAUGGUUCUUGUUCCACUUGUUCAUGAACAAUUUCCUGACUUCUUCCCUGAGGACAAUGAAGCUCUUCAUCUGGGGGUAAUUUUAGAUCACCAAUCAUGCACAGCUAUGCAAGAAAGGGCAGAAAUGCACGAUCUACUGCACCAAACUAAUGAAUGAUUUCAGUUGUUUAUUAUUUUAUGGUGAACAUGCAGUUGUUUCUUAUCUACUGCACCAAACUAAUGUGUCUUUCGAGUUGUUUGUUAGUUUGUGCUAGGCGUGCAACUGCCCAUCAUUUUGUGGGACGGUGUAUGGCACUAUUUAAUAGGUUGGGAUGUUGCUUAUUAAGACAGGCUUCAUUUUUCCUUGGUUAAGUCUUUUUGGAGAGACCACCCUCUUGAAUGGUGGAAAUGUACUGAUUUGUACUAAUCAAUCUAUCCUUUUCUAAGUGUUUUAGAGAGAGUAGCUUACAGGAUACAAUAACCAAAGUUUAUUACUAUUAAUUGUAUUUUUUCUCAAACAUUUAUUUAUCUAAGAUGUGCACGUAUCUUAUAAAACGUAGAUUAGGGUGUUAGAUCUCUAGUCGGUUUUGAGUUCAAAUUUCGAACUCUCUACUGGACUCCUCUGUAAAGGCUUUAUACUUUUUGAUGAGCAUUCAAUUUAUCUACAUUAAAUUCAAAGCUGCAUUAUGACACACAACUAACUAAAUUUGUAACUAUGGAUUUGUCUACCAAUUAUACUUUCUUAAAGGCCGUUUUCUAUGAGAAUUUAAUUUUAUCAAUAGAUAUGAUAUGUAUAUAAUGAGUUCAGGAUUUCCUUCAUAAUUUGUUAAGGAGCAGUUGCUUCAUUUAAAAAUGUGUACUUGAUGACAAAAAUUAUAAAUGUUGUAUCUGCAGUUCUUUAUUUCCCAAUGUGAUGUGAAUUUAUCUCAAUUGUGUUUGUCCUUUUUCUAUUGAAAAUUGGCUUGUGGCCCUCUCAUUCUUUGGGUAAUUUCAUGAUGAGUAAGUAUCCAUAUGUGUGCUAUUUUGAUUUGUAAAAAUGCAUAUUAGAAAUAUGGUUGUAUUUCACUUUGAAGUUUGAAUACACAUUUGCAUGUAAAGUAUUUUUGUGCAUUUCAUGUGGAAUAUUCUUUCAUUUGAGUUGAUUAUUGCUGAACCUUCCUGCUAUGAUGGAUGUUAAGUCUUAGAUUGUUCAAUGUUAACCUAGUUACCUAACCUGAUCAUUUAACUCCUUUGGAUGACUGAAAACGCCAUGCCUUGCAAACCGAAAUUUAAUUCAUUGAGGGUGUUGCUAACUUGCAAUAAAGUAACAAGUCUGCUUACCAUUUCACAAUUUUUCUGAGUUAACCACCAACCUCUUAUUUUCUGGUGAAAAUCCACGUGGUCUUUUGGAUGAUAGAUUCUGCCUCAAGUUACCUGAAACUAGGAACUACAUGUCCAAAUUGCAAUCUUAACUGCAAAAUAUUUCAAGUCUUACUUCAUAUUUACUGCAGAGAAUUUAUGCAUUCCUUGUUGAAUCAAUGCUGAUUAGUCGCAGCAUCUCGAUAUUUCAUUUUGUCUCAUUUAUUUCAUCUAGUCCAUUGUGAUCUUUGUUUUUGUAUUUCUAAAUGGUGUAUGUCUUUCUAUGCUUAUUUUGGAAGUAUAAAUGAACUUUUUUAUUCUAACUUCACUUUGUUUCUUAUGGUUAUUUUCUUGAGACGUGCUCCUCCUACUUUAUUCUCACCUCUAAUGUCACUUGUCGCUGUAAAACCUCUAAAUUUUCAGGGAAUGUCCUCUAGACUUGAAAGAAGCGAUCUCAAGUGUGUGUUUUGCUGCUCCAAGGUGUGCUGAUCUUACAGAGCUUAUCCAGGUUCAGAUGCUUUUUGGUGCUAAAUAUGGAAAGGAAUUUUUAUCAGCUGCAACUGAGCUCAUGCCUAACUGUGGCGUUAAUCGUCAGGUUCAUAGAACUGCUUGUUUAUGUUUGAUUAGAAGGAAAGCUUUUCAGCAGUCCAUAGGAUUAUAUAUUUCUUUUUAAAAUUCGAUUGCAGUUGAUAGAGCUGCUUUCUGUUCGUGCUCCUUCACCUGAAAAGAAACUGAAGCUGUUGAAGGAAAUUGCUGAAGAGCAUGACUUAGAUUGGAAUCCUGCUGAAACUGAAGCUGAAUUUAACAAAUCUCCAGAAGAUUUGCUUGUAAGUGUUGUUUCUUUUUGUCUCCACUUAUAGUGACCCUUUUAUGCCUUAAGCUUAUCUUCUCCUUUUGCAGAAUGGAUCGACACAGUUUGUCGGCGCAUCAAAAUUACCUCUUCCUCAAGAGAAACACAAUGAAACAUCCAAUACCACUACCGAUUUGGCUAGUGGACCCCAACCUGACUCUGAUUCUGAAUUGGACAUGUUAGACUUUCCUGAAGUUCCAAAGAUGUCAGUAUGUCCGCAGCCUACUAUAGAUGCUGGCUCUGCACCAUCAAUGAUCCCACCUCCAUCUGUGUCGCCACCGCGUGAAACUGAUCAUGCUUCUUUUGAGUAUUCUGGUAUUCCUGAAUCACCGCCACAAAAUCUACACUCGAGACAUGAGGAGGUGACUCUAGUGAGAUCUGUUUCACCCAGCAACGAUCAAAUGAAUGUUUCUGUUGGUGAAGAUAAACAGUUUCUGCCUUUUAUUACUCCCCCAUCAUUGUCACCUUCAUUCUCUCGUAGACAAACUGAGUUGUCGCCAUCCUCUGAUCCAACGACGCCUGAGGAGAAGUUUGAUAUCAAACCUCGGAUCAGAGAAGAGAUAAAUUCACCACUACCCUCUGUUUCAAGGGCUUCUGAGGAGAAGUAUGGUUUCAAACCACGGUUCGAACCAGAGAUAAAUUCAACACCAUCCUCUGUUUCGAGGACAAUGAGUGAGGUCAAUGCAGAUCUCGGUGUUGAUUUGCAGGACGUUCUGGCAGCUGCUCAGGCUGCUGCUGAAACCGCUGAACGUGCUGCCGCUGCAGCUCGUUCUGCUGCUAGUCUCGCCAAGGUUAGAAUUGACGAGCUCACAAAGAAAAAGAAUGAUAAGGACCCUGAAAUUAGUUGCGAAAAUCCGUUUCACGGAGGUACUGCAAGUCCAGCAGAUCAUACAGAAACAUACAAAUUGAACCAACAAGAUUCUCUGGGAUACCAUUCUAGUGCAAUGCCAUAUUAUUCACAAGAUUCUUUUCAAGAACAUCACAAAUUAAGUCGCGAUCCAGAAGUUUCUGAUCACAGCCAACUCAAGCCAGAAAAAUCAAGUUUCGAUUACUCUCCUGGUAAUUCACCAUCUGAACAUCAGACAGUAGCCCCUCAUCAGCCACAGAGGCUCCCUUCAAUGGACGACGACCCAUACUUUUCAUACCCAAAUUUAUUCACAUCACAGAAACCAAAUCCAGGAUUCGAUCAUUCAUCAGCUGGUGGUUCCUGAUCUGCGUGAGGUUUGAGUUAUAUGCAAACGCGAUGCCUUUGAGGCUCAAGGUUUCCUGAAUUGAUAUUUUGUUCAGCUUUUAUCAUGAGUUUUCAAUCUCUUUCAGAGCUAUGGUAGCGAGCAUUCAAUGUACAAAACAACAGUAAAGAUAUAAUGUACAAUUGUUGAUUUCUUUUCAUGUACACUUUUUAUGCCCUUUAAUUUGUAUUUGUUUGAUCUCCAAACCAUGUGGUAUUUGCUUAAUGAGAACGGAAGAGUUCUACGGUGGGGGCAUUGAACACGAAAACUCAGAAUUAGGAUCCAACAUUUGUACAUUUUUUUUUUCUCUCUCUAACAUGAUGGAGCAGAUGGAUGUUGUUGGUAACUAUGAGAUCUUAAAUGAAGGAAUAGGAAUACAUAUUGGCUGUUGAUUUGAAGCAAAUAAGUACCAAGGUAAACGUUGAAAACUUGGGUUUAAUGGGAUGAAAAUUGUAGUUGGGAUUGGGAAAAAAAUUAGAAAAAAUGGGCUGUUCGAAGACACUAAGUUAAACAUUUAUUUUUGAGUUAAUUUUCAUAAAUAUAACCAAACAUUCAAAUAUUUACAACUCAUUUAACAAAAUCAUAAUGUUGGUUCAAUUGGAUACUUACAUUUGAUUUGAGACAGCGAAACACAUGAUAUUUUUGAAGUUGGAGAAUUGAACUUUAAUCUUCAAGGGUGGUCAGCUUCAGGGGUAGAGAGUUCUCUCGCUCUUAAGAGAAUUCUCUUUAAGCUUUAAUCUUCAAGGGUGGUCAACUAGAGUUUUCUCGCUCUUAAGACAAUUAUCUUUAAACCUUCUAGAGUAAAAGAAUUUCAACUCCCACAAAUGAGGAGAACUUCUUUGAUGGGUUUUAUGGGCUUGAGUCAUGUUGGUCUAUGGACCAAAUCCAUGAACUCAAACACAUGAAUUUUGGUCAUAUUUAGCAUUUGAGCUAAAUUAAGCUUAUUUUGAACUCAACUGAACUUUAGUCAAAGUAAAUAAUAUUUAAUUGAACCGAACUAAUUAACUUGAUCCAACUGUUUUAAUAAUAACAUGUGCCAUGAUUAGAAUUAGUCAAUUUAUGUCUUCAAUUAUUUGUAUUUUUCAUCAUUAAUUUAGUAAAUGAUAUGACAAUUUGUGAUUGGUUUCAAAAUUUUUUAUUAAAUUGUGUGUUUGGUCCAUAAAAUUUUAAAAUGUACCCUUUUAGUCACAUGUUUAAUAAGAAUUGACCCGUAUGAUCUCUGAGUUUUUAAAAUGUAUUUUUAACCUUUGAGUUAUUAAAAAUAAGUUUAAAAGAUCCUUCGUGUAUUUCUUUAUUUGAUUUUCUAAAAUAAUUCUAUGAUAUUUAAAUUAGAAAAGAAAUAGUUUUAAAGAUGGUAUGAAUUUUAGAAAUCAUUCAUCUAGUGUAAAAUAUCAUAUAACUAUUUAAAAAAAAUAUAUAAAGUUAUUUGAGGAACUUUUUAAACCUAGUUUUAAAAACUCUUGAACUAGAAAGAUAUAUUUUCAAAACUCUAAGACCAAAUAAGACAAUUCUAAUAAACCUAAAAACUAAAAAGAUAAACUUUUGACUAUAAACGAAGACAAUCAACAUUCAAAACACAUACUAUUAUAAACCAAAUAUAAUAUGUCUGCAUCUCAAAUACAGACCAUAAUUAGUAAGAAAAUAUUAUGAUCACAUAUUAUAAUAAUCUACUCAAACUUGGUUGAAAGAUUCUCAAAAACCAAUUACACAAAGUCUAUCUUGCAUUUAAGAACUAAAGACUAACUAUUUGAUCUAAUCAUCUUAAGUUGAAAAAUACUCACGAGUGCUAGUACAUCUACGACUUUUUAAAGCUUGGAAUUACUUAGCAAAAGAUAACAUUGGAGUUGCAACAUCAAAGUCAACAAAACCAUAAACUUAAGUUUCAUCUUACCACCUUGUCUUCUGUUGGAUCUUUUCGAGGUCAUCAUCCUACAAAUAUUUUGUAUUUUUAAUCCAUAGCAUCAAAGACCAAACAACACCUAUGCAAUCAAACAUGUCACCCAAGAUAUUGAAUAAUUGAACUCAAUAUUUUACAUAGUCAAGCAAGUGGUCGCCUUAUUCCAUGGAAAAUUUCUGUAAUAUCGUCAAUCAAAAACAGUAGAUCUAACAUGAAAAUUUAUGGCAUCUACCAUACAAUAUGAUUAAGGUAAUUCCUUUCAGUAAAAGAAAGAAAGAAGUUUACAUGCAAGGGCACUUUUAUCCUACCAUGAGUUAAAAAGAAAUAGUUGAACAAUGACAAUUAACCAAUUUUCUGAACUUUAUUACGAUUUGGUAUUUGUUUGGGUUUGAUUGCCAUAUUUAGAGGUAGCCCUUAAAUGAGAGUAAUAAAUGUGGGAUGGGAAGCUUAGGAGAGUAUGUAUCCAGAACAAUUUCAGUAGAGAAAUAAAAUUGGGGUUUAGGACAAGACAGCCAGAUGAGUAAAAAGAAGGGCUUUCUAAAGGUUAAACCUGCACAGGUCAAAAUUGCAAAUAGAUAAAAUAUAAAACACCAUCACUUGCACUAUAAGAUGGUACAAUUUGCAAAUGGACAAAGGCUGAUUACUGAUGCACAAAUGAAUUUCAAAAUGCAGUUACAGAAUAAUUAGGAAUAGGAUAUGGUUGCUAAGAAAGAAAAGAGAAACCAAAAAGGGGGAGAAAGAAAAGAAGAAAAAAAGUAGAAGAAAUUUAUAAGUAAAAAUUAAAGUCACAAAUCAUUCCUUUUCUUUACUGAGCCAUGGGGAGGUCAUCUUGGACCAGAAAGCUCAACUGCAUGCAGAUUUUCAGUUGAAUCGACAAUCCAAUCGGAAUUUGGAUGGGGCGAUAGAUCGAUUUCUUGCCGAAGGAUUUCCACCUUUUGCCACUCAUCCCAUCUUUCUGCCAAUCCAUCACCUUCAAGCAUUCUUACCACCUCGGACAUCUUUGGUCGGUCCAUUGGGGAGCCUUGUGUGCAGAGUAAGGCAACUUGAAUCAACUGUUCUACCUCAGAUUCUAUAUAAUUAUUCUGAAGAUCAGGGUCAACCAGCAUUUCUAGCUUCUUCUCUUUCAAUAGUCCUUUCACCUAUUAAAUCGAGAAGUUCUGUUAACUAAUACUUCAUCAAAACAUGUAUAUUUACACUCUUCACAGUCCCCAGCCCCAGUAAUUAAUAAUGAACCUAGGUUCCUUAGUGUUCUUACCCAAUCAAGAAGCAUGACAUCAUCAUCAUUGGCAAGUCGAGCCAAAUCGAAAGCCCUUUGACCAGUGAUAAGCUCUAACAGCAUGAUACCAUACCCGAAAACAUCUGUUUUCUCAGAAGAUUUCCCAGUGGAAAGGUACUCAGGAGCUAUAUGUCCAAUCGUACCACGUACUGCAGUGGUGACAUGAGUAUCUUUGUAAUCCAUAAGUUUAGCCAACCCAAAGUCCCCUACAACAGCUUCAAACUCCUCAUCCAGCAAAAUAUUUGCAGCUUUUACAUCACGAUGAAUGAUCUUUGGAUCACAGUGAUCGUGCAAAUA
This 109392-nucleotide long non-coding RNA is filed under the name Cucumis sativus (cucumber). Its description in RNAcentral is "long non-coding RNA (CSAT_LNC002183)". Lineage: Eukaryota; Viridiplantae; Streptophyta; Magnoliopsida; Cucurbitales; Cucurbitaceae. The record is from RNAcentral.